RNAcentral lists this long non-coding RNA (88611 nucleotides) under Solanum tuberosum (potato). RNAcentral describes it as "long non-coding RNA (STUB_LNC010349)". The stretch from base 10649 to 10837 matches the Rfam family "Antisense RNA which regulates isiA expression". The record is from RNAcentral. Lineage: Eukaryota; Viridiplantae; Streptophyta; Magnoliopsida; Solanales; Solanaceae.
UUAAAUAUUUUGGUGAUAUGACUUCUAGAUAAUUUUUUGUGAGGUUGUUUCCGAUAUUAAACCAUUAAUAAAACAACAAAAAAGAUAUUACCCCUUUAUUAUUAUUAUCAUAACCAGAGAUCAAAUCUCAUAUCAUCUUUAAUCAAACCAUGAUAAACUGAACCCUGGACAAGAUAACAAACAUAGCUUUAAAAAAACUAUGUAAAAUAUCCCACCCGACCACCUAGACCUAGACAUAUGUUAAUACUAACAUAUGCCCUCAUUGUAACCAUAUUAUAUUAAAAUAUAGUAAUAAUAGUAGUAAAUAAAAUACUCAACUAAGAAGCAAAAUAAACACAACCAAACUUCAAUAAUAAAAAAAAAACCGUCAUUCAUCAACCAUUGAAUUUACUCUUCAACUUUCUCUGGUUCCUCAGAUACAGGGGCAGCUUCCUCUGCUUUCUCUGCUUCCGGUUCCACAACUGGGACUGCUUCUGGUUCAGCUUCGGGUGCUGCAGCCUCCUCAACGGGUGCUGCAGCCACCGGUUCCUCAGCUGCGGCUGCAGGUUCUUCUGCUGUCNNNNNNNNNNNNNNNNNNNNNNNNNNNNNNNNNNNNNNNNNNNNNNNNNNNNNNNNNNNNNNNNNNNNNNNNNNNNNNNNNNNNNNNNNNNNNNNNNNNNNNNNNNNNNNNNNNNNNNNNNNNNNNNNNNNNNNNNNNNNNNNNNNNNNNNNNNNNNNNNNNNNNNNNNNNNNNNNNNNNNNNNNNNNNNNNNNNNNNNNNNNNNNNNNNNNNNNNNNNNNNNNNNNNNNNNNNNNNNNNNNNNNNNNNNNNNNNNNNNNNNNNNNNNNNNNNNNNNNNNNNNNNNNNNNNNNNNNNNNNNNNNNNNNNNNNNNNNNNNNNNNNNNNNNNNNNNNNNNNNNNNNNNNNNNNNNNNNNNNNNNNNNNNNNNNNNNNNNNNNNNNNNNNNNNNNNNNNNNNNNNNNNNNNNNNNNNNNNNNNNNNNNNNNNNNNNNNNNNNNNNNNNNNNNNNNNNNNNNNNNNNNNNNNNNNNNNNNNNNNNNNNNNNNNNNNNNNNNNNNNNNNNNNNNNNNNNNNNNNNNNNNNNNGGUUCUUCUGCAGCCGCAGGUUCCUCAACUGGGGCUGCAACAGGUUCUACUGCAGCUGCCACUGCGGCUGCAGGUUCUGCAGCUGCAGGCUCUUCAGAUACAAGGGCUGCUGCUUCCUCCGCAACAGGAGCAGCCUCUUCUUCUACUGGUGCUGGUGCUGAUUCGACCUCGACUUCCUUUUCUACAACUGGGGCUGGUUCCUCCACCUGUUGAAGACACAAUUAAGUUAAUUAAAACCUACUUUAAAUAACAUGAUCAUGCACACUUCAAUACGAUAUCAGAGCAACCAGAUGUCCUGAGUUCAAAUCGCACCACAACUAUUAUAAAAAAGAACUUCCACGUGUUUGGACAAGCAAAAAAUAAUAAUCAGACCAACACUUGAGCUAUGUUUGAUACCGCAUCCGUGUCAGAUCCUCAAAAACUAUAUUACUUUCUAAGGAUCUGACAGGAACGCAUGCAAUCACAGUUUUGAAGAUUCCAAGCAACAUAACAUGUUAGCGGGUGUUACAAAACAUUAUUAAGUGAUUAAAAGUGUAACUUCUUUUAACAGAUUAAACUUUUAGAUAAGACGAUCAAAUAAUUAAAUGCUAUCUUGGUUACCUCUGGAGCUGGGGUAGCCUCAACCUCAGCUGGAGCAGUCUCUACUGCUGCUACUGGUGCAGAUUCAACCUUUAAGAAAGACAAAAAAAUCAAUCAAGUGAGAAAGAUCCAUCAAAUUAAAAUAUCUUUGAUUAAUGAUCAACUGUUUUCAGAUUGAUCAUAUGUAAAAGUAUUACAUAUGGUUUUAACAAAAUUAAAGAUUCAAGAAUUCUGCAUUUUUAGUUUAAAGGGAAAAAUAAAAAUCAAAACAUAUACUAUAGCUAGUAAGUAAGAUGAAGAUUCUAUUUUUUUAGUGUUUUCCUAAUUUGAUCUAUCAGAUCACUAGGCUAAUAUUUAAAAAAUUUGGUGUUAAAUUCUACUUCUUAAAAAAUGUUUCAUCAAUAGUGUCGAUCGGAUCAUCCAAAAAUUCACUACUUCUGGAGAAUCCAACAUGCUAGUUGACGUUUUUAAAAAGUCCGAGUUAAAUUGGUAAUAAAUCUUGAUGACAGAUAUGAUCACACCUUUAUACAAGAAUGAUCUAAUAAUAUUUCAGGAUAUUAAAAACAUUGAAGAAAAGUUAAUUAGGUAACUGAUCUUGAUCAGUUUUUAGUUUUCAUUUAGAAAGAAAUAGAAAAAAAAAACAUUAUUAUAAAAAUACCUCAACACUGGCCAUUGGAAUAAAGUUGAAAAAUAAGAAAAUGGGAAAGAGGAAAAUAAAUGAAGAAAUGGAAGGGGCAAAAGGUUUGUAAUUGUAAUUGGUGAUGGAAAAAAUGAUCAAAUAAGAGAGCUUUAUAUAGAGAAGUAAAAUGGAGUGUAUUUAAUUUAAAAAUAAUUAAUGGAAGAAAAAAGAAUCUUGAAGGAUAUACAUAUUGACACCUCACCUCACAUCACUGACAAUUAAGGGUGUACAAAAGAUUUGGAUGUCUAGUUGUAAAUGUAUUUACUUUUACUUUACUUUAUGCUUAUAAUAAUAAGAAAAUAAGUAAUAAUAAUCUUACAAAACAUUUUCUUUUUUCCUUACUUUUUUAUAAGUUUAAUCACUCCGUACUCGAGUUGAAGAUCUAUCAGAAACAACUUCUAUAUAUGUAAAGAUAGAAUUAAGAUAUGCAUACCCCAUUUAUGGGAUAACAUUCAGUAUGUUGUUAAUGUUAUAAUCAUUGGAUAUUUAAAUUUACAUGUUCGAUUAAUCUAGAUUCUAAUGGAGUAAGUCCAUCAAGUAAUACAGAGUAAAAUUCAUAAAUAGCAAUUUUUAGCUUUUGUUAUGGAAUUUCAAAUUCAACAAGUAAAACUUUGAAAUUUGGAACUUCUUGAUUGUGAUUGCUUUUUAAAUAUAUAGUCUUAAAAAGGACAAUAAAUGUUAUUAAUAGGUAAAACAUUCCUUUAUUGGGGAUUUUUUUUAAUUUCAAAUGGUUCGAAUCUAAGACUUAUGAUUAGGAAAGUUAGAAUUUCAACAAUCACACAACGCAAAUCUAGUAAAUAUUAAACAAAAUUGUAUCCCAUUUCCUCUUUUUCCUUAACGUGACGAGUUUUUUCUUUCAUAGCAUUAUGAAUUAAUUUAUUUACCAAUUUGAACUUGAAACUGAUAAUGAAUAAGUUCGUGCUUACUUUAUUUUAUAAGAAAAAUAAUAUUCUUACACAUUCUUUUCUUUUUUGAUUUUCAAGAUGAGGAGCUUUUUCUUUGAUAAGAUUAUAAAUUUAUUUAUUUAUCAAUUUGUCUAUUCAAACAUUAGAUCGACACAAUAUGAAUCAGUUCACAUUAACAAUCUCUUAUAAGAAAACGUUACUUAACACAUUCUUUUCGGUUUUUUCUUCCUUAUUUAUUUUGAAAAUAAAAACUUUUUUUUUUGGUGACAUUACAAAUUCAUUUAAGGGAAAAGGGUCAAAAAUGUCUUUAAACUAUGUGAAAGGAACAAAAAUGCCCUCCUUUUAUAGUUUGAUUCAAAAAUGCCCUUGCAGUCAAUACUUUGGUCCAGAAAUGCCCCUAUAGUUACAAAAUGGGUCAAAAAUGCCCUUUUUCUAAAUAAAUAUAUUGUUUUUUCUUUUUAAACACAUUUUCUUCUUAAUUAAAAUAUUAUUAAAGAACACUAUUCUUUAUUUCUUUCUUCUAAAAUCACAUUGACAAAUAAAAAUGUGGGAUUUUUUUUUUUCUUCUUAAUCUCAUUUUAUCAAUUAAAAUAGAAUAAUUUCAUGUACCCUUUCGACAAAUAAUAUUUGCCCUAUAUAUAAGAUCAUAGUAUACCCAUCAUUAAUUUAUAUUAAUAUAACGAUAAAAAAUAAUGAUAGUAAAAUAACAAAUAUUUUCAUUUUUUUUUUCUUCUAAAAUUGAAGUAAGAUAGAGAUUUGCUAAUUUUUUAAAAAAAACAUUAAUUGAAAAAGAAUAUGUCAAAAAGAAAAUAAUAAUAUAUUUAUUUGGAAAAUGAUCAUUUUUGACCCAUUAAAUAACAAUAAGGGCAUUUUUGGACCAAACUACGAACGGAUGGGCAUUUUUGUUCCUUUCGCAUAGUUUAAGGACAUUUUUUAGCCAAAGUAUUGACGGUAAGGGCAUUUUUUAGCCAAACUAUAAACGGAAGACAUUUUUGUUCCUUUCACAUAGUCGAAGGGCAUUUUUGACCCUUUUCCCUUUAUUUAAUUACUUAUUAAUCUAUUCAUUCAAAUUUAGGACCAACAAUAUGAAUAAGUUCACAUCGAUAGUAUUUUCUACGAAAAUUAAUAUUCAACACAUUCUUUCUGUUUUUACCUUAUUGAUUUUCAAGAUGAUGUGCUUUCUAUAUAAUAAUAUAGUAACAAUAACAUAUUUAGUCUCAUGUUGUAACUGGAAAGAAUAGUGUGUACACACGACCUUAUGCCUACCUUAAAAGGUAGCUAAAGUCCUUAUGCCUACCUUGAAAGGUAGCUAAAGUUAUAUGAUUUCGAUAGAUCCUCGACUCAAAUAGAAGAGUUUUUUUGUUUAAUAAUGUUAUUAAUUAAUUCGUUUAUUAGGUUUGUCUAAAAGCAUUUGUUUUGAUUGGGAAAUAGCAAAGUCACAUGGUGGUGGAGACCAUUUACUAUAACAGCUAUUAUAUCUUUUUUCUUUCUGUGUUUUGUGCAGUAGGGCAUGUAGGUGACUAAGACCAUCAUGCUUUCAUGUUCUUCUAAUUUUUAAAUUAAUAUUUUUCUUAAUUCUAGUUCCUUUACAACAAAAUCUCUUGGUUUAAGGGAAUAAAUAUAAUUUUUUUUAAAUUUCACAUCCUAUGUUCAGUAGGGUUCGAUUGAAUAUUGACUCACGCCGAAAACUUUUACGUAGGGUAAAGUAUUUUGUAAUCACACUUUUGUAUCUAAAGCUUAAAUUUGAGAUUUCUAUUUUUUUAAAAAUAAAAGAGUAUUUAUCACUCUAUCACAACUCUUACCAUUAUAACGAAUCAAGUUGCUAAUCCAUGUAAAUAAUGACUCAAUCUUUUAUCUAAACUUUUUUAAUGUAUGUAUUGGAUCUCACAAAUUAUUGUAUAAAUGUUUAAUUAGUAGAAACAUAUUUUCUUUCAGUAUGUGCAUUUACCAAUGUGGUAUGAUAGUAUAUUUUAGUAAAGUUCAUUUUAAUAAGUUGUUUUGUAAAUGAAAAAGUUGCAAAAUAUGUUACUCCAAUCUAAAAAUAAUUUAACUUCAUAUUAAAUAUUUUAUUCUUAAUUACAAAUAUUUUGACAUGUUUAAGAUCACAUAUUUCAAUAAAUCUUAUAACCAAACAAACAUUAUGUUAUAUUUAAAAUCAAAAGCUCCAUAACUCUUCGCAUCAUAUAAAUUAAAUAAAUAAAAUAUUAAACAACUUAAACUCGUGAUACUACUAUUCAAAUUAUACAUCUUUUGUUGUCAACUUUGGAUUGGAUCGAUCUAUUAAUCACGAACUCGAGUCAUGAUCAGACAUUGAUACAUGCUCAAGAUAAACUACUUACAUCACUCCUUAUUGAAAUAUGACGAUCCUUUCAGAUCUUGCUAAACACGAAAUAAUUUAUACAUCGAAUAUUUAUUUAUUGUCGGCAUGACACACCUUUCAUUAACUACAGUAAAAAUACAUAGUGUAAAAUCACAUCAAAAUUUCACCAAAUAUAGUAAAAUGUUUUUUUCUACAAUACUAGUCAAGAUGAGAAUGUUUAGGAAUUUGAAGGAAAAAAAAUGCCAACUUGGAUUAUUAUUAUUUUUUAUUUGUGGACAAAUGGCUAUGAGCGUAAAGUCCAAAAUAAUAGUGAAGGGCCGGUGCCGAAAUGGGCCCCCACUAUCACAAUUUACGAUCAUUAACGUCUAAAUGGGCCCCAUAUUCUGACGUGGCACUUCCUUUUUAGAUCCAAAUCCUUUUGGGUUUUCUCUAAAUGGGCCCUACUUUAUUUGGGCCUAGUGGGCCCAUACCUAAGACCCUUUAGAUGCUUUCCAGGUAGUACUACUCGUGCUAUUUGGGCCCCAUUUUCAUUACUUUCUCUGAUUUUGCCACGCUGGAUUUGUGUCAUUUGCCCAUACUCUUAUCCGUAUAUAGUUGACUGAAACAAAGUCGGUGGCACUAAGCUUUCGUUAUACACAAUGUUCGGAGGAAAAUUGAAUUAAUAGCGCUUAUUAUACACAGUAUUAGCUUAUAUCUAUGUAAGAGAUUGUCUUUAUAGUGCAAAUCACGUGACAAUAACUUUACAUAUUACGUCGGCUCUCCGAAAAACUUUAUAUAUAUAUUUGAUGUUGUAGAAAAAAAAGAUAUUGAGAAAAUGAAUAAUCCCCGUAGAGAUGAAUGUUGCUUGAACGAUAUUCUUACAAUGAAGGAGCGAUAACGGAGCCAGGUAGGGUUGAGGGGAUUUGAAUUGACCUUUUUCGAUGGAAAAUGAUAUUGUUUAGGUAUAUAUAGUAGAAUGUUGAACUCUCUUCAGCUUCUUCGUGUUUUUAAAAAUUUAAAAUUUAAAUCAAUAUUAUUAGUUGAAUGAUACUAAACAUGCUGACAUAUUUUUCAGAAUAUAAAAGGCAGAUAGUACUAUUUGAUAUUUGUUGUUACUAUUAUUGACAUUGAUACAAGUACCUAGAGAAUAUGCAAUGCACAUUAAAUUUUAGUGUGGAAUGUUUGAAGCUAGAGUUUUUUUAUUAUUAUAUAUACAAAACUUCAUCAAGGAAUUUCUACCACUAAAAUACAAGUAUAAUUUUAUUUAUUUAUUAUUAUUAUUAUUAUAAGAUCCUCAUUCUUCACCGUCAAUAAACACAAAAUUUUGGACCAUAGCAUUGGGAAAAAUAAAAACAAGAAAAGAGUCGUCAUCAGAAUAUACAUCUCAAAUUAGAGUGAACAAAGCAUAUACCAAUUAGUAAUAAUGCCUCGUUUUCAUAAGACAUAACAUGAGUUUAUAUGAUAAGCACACUUUUGAGCUUAACAAUAUCGUAGUUCAAGAGAUAAAUCAUAAUUAUUAUAGGAUCAGAAUGGACAAUACAUGCUAUGAAGUAUGAACUAUGUUGUGAUAAGGAUCUAUUAGUAUUUAUUUAGUCUACCAAAUGAAUAAUUAGGACCAUAAUUGAAUAUUGUCUCUAUUAUGAUUUUGGAGUUGAAUAACUAGUACUAAUAUUUUAUUUACUUUUUUCCUAUCCCAUAUAUAUGAUGGGGAUCUUUUAAUUUUUUUAAUUUUUGGUUUGGCAAACCAAGUGGUAUAUGUCAAGUGAAUUAUUUAAAAAUUGGAUGUGAAGUGUGAUGGCUCUUGCGUUUGGCUAAUUUCCUUGGAAUAUUUUUGAUUCCUUGUGACCCCACUAUAAUAUAGGAUGCUAUAAUAUACUAUAUUAUAAAGUAUUUUGAAUUUAUGCUCUUUUAACAUUUAACAUGUUACUAUUGCUGACAUGACAUUUUGUCCACCUCUAUAAGGUAGAAAAAUGAUAUUUAUUUAUGAGACUGUCACAUAAUUUCACUACUAACAAAACUAAAUUACCCAUUCCUUCAAAUUUAUUGAUGGUGUUUGACUCUAUACGAAAUUUAAGAAUAAAAUAAAGAUUUUAAAAAUAAUUUAUAGAUAUUUGUGUUACAAGUUAUUUCAUUAAGAAAAUAAAAUGAUGUUUUAAAAGAGGUUUUUUUUUCUAAUUGAUUAAAAAAAAUGUAGCAUAGAUUACGAAGAAAAUAGUUACUCAAGAAAUAUAUACUAACAAUUAAUAUCAAUAAGAUGGCUAAUUGUAUGUGUUUACUUACGUAAGUUCUUUUAAGUAUUUUUGGCUUCAUGCAUGUGUUAUGCAAAAUUCAUUCAUCGAUCUGAUUAAUUUGAAUUUGUCUCAAACUCUUAAAAUGAAAGUAUUUUUCUGAGAAACUUCUCUAUCGUGAAAAUUAAACUCGAGAUUUUUGAUUGACGAGUAAAUGAUACAUCGGAUCCUAGUACUUUUCCUUUUUUACCUAAAUAGUACAUUAGUGAAAAUGUUUUUAAAACAUCUCCAAGAUUAUCAGACCUGUCAAGCUCAUUUUUUCCUCUUUGUUUUUUUCUUGCCACAAUUUACGUGUUGUGUUCUUCUUCUUUCUUGUUUUUGGUUUUUUUGUUAACACAUACAUCAUUAAUUAUAUCAUUUUCAAUAAUAGUAUGCUUUUCUUAUUUAUAAUUUCUUCCUCCCAAACUAUAUGAAAUAAUAUGAGAUUUCGAAUUUUAGCCUUGUUAGAUAUAGAGAACAAAAUGUGAGAUUUUUUUAUAUAAAUUUGAAUUUAAUUGUGUUUAAUUAAUGAUACUGGACAUUAAAUGAAAAACCAACUAAUAUCUCAUAUAUAUAUGAUUAAGUAUUGCUUGGAAAGCUGAUAGAAAUAUACUAACAAAGUGUGGUCGAUGAAUAGGAUAUAUAUAUAUAUAUAUAUAUAUAUAUAAAAGUAAAGAUUUGAUGGUCUAAGUUUUGAAAAUAGCGAAUACUCUUUACUUUCUCUUAAUUGUAUUCUAUAUUAUAUGAAUUUGAAUUAGUCAAAUUAAUAAGUCUUAAAUAUUGAAGACAUAAACAAGAAAAGACAAAAAAGUCUAAAACUUUACUUUCUCUUAAUUGUAUUCAAAUUUUAGAGAUCUUCAAAAAAUGAAAAAGUUACAUCAAUAGGAUUCAUAACGCAUUUUUUGUUUUUUCCCAAUGGGAAAAAUCUAUCAAACUCAAAAAGGACUUUUCAUAAUGCCACUUAAGAUACAUUACAAAUUUGCAACAAUGAUGGAUUACUCCAAUUGAUCGACGUGCCUUAUUCUUGAAUUAUAUUGUAUAAAAUCUUUUAAAUUCGAUUAUAACUUUGUGAACUAUAUAUUCAAGUUUUUUCUUUGAAUUUGUUGUUAUUCGUUACGUACAAUAGUUCACAAAUCACAUAGGAGAUGUAAACUAUACAAGUCAAACCCGAUCACAUGACGAGCUUAACCGAAAAGGCGUUGACAAGAGAAAUUGAUCCCUGAUAUUUUUUAUGAAAUAUCACCUGUUGCACCAACUCAGUCACCCUUACGAAUAAUAUAUAUUCAAGUUAUAUAUAAGUCUACGAAUUGAAAAUCACUUCAUUCUACAACUUCUUUGCCAAUGAUGAUGACCUAAAAAUAAUACGUGGAGGCAAAUUCAAGAUUGUUAUAUUUAUUUAUUUUUUGAAAAAACAACAACAUAAUAAUAAGGACUGCUCAUUUUUUUCCUAAAAUUGUGGACAUUAAUCGACAAGCACCUUUAAAAUUUAAUGAUUCAUGUUGGAGUCUUUUUUUUCACUUUAGCAAAAACUUGUAAAACCAUAUGGUCCAUGUUAGAAAGCCUGUCUAGUUUCCAAUGUUAAUUUGAUAAUUUUCUCAUAAAAGAUUUAAGUUGUAUAUUUUUUUUGUUAUAAAUUAGGUGCGGAAUCAGAAUUUUCACUAAGAUAACUUAAAAAAUAUAUAAAAAAACACAAAUCAAGAAGUAAGAAAUUCAACAUACAUAAGAAUAGUUUUGACCUUGUUCCUAGUUGCUUCGCCCAUAUAGGACAUUGUAGGUGAAUCUAAUAAAAAGGUUAGUUCAAUGCAUAAAUUAUAUCACAUUUACAUAAGGUACGGGAAAAAUCGUACUGUAAAAAGAAUGUGUAAUUUAGACAAUUUACCUUAACACAAGUAUCAUUGAUAAAUUGAUUUCACGACUUGAAUUCUUGACGUACAAUAUUUACAAGUCGUAUAAAGACAACUUCACCAUACUUUAGAAUCAAUCAUUUGUUAAACUCAACAAAAAAAGACUAAACUAUUUGGCAAUCAAAACAUCGUAAAAAGAAAGGAAGAUAAAAUCCUAGGUUUCUUUCCUUAAAAGUUGGUCUGUUAGAUUUGUAAUUAUUUCAUCAAUUUCAAUUACUUGACUGUCUGUCAACAACAUUUGAGAAACUUUUAUCUACUUUUAAUUUGUUUUUAUUAUGAUGAUAUGUGAAUCUUUUUUCUGCCCUUGUUAAUUAAGCAAUAUGAUUUGGUUUUUCAAAAGGGCCAAAGCGAUUAUUUGAUAGACUUAGUGGAGUCGAAAAAUCGUUGAAUUAUGUUACCAACAAGCUACGUUACGAUAAAUUUUAUUGAUGAUAAGCCAGAGGAAGGUGAGGAUGACGUCAAGUCAUCAUGCACCUUAUGUCCUGAGCGACAUAUAUGAUACGACAACCAGGACAAAGGGGUUGUGAUCUCGCAAAGGUGAGCAAACAAAAAUUCAUCCUGAGUUCAAAUUAUAGAGUACAACUCAUCAACAUGAAAUCAGAAUUAAUUACUAGUAAUUAUAUAUCGGUUAACCAUACUGACGGAAAGUCCAUUGGAAAUUUCCUUUUUUUAGUAGUGAACUAGAAAUGCAAUAUGAUUAAAUGUUACCUAUCCAAAAAUACAUUAUUGAGAAUAAUAGGGGCCUCCCUCUUUUAUAAAGUUGUUUUCAAGAUAGAUACCAUCUUAGUUUUCUUAUUUAACCAAAACACGUAAGUUUUUAUCGAAAAUUGAUGUACAUUUAAUGUGGGUUCAAAUGUCCAAAUAUUAAUGUUUGAUGUAAGAGUUUUUUUUUUUUAAAAAAAAAAAAUAAAAUAAUAAUAAUAAUAAUAUAUAUAUAUAUAUGAUACUCAGGCUAAGGGUCAAGUUGAUAAUUUUUCUUAUAUCUCCCCCCCCCCCCCCCCCUUCGAAGCCUAGGUAUCAUAUACACGUCCAAAAUAAAGAGCUUUGACAAGAAGAAAAGCACCAAUACCUAUUAAGUGAAUAUCUAAAAUUGUGAUCAUUUUAUUUCGAUCUUUUCGAACAUAACCACAGAAGGGAAAAGAUUCUUCAAGUGUAUUAUCGAAGGGAAAAGAUUCUUCAAGUGUAUUAUCAGGUCCCAUAAGUGCAUAAUAAAUGUCACCAAAGUCCACUACAAAAGAAAUUAAAUGAAGUAUUCUAGAUGCAAAGUAUGGAAAGAUGUCUAUAACUUCUCCCCCGGGCCUACCCAACCUAUAGAAUAGCUACACGAGGAAGUAAAAUCAAUCUUAUUUAUACAUAGGCUUCUCAGGUACGAAAUGAUAUAUAUAUAUAUAAUCACUCUGUAAUCUACGUAAAAUUAAUGUAAAUAUCGAUUAUAACUUGCUAUAACUGAGCAUAUAUCGAUAACCGACUACAACUUAUCACGCUUAAAUGGGUAAACAAAAUUUUACUGACUAAAAAUGUCAACAUCUCUAACUAAUAUAAUUAUGAAGGUGGGUCCAUUUAAGGCCCAUAUGCAUUUGGUCUUAUAAAAAGGGAGAGGGACCCUAUUGGGAAUUUGGGUUGGAUAAUUUUCUUCACUAGUCAUAUUUCAUGGCCCAAUUAUGUAUAAUAAUACAUGCUUAAUUCAUAUAUAAUAUAUGUAUAAUUGUGUAUAGUUAAUAUAGUAAUAUGUGUAUAAUCGUGUAUAGUUAAUAUAUAUUAUAUCGAUUAGAAAAUAAAUGUCACUAGAGUCUUUAGCCACUCUGGAUUGCAUGACAUUUAAUUAAUUGUUGCUAAAUAUUUUUGUGGCAGUAAAUAAAUUUAUUACCGCAAAAAAAUUCUUUUUGGUGUAGUGAAUGACGAUAGACAUACCAUUUAACUAUGGAACUCAAGAGUUCUCUUUAACAACUAUAGAAAAGAUGAAAUGAUAUUUAUUUAUCGAUAGGACCUUGUCCUUAUCCGCAUGCACGAUCGCACCUCAUUUUAUUGAAAAAUUAACCUAAAUAGUUGUUUACUCAACCACUUACAGUAAAAAUAGGUGGUAGAUGUACAAUGUAUAUUUGAUUCAUAUUGAAUAUGUGUAUAAUCGUGUAUAGUCUAUGUAUAUUGAUUAGGAAAAUUGAACAAUUAAUCCAACCAGCUAUUGGUGUAAAGAUUUCGUUUUCAUUCACACUUUGGGUAAACCACUAUCUUGUAAUAUUUGAAGUCCCAAAUUCCAACAUUUUUUUCUUAAAACAUAGUCAUGUUUUGGUGCCUACAUUGUGAAUUUGUUACAAAAAUGGACACAAAACUAAAUAACAUUCAUGCAAAUCCAACAAUGUAUUUCCAAGGAAAUGUCAUUCAUCACAAUGAAAUGAUUUAACCAUACAACUUUUGAUUACUGAUUGGUACCAACAAAUUAUGUGUAGAUAUGUUUGGAAAAUGUCCAAAAGAUCACAUGAGCUUAGAUAUAUAGUGCUUGGUUGGGAUUUAAGGAUAUUCAAUUUCCACGUAAGGAUAAGUCGAAGGUCUAUCAAAAACAGUCUCUCUACCUUCAUAAGAAAAGGGUAAGGUGGCGUACACACCAUCCUCCCAAACCCUACUUGUGAAAUUACUCAACGUAUGUUGUUUCUUCCACUCAUCAAUCUAUUACUUAUUGUUUCACAACAAUGGCGAAAUCAUCCCUGUCUAAGCGAUGUCAAUCAACACCUUUUUACUCGAAAAUUACACUAUAUAGUUAACUAUCUUAUAUGUUAAAGCUCUUUGAAUUGUUACUUCUUUAUAUUUUGAUUUUCCUUAAAUCCUGACCCCGUCAUUGAUUUCAGAUACUCUUCCUCCCUCAUCAAUAUAGAAAAAGAUGAGUUUUCUCCCUCAUCAAUAUAGAAAAAGAUGAGUUUUCAAAUUUAUAUUUUGCUUGACCUAUAUAGCUAUAUUUAUUCCCUAGGCCAUGAUACUAUAUCAAAUAUUCCAAUCUUGCAAUGGUUGAAACCUUAAUGAACAUGUUUUGCUUUAUUCUCUUCAUAUAUGUGAAACUCAUGUAAUGAACAAAGUGUUGUAUAUAUAGCCAAAUUAUUUCACAGUCAUACACAUCCAAUUUUCUUGAAAAUGAGUUCACUAAAUGUUUUCCCUUCUACCUUGAUCUCUAAUAAAAAUUCCCAAUAAUUUUCCAAGAAAAAACUCCCAAUUUUCUCUCCAUCAAAAAAAGAAACUACAACUUCUUUAUGACCAAAAAUAUGUUUCUAGUUUUAUUCAAUUAAACCAAGUUUCAUUCAAAAGAAAUUGCCUAUUAUACCCUUUGAAAUGUAAUAAAUCAGACAAUUCAGAAAGUAAUAAUCCAGAAGAAGACCCAAAAGCUAUGGAAACAGUACAAAAACUUUAUAAAGCACUUAAAAAUAAAAAUCUUAUUGAAUUGUCUGAUAUAAUUGGAGAAGAAUGUAGAUGUAUUAGCAAUGUUGCCUCCUCUUUACAAACUUUCUAUGGCAAGGAGGUAUGUUAAACUCUUUAUCUCUCCAAUGUGAUUUUCGAGGAAAUGAUCUUCUAUGCCCAUUUACAAAAAUCUCUUGUGAUUUAUUUAUUAAAAAAAUCUUACUACUUAUUUUGUUUAUUUUUCUCCUUGAAGCAAGUAAUUGAUUUCUUCAAAUCAAUCAUAAAGCUCCUUGGGAACAAUAACUUUGAGAUUGUUUUCAAACCUACUACACAUGAUGGAACACAUGUUGGGGUUGCUUGGGAAUUAGGUUAGCCCAUUAUUCAAUCGAUAUUCAAAAUUUACUAACUCGACUAAUUCUGAAUUCUUCGAUUACCAUUUAUUUUUAUUGCAGAGUGCAGUGACACUCAUAUUCCUAUUGUGAAAGGUUUUGGAUUCUAUCAUUGUCAUUAUUACAAGGGUCGUAUGAUGAUAAGGUAAAGAGGAGGGAAAAAACAUGUUAAUAUCAAGAUUCCCUUUAUCCUUGUUUUUAUAAUCAAGAGGAUUCGAAACUCAAUAGUUAAUGAAACCAUCUAUGUAAAACUCGAUGAAUAAUGAAUCUGUUGGUACAAACUAACAAUUUCCUUCGAAUGACAGGAAUGUGGAGAUGAUCAUGGAGCCACUCCUUCAAAUUGAGCCACUUAGAUUGGUGAGUGAUAAUGUUCAAGAGUCUGAACAAAUAAUUCUUUGAUCACAAUCUAUUCAUAUAUCUUUUAAAUAUUUUGUGUUCGAGUAAUACAUAUGAUAGCAAAAUUAUAGAUACAUGGUCUACAAUUUUAGCAAGUACUAAUAUAAUAUUCUCUGUGUUUUUAUUUCAAUUCACCAGAAAAUAUCAUCCUUCCUUUUGAGAGCAAUUCAAAAGAUGACUCCAAAUAUUUUGAAGGGAAAGAUGAAAGAGGCUACGAAAAUCUUGUUUAUGAUUCUACUAUUUGUAGCUUCGCUGUAUUUGAUUAAGAACUUUAUGUAAUUCACUAGUAAUUUUCUUUUUUGAUUCGUAGCGAUUCUGAGUUUCCAAACCCCACUUGUGGAAUUUUACUGGAUAUGUUAUUGUAGCGAUUUUGAGUUGCUUCUUGUGUGAUGAAUCUUCAUAGAUGGCAGAAACUUUUGGUGCCAUCUAUGAAGAUUAUAAUCACAGAACAAGCAACUCAAAAUCGAUAUGCUAUAAAUAAGCAUUAGGAAAGAGACAUAACAACGAUGUUUAAAAUGUCACUCCUCUGGUCGUCUUCUUCUAUUCAAAUUGUAACUAGUCAUAGGAGAUCAUUUCCUCAACAUCGGCAACGAAACCACUAAGAAAACAGGAAUUUUAUAUCAACAACGAAAGAGAAAUAUACUCUCCAAUGUAUAUUAUAGGUCUGGCAUGUACAUCUUAAUUCCAAAAACAACUUUCCGCCAUAAGGCCGGGAGCAGAUCAAUCCAGAUAUAAUAUGUGUAUAGUUAAUAUAGUAAUAUGUGUAUAAUCGUGUAUAGUUAAUAUAUAUUAUAUCAAUUAGAAAAUAAAUGUCACUAGAGCCUUUAGCGACUCUGGAUUGCAUGACAUUUAAUUAAUUGUUGCUAAAUAUUUUUGUGGCAGUAAAUAAAUUUAUUACCGUAAAAAAAUUCUUUUUGGUGUAGUGAAUGACAAUAGACAUACCAUUUAACUAUGGAACUCAAGAGUUUUCUUUAACAACUAUAGAAAAUCUGAAAUGGUAUUUGUUUAUAGAUAGGACCUAGUCCUUAUCCACAUGCACAAUCGAUCGCACCUCAUUUUAUUGAAAAAAAUUAACCUAAAUAGUUGUUUACUCAACCGCUUAAAGUAAAAAUAGCUGGUAGAUGUACAACGUAUAUUUGAUUCAUAUUGAAUAUGUGUAUAAUCGUGUAUAGUCUAUAUAUAUUGAUUAGGAAAAUUGAACAAUUAAUCCAACCAGCUAUUUGUAUAAAGAUUUCUUUUUCAUUCACACAUUGGGAAACCACUAUCUUGUAUUAUUUGAAGUCCCAAAGUCCAACAUUUUUUUCUUAAAACAUGGUCAUGUUAACAUGUUUUGGUGCCUACAUUGUGAAUUUGUUACAAAAAUGGACACAAAACUAAAUAACAUUCAUGCAAAUCCAACAAUGUAUUUCCAAGGAAAUGUCAUUCAUCACAAUGAAAUGCUUUAACCAUACAACUUUUGAUUACUGAUUGGUACCAAAAAAUUAUGUGUAGAUAUGUUUGGAAAAUGCCCAAAAGAUCACAUGAGCUUAUUAGAUAGUGCUUGGUUGGGAUUUAAGGAUAUUCAAUCUCCACGUAAGAAUAAGUCGAAUGUCUAUCGAAAACAGUCUCUCUACCUUCAUAAGAUAAGGGCAGGACUGCGUACACACCAUCCUCCCAAACCCUACUUAUGAAAUUACUCUGCAUAUGUUGUUUCUUCCACUCAUCAAUCUUUGGCAAAAUCAUCCUUGUCUAAGAUAUGUCAAUCAACACCUUUUUGCUCGAAAAUUACACUAUAUAGUUAAGUAUCUUAUAUCUAUGUUAAAACUCACUGAAUUGUUACUUCUUUAUAUUUUAAUUUUCCUUGGUAAAAAUUCCUAACCCCAUCAUUGAUUUCAGAUACUCUUCCUCCCUCAUCAAUAUAGAAAAAAGAUGAGUUUUCAAAUUUAUAUUUUGCUUGACCUAUAUAGCUAUAUUUAUUCCCUAGGCCAUGAUACUAUAUCAAAUAUUCCAAUCUUGCAAUGGUUGAAACCUUAAUGAACAUGUUAUGCUUUAUUCUCUUCAUACAUGUGAAACUCAUGUUAUGAACAAAGUGUUAUAAAUAUAUAGCCAAAUUAUUUCAUAUUCAUACACAUCCAAUUUUCUUGAAAAUGAGUUCACUAAAUAUUUUCCCUUCUACCUUAAUCUCUAAUAAAAAAUUCCCAAUAAUUUUCCAAGAAAAAAACUCCCAAUUUUCUCUCCAUCAAAAAAAGAAACUACAACUUCUUCAUGACCAAAAAUAUGUUUCUAGUUUUAUUCAAUUAAACCAAGUUUCAUCCAAAAGAAAUUGCAUAUUAUACCCUUUGAAAUGUAAUAAAUCAGAUAAUUCAGAAAAUAAUAAUCCAGAAGAAGACCCAAAAGCUAUGGAAACAGUACAAAAACUUUAUAAAGCACUUAAAAAUAAAAAUCUUAUUGAAUUGUCUGAUAUAAUUGGAGAAGAAUGUAGAUGCAUUAGCAAUGUUGCCUCUUCCUUACAAACUUUCUAUGGCAAGGAGGUAUGUUAAACUCUUUAUCUCUCCAAUGUGAUUUUCGAGGAAAUGAUCUUCUAUGCCCAUUUACGAAAAUCUCUUGUGAUUUAUUUAUUAAAAAAAUCUUACUAUUUAUUUUGUUUAUUUUUCUCCUUGAAGCAAGUAAUUGAUUUCUUCAAAUCAAUCAUAAAACUCCUAGGGAAUAAUAACUUUGAGAUUGUUUUCAAACCAACUACACAUGAUGGAACAGAUGUUGGGGUUGCUUGGAAACUAGGUUAGCCCAUUGUUCUAUACUUUUAUUCUUUCAAAACGAUAUUUGAAAUUUACUGAAUCGACUAAUUUGAAUUCUUCGAUUACCAUUUAUUUUUAUUGCAGAAUGCAGUGACACUCAUAUUCCUAUUGUGAAAGGUUUUGGAUUCUAUCAUUGUCAUUAUUACAAGGGUCGUAUGAUGAUAAGGUAAAGAGGAGGGAAAAAACAUGUUAAUAUCAAGAUUUCCUCUAUCCUUGUUUUUAUAAUCAAGAGGAUUCGAAACUCGAUAGAUAAUGAAAUCAUCUAUGUAAAAUUCGAUGAAUAAUGAAUCUAUUAGUGCGAACUAACGAUUUUCCCAUUGAAUGACAGGAAUGUGGAGAUGAUCAUGGAGCCACUCCUUCAAAUUGAGCCACUUAGAUUGGUGAGUGAUAAUGUUCGAGAGUCAAACAAAUUAUUCUUGGAUCGUCAUAUUUUCAUAUAACUUCUAAAUAUUAUGGAUGGUGUACCUUUUAUGUAGUUUCUAGAUAUGUAAAUAUUAUUAAAAAAAACUAAAAAAACUCUAUGUCUAAAUGUACGGUCAAAAUUAAGAAAUUUGAAUCUCAAAAACGAGUAAUACAUAUGAUAACAAAAUUAUAGAUACAUGGUCUACAAUUUUAGCAAGUACUAAUAUAAGAUUAUUUGUAUUUUUAUUUCAAUUCACCAGAAAAUAUCAUCCUUCCUUUUGAGAGCAAUUCAAAAGAUGACUCCACAUAUUUUGAAGGGAAAGAUGAAAGAGGCUCUGCAAAUCUCGCUUAUGACUCUACUAUUUGUAGCUUUGCUGUAUUUGAUUAAGAACUUCAUGUAAUUCACUAGUAAUUUUCUUUUUUGAUUCGUAGCGAUUUUGAGUUUCCAAUCCCACUUGUGGGAUUAUACUGGAUAUGUUAUUGUAGCGAUUCUGAGUUGCUUCUUGUGUGAUGAAUCUUCAUAGAUGGCAGAAACUUUUGGUGCCAUCUAUGAAGAUUAUAAUCACAGAACAAGCAACUCAAAAUCGAUAUGCUAUAAAUAAGCAUUAGGAAAGAGACAUAACAACGAUGUUUAAAAUGUCACUCCUCUGGUUGUCUUCUUCUAUUCAAAUUGUAACUAGUCAUAGGAGAUCAUUUCCUCAACAGGGGCAACGAAAGCACUAAGAAAACAGGAAUUUUAUAUCAAAGACGAAAGAGAAAUAUACUCUCCAAUGUAUAUUGUAGACCUGACAUGUACAUCUUAAUUUCAACGAGUUCGAACAAGCUAAGGAUCUGUUAAUGUUCCUACUAUCCAUAUAUAUCAAGAAUGCCAGGAUUUUACAAGAACAAAGGAGGCUAGUGAACCUAGAUCAAGGCCGUGGCAUAAUUACAAAAACAACUUUCCGCCAUAAGGCCGGGGAGCAGAUCAAUCCAGAUAUCUAAUUACAUACCAUGAUGUCUAACUAUGUUAAUAAACUGAACUUACCUAAAAACCAAGAUACAUCUUCGGAAACAUUAGCGUGUCAUCGAACAACUUGAGGUGAAAUACCUGCAAAAAACCACAGCUUGAAGUUCAAUACAAAUGCUUAUGGGUAUCGAAAAGUAACAUAUGAAGAUACUCAAGUCAAGCAUAAUCUCGUAUAAGAUAUUAGAAAAUUACUUGAGGUACAAUGAUUUUGUCAUUGUCACUAAGAACGUGUGUCAUAGCUCAUGUAUUGAACGAACGAGAAGAAAUUCUGGGGUUGUCCAGGAGUUAAUUUAUUUGUGCAUAUGAAAGGGUUAAUGCACCAUGGCUUUUCACCUACCAUAAUUAUGUAGACGUAUAGUCAUUGCUAGACAAAAUGACGACCUGCCAGCAUCUCAGGUAAUUCUGUGGCAGAAACACUUUCACAUUGUAGGAGUUCCUGAAGCUUUGCGUCACACACGAUCAUCGAAGAAUUCACAGGAUCCUGCAAGCAGAAAUGCAGAUAUAUAUGCUAAAGAUGCAGAGAUAUGUGAUGAUAUUGCUUAGAGAUAUUAAAAACUUGUAGCGAGGUAGAAAAUGAGAAAGGAACUAAGAGUAGAGAAAACAAACACAUGCCCUCUGUAUAACCAAAACAAAAGAAGUAGAUUAUAGACAUCUACCUCAAGUUGGUUAAGCUUUAUAUACUCCCAAAUACGUUUCACAGCAUCUGUUUGGAGAAUCUCCUUUUCUUCACUUCCAAAAAAUUUGGCGAGCGCAUCAGAUAUUGUAACAGUGGAUGAGACAGGUUGUUCAACAUUAGUAGCCACAGAAUCAGCUUCAACCUUCAAUCUUUUAGCUUGAUCAGCUUGUUCUGCAGGGGUUGGAGAGGAGAACGUUUUCAUUAAAAUAGUUAUAAACCCUUCAAACUGUAGCUAUUUGUGGAUUUUUCCCUUUUCUUCUUUUUCGAUGUACUUUUUAUAAGUGUGAAAAUAAGAGAUAUAUUAUUACAAACGGAUAUCAUUUAUUAUUUGACAUACUUGAAGGAUCGAGUGCGGUGAUAUGUUUAGCCAGCAGCUUAUUCAUCUUGAACAUGUCGGUGCAGUCUGUUUCAAAGAGUGCUCGCAGAGCAUCGUUGCAGAUAAUCUUUCGCUUGUUACCAGGAUCCUGUAAGUUGUGUUUCCUGAUGUACACCCACAGCUGCUUCACAAUCUGAUCGAGCAAAGAAAGAUGUAUAUAUGAUCUAUGUAAUAACAGCUAACAACAACUCGGGAACUUAUGAUAUGACAAUCAUACCUCUGUCCUGGGCAUUGUGGGUUGACCAACAAUAGCCUGAAGUUCAGGUGAAACACCACAGACUUUGUUAAGACCACCUGGUCCACCUCUCCUUUUUGUUCCAGAAGUAGCACUGGACAGAACAAAAACCGUAUCAAAUACAGGAUGCUUUGGAUAGUGAAACCAUAUAAACGAUUCGCUCAACUCUUAUAACUAGGGGGAGAUGUAUAUGUUUACUUAACUGAACCAGAUAUCAUUUAUUGAACAUUUCAGACAAAUGAAAGAACUAACUCCCCAAGGUUCAAAUUCACUUUAGAAAACGAAAAAAGGCGAAAAACAAUAUAAAAUAGUUACAACUUACAACUACCUACUUAAGAAAGGUAAAUGUGACGUAUUAUUGAUUGAUUGAGACAAAACAAUUCCCUCAAUACAACUUAACACUAUCAAUCAUGUACAAGUAGUGAAGAAGUAUAGAGUACUUUAUUGGUUUCCAAGGGAACAAAGUAACUUCAUAUAUAAAGAUACGGGUUUCCAGGUUUAGAUCGAAAUUACAUCCCCUAAAUAAUACCAAUUCGUGUUCCAUUUGUGCGUUUACGACAUCCAUUUCUUCUGAUUAUGUCGAUGACCAUUAGUACAUAGAAUUCACUCUCUAGUUUUUUAUCCAACAAUGAUUUAAAUACUUUGUCUACUCUUGUAAGGUUGUAAUUGGCCAAGUAAUAGCCCUAUACUAUCAAUGUCGCUACAAUUUUAUUUUUAUUUUUAUAGUCAUGGUGUCCGGGCCAGCUUUGAUGCAAAACUGCUACCAAAUUUGAACACGUAAUUACGUAAACAUAGGAAACGAUUAAAUAACGUAAUCAAAUGACAUAAGAGCAUAGUAUUAAUUUAGAAAAAAAAUAAAAAGACUACCCCUUUUUACUCCACCUAUAUUCGCCCAACUACCAGCACCAACUUUAAAUUAGCAAAAAAAAAAAAAACAUAUUCUUAAAUAGUAUUUUCAGUAAAAUUAAUUUUCAUCUUACAUUGAAAGAGUUAAAAAGACAAACUUAUCCUCGCCGAAUUAUACUACAAUGAAAUACACCAUACCUUUCCUUAGGGGCAGAAGCGACAUUUGACGACGCAUGUUGAGCUGGAGCAGCAGCGGUUCUCACCAUCACCGGCACCGGAGCUUGUUGCUGCACUUGCGACUGCAGUGACGGUGGUUGCCGGUGCUGAUGCUGCGGAGACAGCAGUGGAGGUACAUGGUGCUGAAAGUAGAGCUGCUGUUGUUGGUGCUGGUGAUGAUGAUGUUGUUGUUGAAGGGCAAAAUGGGAAUACAACUGCUGUUGAGCUUGAGUGUUAGCGAAUUGUGGGUGGUUUAGGAGGGUAAAAUGGUUUUUAACCAUCAACGGAGGAGAAAUAAGCUGCGGUGGCUGUGAUCGGAGAAGACUGAUCUGAUCACUGAUAAACUCCGCUUUAUGUGAAAGGUCCUGUCCAAGUUUUGCUCCGAGCUGUUGUACGACGCCGUUUAACGAUGUAACGGCGUUAGGGUCCGAUUGACGGAGCAAAAUCUCAACACCUCUAGCUAUUUCCUGGUCCGACACCAUAGCUUUGCUUUCAUACAGUAACGGUGAAGUUAACGGCGUUAAUGUUCUCUCUCUCUCUGUUCUUCUUCUUCUUCUUUCUCUCUGUUCAAGCUCACUCUCUUUAUCUGUUAAUGGCUGUCUCUCUCUCUCUUAUCUGAUAUAUAAGUAUUUAAUGACGAAUAUACCCUUGCUUAGUUUAAAAGUUUGUUUACUACUUUUUGCACUUUUUCCAUGCUCUCUACUCUCUAAGGGUCCCAUUUCUGACCUUUUUUCUUUUCUUUUUAAAUAAUUUCGUAUCCGAAUCAAUUUAUACGCAUUUUAAUUAAUUUUGCAUAAUAUAUGCAAGGGAAAAGGGUCAAAAAUACCCCCCAACUUUGGUUUAUUGUUUGACUUUACCCUCGCCGUUAAAAUGAAGUUAAUUUUACCCCUCCCGUUACUAAUUUCACCAAAAUUACCCCUCAUUUAGACGGAAUCCCCAAAAUUGAUCCAAAUUGACCCAAUUACCCGGAUUUUAAAAAAAAAAACCUAUUCCCUAUUUUUAACCCAAUGACCCGACCCCCUCUAGGAUAACCCGGUACCAAUUANNNNNNNNNNNNNNNNNNNNNNNNNNNNNNNNNNNNNNNNNNNNNNNNNNNNNNNNNNNNNNNNNNNNNNNNNNNNNNNNNNNNNNNNNNNNNNNNNNNNNNNNNNNNNNNNNNNNNNNNNNNNNNNNNNNNNNNNNNNNNNNNNNNNNNNNNNNNNNNNNNNNNNNNNNNNNNNNNNNNNNNNNNNNNNNNNNNNNNNNNNNNNNNNNNNNNNNNNNNNNNNNNNNNNNNNNNNNNNNNNNNNNNNNNNNNNNNNNNNNNNNNNNNNNNNNNNNNNNNNNNNNNNNNNNNNNNNNNNNNNNNNNNNNNNNNNNNNNNNNNNNNNNNNNNNNNNNNNNNNNNNNNNNNNNNNNNNNNNNNNNNNNNNNNNNNNNNNNNNNNNNNNNNNNNNNNNNNNNNNNNNNNNNNNNNNNNNNNNNNNNNNNNNNNNNNNNNNNNNNNNNNNNNNNNNNNNNNNNNNNNNNNNNNNNNNNNNNNNNNNNNNNNNNNNNNNNNNNNNNNNNNNNNNNNNNNNNNNNNNNNNNNNNNNNNNNNNNNNNNNNNNNNNNNNNNNNNNNNNNNNNNNNNNNNNNNNNNNNNNNNNNNNNNNNNNNNNNNNNNNNNNNNNNNNNNNNNNNNNNNNNNNNNNNNNNNNNNNNNNNNNNNNNNNNNNNNNNNNNNNNNNNNNNNNNNNNNNNNNNNNNNNNNNNNNNNNNNNNNNNNNNNNNNNNNNNNNNNNNNNNNNNNNNNNNNNNNNNNNNNNNNNNNNNNNNNNNNNNNNNNNNNNNNNNNNNNNNNNNNNNNNNNNNNNNNNNNNNNNNNNNNNNNNNNNNNNNNNNNNNNNNNNNNNNNNNNNNNNNNNNNNNNNNNNNNNNNNNNNNNNNNNNNNNNNNNNNNNNNNNNNNNNNNNNNNNNNNNNNNNNNNNNNNNNNNNNNNNNNNNNNNNNNNNNNNNNNNNNNNNNNNNNNNNNNNNNNNNNNNNNNNNNNNNNNNNNNNNNNNNNNNNNNNNNNNNNNNNNNNNNNNNNNNNNNNNNNNNNNNNNNNNNNNNNNNNNNNNNNNNNNNNNNNNNNNNNNNNNNNNNNNNNNNNNNNNNNNNNNNNNNNNNNNNNNNNNNNNNNNNNNNNNNNNNNNNNNNNNNNNNNNNNNNNNNNNNNNNNNNNNNNNNNNNNNNNNNNNNNNNNNNNNNNNNNNNNNNNNNNNNNNNNNNNNNNNNNNNNNNNNNNNNNNNNNNNNNNNNNNNNNNNNNNNNNNNNNNNNNNNNNNNNNNNNNNNNNNNNNNNNNNNNNNNNNNNNNNNNNNNNNNNNNNNNNNNNNNNNNNNNNNNNNNNNNNNNNNNNNNNNNNNNNNNNNNNNNNNNNNNNNNNNNNNNNNNNNNNNNNNNNNNNNNCUCCCGUUACUAAUUUCACCAAAAUUACCCCUCAUUUAGACGGAAUCCCCAAAAUUGAUCCAAAUUGACCCAAUUACCCGGAUUUUUUAAAAAAAAACCUAUUCCCUAUUUUUAACCCAAUGACCCGACCCCCUCUAGGAUAACCCGGUACCAAUUAACCCAAUUACCCAUUUCCAUUUACCCAUGCCCUCUCUUUAGAUAAUCUCAUUUUCUCCCAAAUUUACCCAUUAUUGUAUUUUCGAUUCAUAUAUAUCUUGCUAAUUAUAUUUGAAAGCGGACUUGUAUAGGGGCUGGACCUCAAUUGCUAAAUAUUGUGCGAAGAAGCUGCCUACCACUACUGAAGUUAUGGCAAUUGACAAUGGGAAAGUUUUGUUUAGAAGAACCUCUACUUCCCAACUCAAAGGUUUGAUGAUACUUCAAGAUUGCUUGCACAUUUGAGCUAAAAUGCUUUUGGAAUGGAAAAUAGUUACUCCCUCAUGGAUUAUAUUGAAAAGGAAAGUGCUUUUGGGAGAAAAUGAGAUUAUCUAAAGAGAGGGCAUGGGUAAAUGGAAAUGGGUAAUUGGGUUAAUUGGUACCGGGUUAUCCUAGAGGGGGUCGGGUCAUUGGGUUAAAAAUAGGGAAUAGGUUUUUUUUUAAAAAAUCCGGGUAAUUGGGUCAAUUUGGAUCAAUUUUGGGGAUUCCGUCUAAAUGAGGGGUAAUUUUGGUGAAAUUAGUAACGGGAGGGGUAAAAUUAACUUCAUUUUAACGGCGAGGGUAAAGUCAAACAAUAAACUAAAGUUGGGGGGUAUUUUUGACCCUUUUGGUAUUGAAUAAUUUGGUUUAUUAAAGUUUGGACAAAUAGAGUUAUCUACUCUCUCUGUCGCAUAUGAGAUGGACGUUUUACUAAAAAUAUUUAUCAUCUAUUAUUUGAUCGUUUAUUAAAUUAAGAUAUAAUUAAUUAAUUUUGUUUUAUCAUUUUAUUCCUAUAAUUAAUAUAGCCUUUGAAAGUCUAAAUGAAUUUUGAAGAUUUAAGAAUUUAUUUUUCAGGAGGGUAAUAAAUAUGAACAAAGGAAAAAAAAAUAAAGUUGAGCAAUCUAUUAAUGACUUCUUAAUCACAGUGUAAAAUAGAAAGUGUUCAUCUAAUAUGAGACGAAGAGAGUACUUCUUUAUGCUUUGCUGAAAUUCAAAUAUGAAAUCUCAUGAUUUUUAAUUUACUUGAUUGAUUACUAGAAGAUUUUUUAUGAUGACCAACUUUCUUGCAUAUCGACUAAUUACACGGGACAUCUAUCACCUCCCACCAACAAUAGGUAAUAUGUAACUCUGUACACCAAGGCUAGGACAAAUGAGAAGAAGUGUUUUUUAUUCCCGUUGAAAAUUUGAAUCUGCGACUUCAUAAUUCUCAACCACUUCAUUGAUCACUAGGUCACACUCUUGGAUGUCAUUAGACAAUACUUUUCAGUGCCAUAACCUUAUUUUUAAUUUGUAUCAAAAAAAUAUUCUUUGUCAAGGUUAAAGAAUUUUAUUAUCUUCACAAAAUAAGAAUAAAACUGUAGACCUGUAUGCACAUAUUUUUCCAGAAUUCACCUAUUAUUAUGCAUAUUCUUACUAUUAUUAUUAUAGAGUUUAGUCGAACACCUUGACGUAAAAUGAAACGAACGAUGUGUUAGCAUCCAGAAGAAGCAAGGUUAUAAAUGUAAUUAUGUGAAGUGUGGACCUUUGAUUUUAGAGAAAAAAAGUAAAAGAAUAGUACUAUUUGAGAGGAUAAAGAUAAAGUGGUGGGCCCAAAAGAGGUUGGGCUAAAAUUGGAAUUGUCUUGUCUUUCCCAACAGUUUUUGAAUUAUUUUUUGCUCUUUUUUUUGGGUUUAAGUUUACUUAAAUACCAUUGAGGCCAUGUUACUCUACCAGGAAAAAGUGAGGUUAUUUUGGGAAAUAAUGAGUGUUUGCGUGUCACAGCUAUAUGCCGUUUGAUUAAGAUUGGGUUUGGUCAACAACUUGAUGAAGCUCACAAUCUUUGCAAUGCAAAACAAGAUUUUCCAUAAACAUAGAUAAUACUUAUCACUUUACGUUUAAUCCGAGGUCUCGAAUUUGAGUUUGACAUAAAAAAGAGUGAACACAUACUUUUUUUCUUAAAUGGACUUUGAGUGAGGCAUCAUUAAAUUAAUUAGUAUUUCAACGUAAAUAUCAAACAUUCAGCAUCAAGAAAAAAAAAUGACAGAGAAACUAUGUACUCUCAUUUUUUAAUUCAUUCUUUAUCCUAUAGUUUCUUUCUUACUAAUCUUUUUAUCUAUUUGAUACAUGCAUAAUAUAUAAGUUGGAUUCAAUUUUAACAUUAAUUGGCAAGUAAACUCUCUACUUAAUCACAAAUAAUAAUUAAACCCUUCAACACAUUUUCACCGUAUCUCGUGUAUAUCCAGCGACCAACGCUAAAAUGGCACACAUCAAAAUUUGAAAGCAUUUAAUUAGAUAUCAUUUUGUAAAUUGGAGUAUUCAAAUAACACAAUAUACAAAGUUAAGGAGUUGUUUGACCAUCAGAAUUACACCAAAAAAUGAUCACUAAUCACAUGUAAAUAUUUUAAUUAUUUUUAGUAUCUUAUAUUUUGAUUUGGUCCUCAUUUUAUUUCUUAUUUGCACUAAAAAAAUCAUUUUAAAAACAUCGAAACCAAUCGAAUCGAAGUUGAAAAACCAAACCAAACCAAACUAUUUCGAUUCACACUUUCUCAAAAUCAAUUACGAAAUAAUCGAACCAAAAUUUAAUAAAAACCGAACAUCCAACCCUACUUAUAGUCAUUUAUCAAUUUGUUCAAAUACGUAAUCUACGUAAAUUUAUAAACAUUCAUAUUGCUAUACUUCUAUUUGCCCAUAGCAACUGGGGAUCAAAAAGCACCAAAUUUGAUGACUUAUUAAGAGAAAGAUGAAGUAAGAGCAUGCUAUUGGAGACGUUGCAACAUAUGUCGGGAAGGCCUCCGUUAAUUGUGUAGAAAAGAAUUUCAUUUUAUUUUCCCCGGAAUUUUGGAAAAAAGCCGCUUCGAUAUGUGGAUUUGAUUCACCCUUAGUAAUGAGAGGAUUGGUUUGGUCCUCUCAUACCAGUGAAUUGGGUCGCAUACAUUGGAGCCAGAUUCAAUCCCAAGGGUCAAUCAAGCCUUUGAAACUAGUGAAAAUAGUCAUCACAGUCUGAGUUCCUGCUUUCAACGAGACUUUCUUACCUUGUCAAACUUUCUCUCCUUCACCAGGAAAGUUAUUCGGUAAGCAAGAUCUUUGAUUGAUGUGCCAAAAUCUUUAUAGAUAGAGCCAAUCAUUAAUUCCCAACCGUGGGGUGAAUGGAAUCCGAUACAUAAAUCAGUUAACAAAAGAAUAGAAAAAGCUUUGACUAAAGAAGGCCGAUUCCCCUAAGCAAUUAAAGGGCUACGGCUUUCGGACCAAAAACUUAAAAUGAGUUUACCCGACUUAAGUGCACACCGAAAACAACUCAUUUGGGCCAUUUCAAUUUAACAAGUCCUUACCAAAACCCAAAACCCAAAAUCUAUGGCUAUGGCGCAGGUGCUGAGCCUACAAGUUUCAACCCCAGCACCACCGCACCACCACCGCGCCACCUCAUCUUUGACCCGGCCGGCGCUGCUAACUGCUCCUUCCCCCACCGCUGAAAAGAGUUUCCGUUCCUUACAACACAAGCUCCAGUGCAACGGCAGAUUUUUUUGCCUCUUCUCUGAUAAUCGCAAACAGGUAGUACAAAGUUUUAAGCUUUUGAAAAUUCCCAAUUUGAUGGCUUUUCGAUUUCCCUUAGAGAGAAAUGAAGUGGGUGUGUUUUGGAUUAUCACGAAAAUGUCUGUAGUAAAAAAGUGUACUAAAUUAGUGAAGGGGUUUAUGUUUUGCAUUUGUUAUCAUUCCUGCUGGUUAAUCAGAGUGUUUGUACUUGUGGGUUGUGUAUAAGAUGUGAUAAAGUUAUCAACUUGGGUUUUUUUUUUUUUGCUAACUCCAAUAAAGGAAUAAGGAAGAAAAUGUUUGUACUUGUGUGAGUGAACAAAUUGUUUUCAGUAGUUCUUGGUGUGAGCUUGGGCUAGAAAGAGAGUUGUAUGGGUGUGUAAACAAUUUCAUGAUGUUUUCCUAGCGGAAAUGAAAAAUCACUAGGUGAUUUUUGUCCUAGCCUUGGAGGUUAGAGUUACUUGGUACUUGUUGCUGGUGGGAGGUGACAUGUAUCCCGUGGAAUUAGUUGAGUUGCACGAAAACUGGAACGGACACCACAGUUAUCAAAAGAAAGAAAAAAUCAUGAUGUUCUACUUGAGUGUUAGUUCAUACCAUGGUGUCCUAGAGUCUGUAGGUAGAAGUUCUAGCACGUUUCAGUGGUCCUAUCUAGCAAGUCUCUAUCCUAUUGCAUACUAAUCCGAAACUCCUAAACGAUUUGAUUGACCCAAAAGAGUAUACCACAAGUUAAAUGUAUAUGAAGUUUUAAAUUUGGGGAACAAGGUUCCCCACUUGAUUUCGUGCCUUAUAUAUUGAUGGACGGCAAAUGUCUGCUUUCUCUGUCUUUGUUUCUCUCAGCCCGAGCACACUUCCUGUCAAGAAUAAAGAAAAAGAAAACUAAAUGCUUAUGGUCAUUCCUGAGCCUGUUCUCGGUCAUUUUAGCCUGGCUUCUGCUAUUGCCAUCAUCCUCAAAGAAGAGUUACCGCCACUUUCUAUGGUUGCUCUAUAAUAUUGAUUCCAUUGUUUCUUUUUAGUAUGUUUGGUUUUUUUUACUGGCCAAAAUAGGUUUCCCAUUCCUUCUCUAUUUCCUGCCUCUUGGGACUGGAGUAGCACUGUAAGAAGGCACUCAAAAAGCAAAAUGGCAAAGCUGUUGAAUUGUGGUAGUUUAGCUAUUAGAUGUAGUAGUCAUGUAGCAAAUGGAAAACCAGAAUAUGACAUUCUGAAAGAUCAUCGAUUUCAGAUGCUUCUUAUAUCCUGACCUGAAGUUCUUUGCAUCCGACAUUUUGUUUGUGCCUUAGAUUCUUGGCUUUAUUUGGAGGUGAGGUUAUUGGAAGAGUAAAUUGGGACAUUAUCUCUGAAUCUCCUUUGUAUGUUGUAUUCUUAUUAGUCCGAUUAAUAAAGAGGAGUUUAGAACACUCUCCCUGCUGUCACAAAAGUGUAUUUUCUUAGAAAUAAAAAGAAGAAGAGGAGUUUAGAACAUUUCAUAAUCUUUUUCUUCCGUGUGUUAAUAGUUCAGGAAACAUGGAUUUAUUAAAUAAAAUUUGAAAUAAAAGAUUGAGCUUUUAGAACAAACAAUUGUGUGGAAGUAGUGAGGGGCUGAGGGCAGACAUUGUGGCUUGAUACAUAUCCAGCUAUUUGCUCUGUGGCUAUUCAUACGUUUUCUUCCAUUCCGCGCUGGUGGGUUUGGUGUAGGAUAAGGGUGAGAAUUUCUAAGCUACAAUUGCCAGAGGAAGUUUCAAAGUUCUUGCUGAUCAUUAGCACACAUAUAGGCUGUGAAUCGGUUCAGAAAGGUAUACAUUUGUGGUUGUUGGAUGGGUAGUUGUCUGAUGGGAGAAAGAUAGAAGACAGUUAUUCUCAAUAUUCUCAGUUCUUCGCCUAGUUCACUAAAACCAGAAAAUGUAGUUGUUCUUUAGCUUGAUUUAGGGCUUCCAAGAGAAAUAAAAAAAAGUUAGAAAUGCCACUAAGAAUUCAUUUUCACUAAUUUUUUCUGAUAAUGGUGCCAUAAUGGGAAGAGCAGAUUGUUUGAUUGAUAUGAUUUAGCUUUUAUGAAGAUUGCUCCACAUUAGCACUUUUUUUUUUUUUUUUUUUUGAUAACCGAGAAAUCCAUCUGUGACCCGCCCUUUGGACCAAUCACAGCCUUCUAAACUCGGUGGAUAAUGGGCACGCCCCUCUACCCUUCUCCACUUAAAUACCGGGCUUCACUUUGCAUGGUGUGGGGCUUGAACCUGCGACCUAAGCAACAAAUCCUCCACAUUAGCACUUUUUUUUUUUUUUUAUAAACCGGAAAACCCUCUGUGACCCCCCCUUUUGACCAAUCACAGCCUUCUAAACUCGGUGGAUAAUGGGCACGCCCCUCUACCCUUCUCCACUUAAAUACCGGGCUUCACUUUGCAUGGUGUGGGGCUUGAACCUGCGACCUAAGCAACAAAUCCUCCACAUUAGCACUUUUUUUUUUUUUUUUUAUAAACCGGAAAACCCUCUGUGACCCCCCCUUUUGACCAAUCACAGCCUUCUAAACUCGGUGGAUAAUGGGCACGCCCCUCUACCCUUCUCCACUUAAAUACCGGGCUUCACUUUGCAUGGUGUGGGGCUUGAACCUGCGACCUAAGCCACAAAUCCUCCACAUUAGCACUUUUAUGUACUUAAGUUUCAUUCCAGAGGUUCCACUUGAAAUGAACCAGACACUGGGUUUGUGAAUUCCCUCAGAAAAGGAGUGUACAACUUUGAUUGUGUGCUUUGCCAUAGGAUUAUAUUUACAAGGUUUCUUCAGCCAUGCUUAACCUUGUAGACUCAGAAGUACCUAUCUCCAUUUCUAGGUUUCAUGCGCCUUCAGACUCGGGCAUUAUCUCAUUUGGAUUAUGUACCUUGGUAAUAACUUUUUGACUUAACAAACAGAAAAUAAUGAGCUUAGUAAUUCCAAUUUGCAACAUCUUGUUGUAGACACGAGAUACACAGAAGUUUUCUUCUAAUUGUGUCUCUAGCAAUCAGAGGAAAUAGAAUUCUAGUUUAGCAUAUUUGGGAACAAGGCAAGGCUUCUAGAUUUAGCAGUAAUUUCGCAUGCUUGCAAAAUUCAAUCAAGGUGACUUUACACGAAACGUAUGAAGUGGAAGUUUGCUUUUCUAUUUUAUGCGUCAUCUAAUUCUGGCAGGUCUAUUUACCUAUCUGUGUUGUGCCGUUUCAUAUAAACAGGACGAAGCUAGAAAAGCUCUAGAAAGUGCUUUGGGAGGAAAGAAAACUGAGUUUGAGAAAUGGGAUAAAGAAAUUAAACGAAGGGAGGAAGCAGGUGGAGGAGACAAUUCAGGCGGAGGUGGUUGGUUUAAUUGGCGUAGAUGGUUUGGUGGUUCGGAAGAUGGCCAUUUUUGGCAGGAAGCCCAACAAGCAACCCUUGCUAUCUUGGGUAUUAUUGUCAUGGUGAGCAAUUAUAUAAGAUUCUUUGUACUCCCUCUAGGGUAUUUUACGUAACACUCUUUCCUUCUUAGUCUCUUCCUAACAAAAUGAUACGUUUCAAUUAUAUCCUAUAUGGCAUGAUUUUAUAACCACAUAAACAUCGCGGCAUGUUUGAGACCACAAACUUCAAAUGUUUUUCUUUCUUACUGAGACUCUGUGCUCAGCCAAAUACAUUCAUAAAUGAAACAGAAGGAUAUGAGUAUCUUUGGUACUUUUAAGAUUUCAAUUAAUAAUAUUAUUCCGCACUUCUACUUGUCUCUUAUUCAUCAGUACAUCGUGUUUGAAUUUGCAGUACUUGAUAGUUACAAAAGGAGAUGUUAUGCUUGCUGUGAUAUUCAACCCUCUGCUGUUCACUCUACGCGGAGCAAGGAACGGGUUUACCUUUGUAACAUCACAGAUUAUGAGAAAAGUAUAUCCUGCUAGCCAAGACAGCUUUGGCACCAUGUCUCCGGAAGAAGUUCCUUCUCGUGUUUCUGCCAAAGAGACCGUAGCAAGAAAAUGGGGAAGCGAUUAAUCACUCGUACGUUCACUAGCAAGUACUUGUCUUCUCCUUGUAUUCUGAUAUUGUUAGUGCUUUUGGUUAGCUUGCUUUUUCAUUCAGUGUGGGGAGGAAAAAACGCCACCCAAUGGUGCUUCUACGAAAGUAUGGUCACCGGUGGCUAAUACCUUCUCGAGACUAUCGAACCUGAAAUCCACUUUCCAUCGCUCCUUUUUAGGUUGGCGUAAUAUAGAAAAUUGUUUCAUCAGCUUCAUGUUGAUUUCAUCUUUAACAUUUGAAUUGGGAAUAUACAAAAUUUUGUAAUAUAUUGAGUUUCUAGUAGUUGUGGCAUAAUGUCAUAUAUAUUUUUUUCCAAUUCAUGUUAUUAAAAGUCAUCACUUUAAGAGAUCCUGCUACGAUGGCUUUAGAUGAAUGUAUGCUUCAAAUAAUGACGCGAAAAUGAACGUAAAACUUGUUUGGAAUCGAGACAUAAUCAUCGUUAUUUAUAUUUGCGAUAUGAUAAUUUGAAUUGGUUCAUGGUAAUAAUGAUUGUCCCCAUUAAUGACAACAUUAUAAUUUUAAACUUGUCAUGUCUAGUAAGUACUUCUUUGACCACCAACAAAAUAAUUCAUCAUCAUUGGCCAUAAUGAAAAGCAAAAUAAAGUCUUUAGACUUUUACUAUCGAGAAUUAUAGUGAGAUGAAUAAAAAAAAUCAUAGUUUAUCAGAUUCUCAUAAUUAUAAUCAAAAUAGAAUUUUGCAACUCUUUAAUUAGCAGUGUCGGGUUUGAGGUCCUUGGUAUAAAAACACGACCUAGUAAUGAAUGUUCUCCUCUUAAAUGGGUCUUACGAGGUAUAAUUCAGAUUCAUCGUAGUUUCAAUAUAGAUAUCAAACAACAACAUAAUCAAUAUAAUCAUCGCACAAAUGGAGUUUGAAGAGAUAAAGUGUAUAAAGAUUUUACCCCUAUUUUGUGUGAGGUGUAAAAGCUAUUUUCUAUAGACUCUCGAGUCUCCACUCUUCUAAUUGAGGAAAUAGAAAAGUAAAGAAGAAAACAGAAAAGGUUUCCACAAUAUUCCUUAAUUAUGUUGGCGUGAAUUAUGAAUCAUAAUUAAUAUUCCUCUAGGACUUCAACUAAUCAUGCUAAUUAUCAUAAUUAUAAAUAAAUCGAUGGGAAUAUACCAGAAAAUCAUGAUAACACGUAUAGAAAUAAUAAUUCUAAAGCCCCAUUAAUUUAUUCAAUCACGUAACAUAAUUACUCAUCCUUAUCUUCUUAUUCUUAAGAUUAUUAUUAUUGAUGUAACUUACAAAAAUCAUUAUCUACCCUACUAAUUAUUUCAUCAUACUUUUCUCCAACAUUUAUUUAGUACCAAGCUCAAAAUUAUAUAUUUUUUUGGGCAACAACAAUAUAGUUAAAGAAAUUGUUCAAUAAAUUAUUUCACUUGAAUUAUCCAUUAAAGUAUAUGAGCUGAUAUUGUCAAAUAUUAAAAGUGUCGAUAGUCUCUUAAAUUUGUUAGUAAAUUUCAUUUUAGAUACUCAAAUUACGUCCUAUUUUAAUUGAGCAUCUGAACGGCUGAACCAUAUUCCUAUUUGAACUUUCGGCUUGAAUAUUAAAAAGGUUUUUAUGCAUAUUUUCAAUUGCUCAUUACUUAAAAUAUGGUUUAACGCCGAUAAAUAAUAAAACCUCAUACAUGUUCUAAUUGAGCUAAUGUGUUCAUAUCAAGCAAUGAAAUGAGAAAAAAAACGUAUAUGCAAUUAUCAUUCAACAACAACAACAACAAAAAUAGUAGCAAUAACAACAAUAAUUAAGAGUAAUGAAUAAGUGUUGGUUUAGAUAAAAUCCCUUUAUGAAUAUGUCAGUGUCAAUACUAAAUUCUCUGAAGCUAUUUAUGUUGAGUCACGUGAAAAUAUAUAAAUGACCAUAGUCAUAAACUUUAAAAAUGUACAAUCUUUUGACAAUAACAUUUACUGUUACUGCAUCCAAUUCACUUAAGACAAAUAUAUAAUAUAGUUACGUUAAAAGUUACUAAAUUCGAUCAAAUCAUUAACAUACAUACUAGUUGUGCCAUCAAAUAAGUUUCAUGUCAUACAAAUUUAAAUUAAUCAAGAUUGAAAUAUCGAUACGAGUGAAAGACAUUAUGCAAUAGAAGAGAUGCACGUAGUCCUCAAGUAAGGAAUAAUUGUCUAAUGAGAGAAGAGGUCCAAAAAUUAGUUAAAAUUCCUCUCUUACACCCAAUCUUAAGCUGUCUCCCAAGUGACCUUCACGAUCUCUCCACCAUUAUUAUUAUUAUAUCUUAUAUUAUACUAAAAUACUAUAAUUAUUACUCUUCUCUUAGUUUAUUUUAAAAAAAUAUCUCUUUUCUUUUUCGACAACUUGUUAAGGGUCUGAGGAGGAUAAAUGUAAACAAAUCCUAUCAUUAUCUUGAGUAGAUAGAGAGACUAUUUACAAAAGACAUUCAAUUCGAGUAACGAAUAUUAAAUCAACUAGCAUGAUAAUACAAAAGUAAAGAAGACAUAUAAAAUAAUAAGAAAAACGUAACAUAAAUAUCAAAGCGAGUCUCAUGUGACAUGUUUAAGAUUAGAAUAUAAAAAAUAUUUUUUACUUUUUAAAAUUUCAUGUCAAGUCAAAACCAGACAAAUAAAUUGAAACGAGACUAUAUUAUUACUCAUAUUUUUCAGCUUUUAAUUCUCACAAUAUUUGGAUCACCACAAGACCAUUUCCAUUUUGUACCUUAAAAAAACCAGACCCCUCCUUAUUUUUCUCACUUUUUUUCUUGGUAUCUUUUUCUUCUUACCAUUGUAGUAAACAAUACCGUUGACCAUUUUCUCACAACCCAAGCAUAUUUUUUUUAAAAAAAUCAUUUUUUUUUCAACGAUGAUCCAAAUAAAUUCUUGUUUUUUUAUAAAGGGGAAUUCUUUUUAGCCUUUCUUCAAUGUUGUUGUUUUUCCUUUUUGGGUUUUUCUAGUUCUGUUCUUUUCUUGUCAUAAGUUAGAACAAAACUAGUAAAAAGCCCUUUUCGUUAAUCCAUUUUUGUGUGUGUUUGUUUGGCCAAGAAUACUUGUUUUUUUGUUAAUGUCCUUGGCUGUUAGAUUUGCUGAAAACAGCAAGAACAUGGGUUUUGAUGAUAAUAAGGUAGAAGGUAAAGAAGGGUCAGCAACAAUUUCUGAGGGUAAUAAGGGAAUUGUGGCUGAUUUUGACCCUGAGAUUGAGAAUGAUGGUGGUCCUGUUGAGGGUAAUAGGGUUAAUAGGCAAAUGAGUGAAAGUUCUAUUUAUACUACUGAUCAUGAAGAGGAUGAUGAUGAAGCUAAUAACAAGAUUGAGUUAGGUCCUCAAUGUACACUCAAAGAAACAUUUGAAAAGGAUAAGGUGUGUUGAGUUCUUUUGUUUUUAACAUUUCUUGAGUUUUGAGCCAUGCUGGUCAUAGAGUCAUCUUAAUUAGGAAGCGUUUUGAGGUGUGAAUUUGGAUCAGGGCACAAUGUGGAUAUCGGAUAUAGGAUGAGAAAGAUUCCCUUUUUUGUUUUCUUGAAAGAUAAAAAAGAUUGCAUCUUUAAAGUCGUUUUAGUUAGGGAGCGCUUUGGCCCUCAUCGGACUUUUAUCCUGUGGAUACUAGACAUCUUCCCCCUUUUAGUUAUCUUGAAAGAUAAAAAAGAUUGCAUCUUUGUUCCUUCUUAAAUGGUUCUUUGAACAUUCUGUUUGUUUUUAUUCUUCCCUUUUAAUUUUCUUGAAAUAAAAACAAAAAUGUUGUCUUUAUUCCUUUUUAAGUUUAUUUUGUGUUGUUUGUUUUGAUUUGAUUCAAUGUUUGAUUUUAGGAUGAUGAGAGUUUGAGAAGGUGGAAGGAGCAGCUCCUUGGAAGUGUGGAUAUCAAUGCUGUUGGAGGUAAAUAUUGUGUUUGAUUUAAGAUUUGCUCCUUCAACUUUCUUGAAUUUCUGAUUUUUGAGGAAAGAGUAAAAAGGGGCAGCCCGUAGAGGGAGGACCGGGGCCCAAGGGGUGUGAUGUAAGUAGCCUAUGGCUGAUUUCACAGUUCGAAUCCGUUAGCGAUAGGUCACACGGAGACAACUUUAUGCUCCAUUGUUUCCCCUUUUUUUUGAGAAAAGAGUAAUAUGCAUAUACUCCCUCCCUACUAAGAUACUUAUCGCUUCUCAAAAUCAAAUUAUAUGAACUUUGACCAACAUUUCGAGAGGUAUUUUUUGAUAUGAGAAGAAUUGCAACUUACAAUACUUUUCGUAUAAUUUUUGAAUAUCUAAAUUUUUGGUUUAAAAUAUUAAAUUAAUUCAAUUCAGUUUAGCUAUGAAGAUUAGUCAAACUGACUCGUGAGAAGGCAAAACUUGACAAUUAUUUUUGGGAUGGAAGGAGUACAAUGUCCUCUUUACUUAUAUAUUUUCUUUUCAUAUUGAUUUCGUGUUCAUUACUUGAGUGGAAGGCCUUUCGGAAAUAACCUCUCUACCUCCACGAGGUAGGGGUAAGGUCAGUGUUGUUGUUGUUGGUGGUGAGUGAACAGCUCCUUCCAUGUUACUUUCAUUUUCAAGAUAUGGUAUGGUGAGGAACUCCAAAAAUUUCUUUACUCGAUUUUCCUCUAUUCGUGUAGUCUAUUCUGUUUACUUUGACAGUAUGAAACUUAUCAGUAGGACUUUAUGGUUGAUAUAAUCUUAAUGAGCUUUAAGACACAUACUAGAAGCAUUUCUGUUUCUGCGGACUGUGCUGGUAUAAAUCUUGACACUUCCCGUGACUGCUGAAUAAUGUAGAAUCCUUGGAUCCGGAAGUGAAGAUCUUGAGCCUUGCAAUUAAGUCGCCCGGUAGAUCUGAUAUUGUUCUCCCUAUCCCUGCGGACGGAAAUCCCAAGAGCCCAUGGUUUGUUCUGAAAGAAGGGAGCAAAUACAGCCUAAAAUUUACGUUCCAGAUCAACAAUAAUAUAGUAACAGGUCUUAAAUACAAGAAUGCAGUUUGGAAAACCGGUAUCAAAGGUACUAUGCCGUCCCUUCACAUUUCCACCUCUAUAUGAAUGUCAUUUUUAGGCCUAUGUAGUUCAUUCUUGAUGCUUUUAGGUAACGUUUUCCCUUUUCACGAAUGUUGUUUCAGUUGACAGCACAAAACAGAUGAUUGGGGCGUUUAGUCCUCAACUGGAGCCUUAUACACACGAAAUGCCAGAAGAAACCACCCCUUCUGGCAUUUUCGCAAGAGGAUCUUACUCGGCAAGGACAAAGGUAAUAUUUCUUUCUCGUUAAUGCUCUUAACAUAUUCCAUAUCUACCAUUCAAUCUAGUCUUGUACAUGGCUUAGUUACGAGAGAAUCUUCAAGCUUAUCUAAUGCAUUUAAUUUGGUGGACACUAUUGUCUUCAAUCUGGUAGACUGAUAUUGAGGUUGCAGUUCUUUGCAUAUGGUCCCUUUAUCUUUUACAUGGGACCUCUUUUUGUUUCGACUAGUUUUAAGUCUUGUAUUAAAGGACCACCUAAAAUACUAUCGGGUUUGUGAGUGGAAUCAGCCAAUGAUGUUUGUAUCAUGAUAGGCUGCCUACUUUAAUACCUCUGUGGGGUGCGACCCUUCCCUGGACCCUGAGUGAAUGCUGGAUCCUUCGUACACCAGACAACUUUUUUUUUUUGGGACCUAGUAGGUAAGACACAACUAAAGCAUGCGUCUAAGCAUACCAUAUUAAGUCAUUUUUCUUGUUGUUUGCUUCCGCUGCAGUUCCUUGAUGACGAUAACAAGUGCUAUUUGGAGAUCAACUAUACAUUCGAAAUCAAGAGAGAGUGGCAGGAAAAAUGAACAACAACAGCAUGACAUGAAUCGGAGCCCCCAUGCUAUACUUGUUUUUGUUCUUCGUAAUUAUCUCAACUUAUUUUUUCCUGCUAGUUUUUCAGAAGAGAUAAAAGAGGGUGCAAUAGAGAGAAAACAACCCGCUACAAUUGAUUAUAUGAUCAAAAGCUCUCUUUUUUUGCCUUUCUCUCUAUCAAGUUUCAUGUGCAUAAGUGUGCUUUUUGAAUGUUGUAAAACUGUGAAGAAAUCUUUUCAAGAAUCUAGAUAUUUUGUUCAUCAAAUUCUUAAUUUUUUUUUCCAUUUCUUUUGAGAAAGAUAAUGUGCAUUCCUCAUUGAUGCCGGUGUUGCAUGAGCUCGGCUAGACUAAAAGGGCACGGUCAGGUCCAAGACGAGCAGGACCGUCAUAAUAUUUUUUUCUUUCCAUUUGCUCAUUAUGAUAUUGCAUUCUUUUACUUACCUUACAACUAAAGUUUGCCAAAGUUAUGUUCUUUAGCUACUUUUCUCCUUUGACUGUAGUUACUUUGUUAUUUUCUUUUGGCUUUCUCAACCACUUCUUCCACCUUCAUUUUCCCACAUAAUUGAACUUGACAUUCAUGCAUUGUCAUGAUUGUUCAUGAUUUUGCUUGGUAAGAAGAACCUAUAAAAGAUUGAAACUUUUAUGGUUAGCUCUUUUGGUUCUUAUAUUUUACUUUUGUUGAGAUUAUGCCUCAUGUAAAUGUAUGGCAUACCUAAAAAUACACGUCAUGUGGUUGUUUGGUACGCAGGAUAGUAAUCCCAUUGUUUACAAAUAUCGGGAUAAAACCAUCCCAGAAUUAGCUAAUAUCUUGAAUCAAAUAUGGGAUAAAGCAAAUUUAUCCCGGGAUGCCUUAUCCCACGUACCAAACGACCCUUAAGAGUUUCACAUCGUCAUUCGGGGCUUUGCUUUAGUGAUAAGAGCACAACACAUAAUGUUUCGGAAAUUGGGCACGUCAUGGAUUCAAACCUUAUUGUAAAUAAAAACGUAUGGUAUUUAAGCGGAAAAGAGUAGACAGAUGGAUCCAUUAUCCUCCGAGGAUUGCACUCUGUUUUGGCACAACACUUUUGGGGAAACCAAAUGAAAACAAAAGGCCUUGUAUAGUGGAGAAGGGUAGAAGAGCCCAACACGUGAUGUAUGAGUUAGGUGUACGUCAUAGACUCGAACACUAAUUAGGAUAAAAUCCUAAUUCUUAAUAAAGUGGAAAAAAGUAGACGGAUGGACCACUAUCCACCAAAUUUCUAAUUGUACUCCAAUUAACCUUCAAAAAUUUCUCCAUUAUAAAAGAUAAAUUUUAAAUGUUAAAAAUUUAAAACACUUGUUUGUGACAAAAUACUUUAGAGGAGACCAAAAAGUAGAGUUGACAGAAAAAAAUGGUCCAAAAGAAAAGAUUGAAGUUGAUAGUUCACCACCAACUAAAGUAGAGGAUUAAGAGGAAAUAACUUAAAUAGUCGUCUAUUCAGUCGUUUAAAUUAAAAAUAAUCAGCAAAAAUUAUGCAUUAGCAGCGACAUUUGUUGCCACUAAAACCUAUAUUAAUCACUGCUAAAAGUUUGCAUUAACUUCAACUUUAGUCCCUAUGAAUGCCACAAUUAGUCACUACGUAGAGCAUGUAUUAGCAGCAACUUUAGUCAUCGUUGCCCCUAAAAGUAAGUAUUAGCAGCAAAUUAAACACCACGAAUGCAUCUAAUAGUCGCCAUAAGAGAUAGUAUUAGUAGCAACUAAAGACGCCGUAGAUACAAAUACUAAUCGACAAUAAAAAAUAGUAUUAGUGGCAACUAUAAUCUCCUUUACAUAUAUAUAAUACGUUGCUAAAAGGUAGUAUCCGUGGGUGGCAACUAAACAGGCGCAAAAACACAUAUAAGAGUUGAUGCUCCCACCAAAUAAAAAAAAAGGACGCUGCUAAAAGCUAAUAUUAGUGGCAACUAAAACCGCCACUAAUUAACAUAAAAGUUGCCGCUAAACGUUAGUAUUAUUGGCAACAAAAACCGCCACUACAUCAUAGAAUAGAUGUCGCUAAACGAUAGUGUUGGUGGAAACUAAAACCUACACUAAUUGAUAUAAGAAUUGCCGCAAAACGCAACUAAAAUAACCACGGAUUAAUAUAAGAGACGCCCCUAAAACUAAGUAUUAGUGGCAAAAGAAAACCGCCACUAAAACAAAUAAAAGUCGCUGCUAAAAGUAAGUAUUAGUGGCAACUUAGUCGCCACAAAACAUAUAAAACUCGCCGCUAUAAGUAAGUAUUAGUGGCAACUAUAGUCGCCACUAAAACAAAUAAAAAUCGCCGAUAAAAGUAAGUAUUAGUGGCAACUAUAGUUGCCACUAAAACAAAUAACAGUCGUCGCUAAAAGUAUGUAUUUGUGGCAACAAAAGUCGCCACUAAAAAAAAUAAAAGUCGCUGCGAAUAGUAAGAAUUAGUGGCAAAAUAAAAAUCGCCGCUAAAAGUAAGUAUUAGUGGCAACAAAAGUCGCCACUAAAACAAAUAAAAGUCGCUGCGAAAAGUAAGAAUUAGUGGCAACUACAGUCGCCACUAAAACAAUAAAAAGUCGCUGCUAAAAAGUAGGUAUUAGUGGCAACUGUAAUCGCCACUAAAAUUAAAAAAAGUCGCCGCUAAAGAUUAGUAUUGGUGGCAACUGUAGUCGCCACUAAAACCCAAAAGAAUCGCUGCUAAUGGUUAGUAUUAGUGGCAACUAUAAUCGCCACUAAAACAAAUAAAAGUCGCCGCUAAAAGCAAGUAUUAGUGUCAACUAUAACCGCCACUAAAACAAAUAAAAGUCGCCGCUAAAAGAAUGUAUUAGUGUCAACUAAAACCGCCACUAAAUUCUACAAAAGUCACCGCAAAAAGAAAGUAUUAGUAGCAACUAAAAUCGUCACCAAAACAAAUAAAAGUUGUCGCUACAAGUAAGUUUUAGUGGCAACUAAAACCGGCACUACAACAAAUAAAAGUCGCCGCUAAAAGUAAGUAUUAGUUGCAACCAUAAACGCUACUAAAACAAAUAAAAGUCGCCACAAAACGAUUGUAUUAGUGGCAACUAAAACCGUCAAUAAUUCCUAUAAAAGUCACCGCUAAAAGUAAGUAAUAGUGGCAACAUAAAUCGCCACUAAUUCCUUUAAAACUCGCAGUUAAAAGUAAGUAUUAGUGGCAACUCAAACCGCCGCUAAUUACUAUAGAAGUCGCCGCAAAAAGAAUGUAUUAGUGGCAACUGAAACCGCCAUUAAUUGAUAUAAGAACCGCCGCUAAAAGUAAGUAUUGGUGGCAACUAAGACCGCCACUACUUCAUAUAAAAGUCGCAGCAAAAAGUAUGUUUUAGCGGUAACAAAAAUUGCCACUUAAUCAAGUAAAAGUCGCUACUAAAGGUAUGUUUUAGUGGCAACUAAAACUGCCGCUAAACAAAUAAAAGUAUUAGUGGCAACUCAAACCGCCACUAAAUCAAAUAAAAGUCAUCGCUAAAAGUAUGUUUUAGUGGCAACUAAGAUUGCCACUAAUUCCUAUAAAAGGCAUCGCAAAUGGUUUGUUUUAGCGGCAACAAAAACUGCCACUAGUAAAGACUGAUAGUGAGGUUACAGUUAUUUGCAUAUGGUCCAUUUAUCUUUUACAUGGGAUCUCUUUUUGUUUUCGACUAGUUUUAUGUCUUGUAUUAAAGUACCACCUAAAUACUAUCGAGUUUGUGAGGUGGAAUCAACCAAUGAUGCUUGUGUCAUGAUAGGCUGCCUACUCUAGUACCUCUUUAGGGUGCGGCCUUUCCCCAAACCCUGAGUAAAUGUUGGAUCAUCCGUACACCAGACAACUUUUUUUUUGGACCAAGUAGGUAAGACAUAACAUUGGGUUAGUCCUUUGAAUUUGAUGGGUAUACCUGAGUAAAUGUUGGAUCCUUAGUAAUAAAGUGCGUAUAAAAUUGGGUUAGUCCUUUGAGGUGUCAUGUCGAUGAAAAGGUCGACUUCAUAGUAAUAGUCAGAGCUAACUGGGCAUUAUGGUAAUAAGAGUUCGUGGUUGAUUGUGACGGGCUGCAACUAUAUAAUAAGAUAACGGUUAAGCGAAUUCUCUAUAGUAAUUACGACUUGCGAGUAUCUAAGUUGUGAUUUUCUAAUAUUUGGUGAGUAACGUGGAUGUAUGGAAAGUUUUAAGAGAUGGUGGGACACCACUCGAAUAGAAUUUUAAAGAACUAGAGUCAUAAUGAAAGAAAAAAUAGAGUGGAAUGUAGUACAACCUCUAGAGAGAGGCGAGAACACGAAUAUUUUAUUUGAUUUCAAAGGCUAAAGAGAUAUAUUUCGAGGGGUAGAUAAUUAGGUUCAGAGAUGCAUGUUUUCAUUCAUUUUGUUGUGGCUAUGGUAAUAGUGUCACAAGUCCGUCAGAUUGGUUAAAAACUAUUGGAAAAUACUUGAGAAAUGAGUGUAUAAACAUUAGCUUGAGUGUGAUGACAAGUGCUUUGUUUUUGUUUUGAGUUUAGUAAUGAGUACGAUUGAAUUUUUAGCGAAAGAUAUUGUAAGAUCGAUGGAGAUGCGAUCAAUGAUAAACGAAGAUCCAUUAUUUCAUAAAAAUCUUCAAGUUACAAGCUAAUGUUGAUAGAUAAAUGGAUUGUGUUAUACAAUUGAAUUUUACAAUUCAAAUUUUUCAUUGUAAGUCUACAUUUGUGGUGAUAUAUUUUAUCAAUGCAUGAAUUUGCAAGGUGAGAAUGAUCAAUUGUAUCAGGUAUUGAGCCUUUGAAAGGACUUACACCUGGGUUGAGUCGUAAAUGUUAUUAUUGUUGAUUGUUAAGUACCUAAGAAAGGUUUUUAUUUAAAAGUGUUGGUUUAGAGUAAGGUAAAUGGUCGGAGUAUUCGUGAUGAUUGUUAGUAUUGAGAGUGUGAACCUCAGUGGAAUGACGCGAAGAGUAUGUGGAGUCAACUGAAUGGAAAUGAUUGGUAUCAACUCUUCAGAAGAAAACCUUUAGUGUUAUUCAAUAUUUACUCCAUAAAAUUGUUAUGUGACCAUUUAUUUUAUUUUGUACAUGGUUAGGAGUACGAUUUACUAGCUAAGCUCUCGUGUGUUUUCACUUUUGUUGGUGGAUCCCAAGUGGUGGAUCAGGUGUACCGAUCCUGCGAUGUUCUCUUGAUUGAGUGAGAUGAUUUGGGAAGACGUGAUUAUUUCAGAUGACUUAUGUGGUGUUGUCUUGGAGUUGUUAAGGUAAUUCAGUAGUUUUACAUGUAUCACCUUGCUUAUGAGAGAUUAUGUAAGGUUGAAUGUGGGAUCAUUGUGUCCAAUUCUAUUGUUCUUAAAAGGUAAUCUACAAUUACUAAAUCUAGUAUUUUGAUAGUGUUGUUAUAUGGCUUAUAUGCUUGGACAUAUCAUCAAUGAGUAUCUGAUGUCUAAAGAUCAAAUUUUUAUAACUUAAGCUCAUGAGAAUUUAAGUUGUGAGAUAGAGAUUAGGAGUGUGUGUUGGUUGGUUCAGUUCACUUUUAAUUGUAGCGGGUAUUAAUUUAAAAUUUUAUCAUGAUUAUGUGAAAAAGGAUUCUUCAUGAUGAUUGUGUCAAGGUGAUUAUUGGGAAUUGCUUUGGUUGUUAUUGGGAAUCGCUUGGUUGUUAUUGGGGAUUACUUGGUUGUUAUUUGUAAUCGCUUGGGUUAUUAGUUAAGUUUACAUACUACAAUAUCACUCGAGUAUUGAGAUGACUUCAUUGAGGCAAUGUAUGAGAGGAUGUGUAGGUAUUCAAUUGAUUGGUCUGAGGACCAAUGAGAUAAAGUCUGUGAAAGUUCAAUGAAAGCCUCGUCCGAUUGAGGAAGCUACUUGGGAAACUGAGAAGGACAUGCGAGGCAAGUAUCCCCAUUUAUUAUACGAUUCAGAUACUACUCUACUCUUUCCUUAGCCAAGUUUUUCCUAAUUUAUUCACUCGAGGACAAGUGAUGGCUAAAUUGGUAUCUAUUGUAAUGACUUGUUUCCAUCGUUAUGGAAAAGUCAAUGGGAAAAGAAUUUGGACCAGAAAACUUUUGAGUAGUGAUUUGAAAAAUUGUAGCAUAGUCUAGAUUUAGAUGAAAUCUGAAUCAGUCUAGGUCUAGUGAAAUAUGGUAAUGAAUGGGGGAUUUAAUAAUGAAUUUGAUCACAUUAGUAGAUAGCUAAAACGUUAAUCAACCCGUACGACUUUACGGAAUCGAAUUUGGGCGAGUAGAACUCUCAAAACUGAUUUUAGCGUGAACGAGUAUUUUCUGAGUGUCGUGGGUUGAAGGUGUGUUGUGAAAUGAGGGGUUUGAAGCUCCAAAUUUAACUCUUUGUCUCUGUGCAAGCCGCCAGUGCAAGAUUAUUCCAGCCAGGGCGGGGCCGCUAUAGCGGGAUGAGGUCCUCCACAUCGGGACAUAAGCGACUUAAGUUAGAAAUAAACUCCAAAAACGUUAUUAUUCUGCAAGUUUUGUUCUUGGGAGCUAAGGGAGGACCCAUGGCAAGUUCUUGACAAUUUUUCACCUCUUCUAGCACUAAAGGUAAGGUUUUUACUCCCCGAAUCCAUGUUUCGAUCAGUAGAACUUAGUUUCUUGGGUAAUUAUCAAUGAGGGAGGGUUUUGAUCUGGGAAUUAUGGUGGAAAAAGCCCUAACCUGGGUAUGGGGAUCAAGGGUUUGACCUAGGGUUGGUAUUAUUGAUUAUAAUCUGGGUAAUUAGGUCUUGUUUAUUGAUCCUCACAUUAUAUUGAUUGUUUGUAGACCAAGAACAAGGGGAAUGAAUCCGGAAAGGGAAGAAUCAAGUUUCUUAGGGGAUUCAAGCAUUGUUCGAGAUAGGUGAUGGUUGUGAUUUCAUGUUGGUGUGAUGUAUGUUAGUAAAUAAUUUGUUUUAAUGCAUAUAUGUAUGUGAAUGUUGCAUCAUUGAUCACGUUAAUCGUAAAUGAGUAUGAUUGAAUAAUUAUAUGCCAUGAAUCAACAAUUGAUUGUAUGAUUAUGAGAAUGUACAUUGUGAUUGUGAUUGUGGCUUGUUGAAUGGAUCGGGUGUUACGUUCCAACAAACUAACUUGAAUUGGGUGCCACGUUUCAGCGUACAUAUAGGAUCGGGUGUCACGUCCGGCACACUAAUUGGGAUCGGGUACCACGUUCAGUACACUAACAGUUUGAGUAUGGGUUCCAUGAGAGGACCAUUGAAUUGGGUUCCAUGAGAGGACCAUUGACUUGUCAUAUUAAUGUAUUUUGAGCAUGAGGAAUUGUUCGUUGAUCCUGAUAAUAUGACUGAUAUUGUAUAUGUUCGGUAUACACUUGUUUUAUUAUGUUGUGAUUAUUUACAUAAGUUUCACUUAUUGGGAUAGCCGCGUGAUCCUACCAGUACACUGUGGUUGUGUACUGAUACUGCACUUGCUUGUUCUUUGUUGCGUACAAGGUAUCUUCCGGCGGCUUAUUCAUAGACCUUAGCUAGGUGGCGAUUGAGCGUGACCGGAUUCAAGGGUGAGCAAGUUCUUUCUAGGCUGUCAUAGAUCUUUCUUGUUUAAGUUCACUCUUUUCGGACUCAGACUAUUUGUUAAGGUGUUUGUUUAGUUUCGGGUUGUACCCUUGUUCUUAUACUUGUUAAUAGUAGGGUUUUGGUACAAUGACUUUCAGGUUCUAGAGGUUGUUCUUCUGCAUUAGGUUGGCUAGUUUAUUUAAACCUUUGGAGUUUAUGGAAACUCUCUAUAAUUUAUGCAUUUAAACCUGCUUCUGUAUCUUUAAAUGUCUUAGUUUUGGUUGAGUUUGUUAGGUUGGGUUGUAGUAAUGGUUCUCCCACCAGAGGGUUAGUGUGGGUGUCAAUCACGACAGUCUGGGUCGUGACAACUUGCAACUUGCUUGAUGAUUUACAAAUGAGAGGCAAUCUAUUUAUACUACUCCCUAGGUGCCUAAGUGUAAAUAAUAAUUACUACUCAAGUCCCUACAUAUUUACAGUUUAGUCCUUAUUCUAGAAUUCUCUAAAAUAUUCCAAGGACGUUCCAUGUGAUUCUAUAACCUUCCCUAGGAAAUCUCCAUACUUCCCUAGAAUAUUCCACUAAAGACUAUUCUUCUUUCAAUGUAAUCCUUCCAAGGAAAUAUCUAGGGAGUUCUAGAGUCUUCCACAAACUUCUUUACAACUCUAGUUUCUUCCCCCCUUUAUAUUCAUGACUUAUUUUAAUGGCAAUGUGACGGGUCAUGACAAAAAGCUCUCUAUCAAGUUUCAUGUGCAUAAGUGUGUUUUUUGAAUGUUGUAAAACUGUGAAGAAAUCUUUUCAAGAAUCUAGAUAUUUUGUUCAUCAAAUUCUUAAUCUUUUUUUCCAUUUCUUUUGAGAAAGAUAAUGUGCAUUCCUCAUUGAUGCCGGUGUUGCAUGAGCUCGGCUAGCCUAAAAGAGCACGGUCAGGUCCAAGACGAGCAGGACAGUCAAAAUAUUUUUUUCUUUCCAUUUCCUCAUUAUGAUAUUGCAUUCUUUUACUUACCUUACAACUAAAGUUUGCCAAAGUUAUGUUCUUUAGCUACUUUUCUCCUUUGACUGUAGUUACUUUGUUAUUUUCUUUUGGCUUUCUCAACCACUUCUUCCACCUUCAUUUUCCCACAUAAUUGAACUUGACAUUCAUGUAUUGUCAUGAUUGUUCAUGAUUUUGCUUGGUAAGAAGAACCUAUAAAAGAUUGAAACUUGUAUGGUUAGCUCUUUUGGUUCUUAUAUUUUACUUUUGUUGAGAUUAUGCCUCAUGUAAAUGUAUGGCAUACCUAAAAAUACAUGUCAUGUGGUUGUUUGGUACGCAGGAUAGGAUAAACGAAAAUAUUCAUGGGAUAUCUUUAUCACGCCUUCUAUAUUGGAUAGUAAUCCCAUUGUUUACAAAUAUCGGGAUAAAACAAUCCCAGGAUUAGCUAAUAUCUUAAAUCAAAUAUGGGAUAAAGUUAAUUCCAAAUUUAUCCCUGGAUACCUUAUCCCACGUACCAAACGAUCCUUAAGAGUUUCACUUCGUCAUCCGAGGCUUUGCUUUAGUGAUAAGAGCGCAACACAUAAUGUGUUGGAAAUUGGGCACGUCAUGGAUUCAAACCUUAUUGUAAAUAAAAAUGUAUGGUAUUUAAGCGGAAAAGAGUAGACGGAUGGAUCCAUUAUCCUCCGAGGAUUGCACUCUGUUUUGGCACAACACUUUUGGGGAAACCAAAUGAAAACAAAAGCCUUGUAUAGUGGAGAAGGGUAGAAGAGCCCAACACGUGAUGUAUGAGUUAGGCGUACGUCAUAUAAUUAAUGUAUAACUGUAAAAAAAGAAGUAAAUAAUGAUUCUGACCGAUUAUUCGAUCCCUUUGAAAUAUGUAAGAAUCUUGGUGCAUGUUUGCAGUCUGAUUGAUUGUAUUCUUCGGAAUGUUUUAAGUAUGAACAUUCACUCAAACUUCCGACUGCAUCCUUAUCUCCUUAUUGGAAGUUCUUAACCCAAACAAUUUUCCUACCAGUUUUAUGCUAGUACAGUAGAGAACCAUUGUAAAAAAGAAAUAUGGUCUUCUUCCUCAGAGAUAGCAUCAAUCCUAGGCCACAAGUGUAGUAAGUUAUUCCUGAUUGACUGGUGACUUAUCUUUUGCAUUUCUUGUUAAAAGAUACAAGUUGUAGAUGGUUCUAUCAAGGUUCAGGUUUUUGGAUCAAUCAAUUUACGUUGAAUUGUUGUAUGUAUUGGCCGCUAUUAAUUAUGCAUUAGCAGCGACAUUUGUUGCCACUAAAAGCUAUAUUAAUCACUGCUAAAAGUUUGCAUUAACUCCAGCUUUAGUCCAUGUGAAUGCCACAAUUAGUCACUACUAAGUGGAUGUAUUAGCAGUAACUUUAGUCGUCGUUGCCCCACAAAGUAAGUAUUCGCAGCAAAUUAAACACCACGAAUGCAUCUAAUAGUCGCCAUAAGAGAUAGUAUUAGUAGCAACUAAAGACGCCGCAAAUACAAAUACUAAUCGACAAUAAGAAAUAGUAUUAGUGGCAAUUAUAACCUCCUUUACAUAUAUAUAUAAUACGUUGCUAAAGGUAGAAUCCGUGGGUGGCAACUAAAACAGGCGCAAAAACACAUAUAAGAGCUGCCGCUUCCACCAAAUUAAAAAAAAAGGACGCCGCUAAAAGUUAAUAUUAGUGGCAGCUAAAACCGCCACUAAUUCACAUAAAAGUUGCUGCUAAAUGUUAGUAUUAUUGGAAACUAAAGCCACCACUACAUCAUAGAAUAGUUGUCGCUAAACGUUAGUAUUAUUGGAAACUAAAACCGCCACUACAUCAUAGAAUAGCUGUCGCUAAACGAUAGUGUUGGUGGAAACUAAACCGCCACUAAUUGAUAUAAGCAUUGUUGCAAAACGCAACUAAAACAACCACUGAUUAAUAUAAGAGACGCCGCUAAAACUAAGUAUUAGUGGCAAAAGAAAACCGCCACUAAUUCUUAUUAGUCGCCGCUUAAAGAAAGAUUUAAUGGAACAAAAAUGAGCCACAAAUUCACAUAACAAACGUCACUAAAAGUUAUUAUUUGUGUCAACUAAAACAGCCACAAAAUCAUAAAACAAUUGCCGCUAAAAAUAUUGUAUUAAUGGACACUAAAACAACCAUUAAAUCAAAAAAACUAUUGCAGCUAAAAGAUAGUAUUAGUGGCAAGUAAACCAGCCACUACUCAAAUAAGAGUAACCACUAAAAGUAAGUAUUAGUGGUAACUAAAACCACCACUAAAGGAAAUAAAAGUCGCUGCUAAAAGUAAGUAUUAGUGGCAACUAUAGUGCCACUAAAAAAAUAAAGUUGCCACUAAUUCCUAUAAAAGUCGCCGCUAAAAGAAAGUAUUAGUGGCAACUAUAGUCGCCAGUAAAACAAAUAAAAGUCGACGCUAAAGCAAGUAUUAGUGGCAACUGUAGUCGCCACUAAUUCCUAUAAACGUCGCCGCUAAAAGCAAGUAUUAGUGAAAAGUGAAAACAAAUAUAAGUCGCCGCUAAAAGUGUGUAUUAGUGGCAACUAAAGUCGCCACUAAUUCGUAUAAAAGUCGCAGCUAUUAGUGGCAACUAAAGUCGCCACUAAUUCCUAUAAACGUCGCCGCUAAAAGCAAGUAUAGUGGCAACUCCACUAAAACAAAUAACCGUUGCCGCUAAAAGUGUGUAUUAGUGGCAACUUAUCAGGAAUAUAGCCUUUGACUAGUUGAACAUUCAUAGUUGUUCAUCAUUUGGUCGUUUGUAUAAUUAAGUAAUAUAGUAUUUUCUGUUCUUAAGAGAAGCACUUAUCAGGAGAAACUUGUAUAAGGUUAAAGAAGUGUGCUUUCUUACUCAUUUGAUAGCUCUUACCACACUUCUUAUGAUGGUUCCUCUUUUUUCUCUUUCUUUUGUCUGAUAUCCAUAAAUUUCAUUUUUUUUUGAGUUUCGAAGAUUUGAUAAUUAUUUUUCAAAUGAUAUAAUUUUUGUGAACAGUCAAUGGAACACGGUUAAUUUGAAGAUCCAUCUAAAGCAACGUUCUCGUUGACAGAUGAAGACCAUAUGCUGGCAAAUGCUGCCAGAUUCACUCUAAAUCAAGAGUAAGUAGUUCUCUCUUUUCUUUUUUCAUUAUGCAGUAAUCACAGUUAAUAUUUUCAGUGUUCGCUUUAUUUCCUCAUUCAAAUGAUAUUACAUAUUACAUAAUUUUGUUUGAUGUUUAGUGAUUGGUAAAAUAGAGGCCCUUGGUAUCUCAUUUUGUAACCUUCUGUUGAUCUCAUAUUAAUCUUAUUGUUGCAUGUCCAGUCUUCAAUCCCCCCCAUCCCACCACCUUUUUUUAAGCAGUGUUUUUGUGCAAAAAGCUUAAGAUGAUGAUUAACUGGUAUCUAGUUUCUUGCAGUCCACGAGUAACAUUUUGUGGAUACAGCAUUCCACAUCCCUCCAAUGCACGAGUGACCACAAGAGUUCAGACUACUGGUAAAGCUAAAAACUUUCACCAACUUAUCUUUAUCAAUGAUUUCUCCAACUUAUAAAAGAAAAGCUUAAACGUUUCUCUAGCAAUAGCAAUGCAGGGGUGAUUCGUGGAUCGGAUUUUCUGCUCUUUUUUAAACUUUUGUUUUAUCUAAUGUUCAAAUUGGUAUCCUGCUUCCAAAUGCAUGUAACAUGCUUGAUAAUUGGUACCUAAUUGUGAAAUCUCUCUUCUACCUAUAAUUUUUUCCAACUUGUAUGAUACGAACAUUGUAGUCCUCUUUAUUUAUUAUCCCGCCUAAGUGGACUAUUCUCUCCUUAUGGAGUCUAAGAAUAGAGAGAUAUCCGUGUGCGGUAUUUCCAGUUAAGAAGAUAUCUUAUUUCUAUUUUUUUUUGUUCUGAUGUACACAACAGACCAAACAUAAUUCCUAGAAGCCCAUUCCACUGGGGAGUUGACGUGUAACAAUGUUUCUCCAAAUGAAGUUAAAGUUUUCUUUUUUGAUAUUUUCGAUUAAAAGAACAAUAUAAAGCUAUUCUGUAUUUCAGUAUAUUCUUGUCUAUGUUGCUCAGACUCUUAAAAAUGUCGACGGGUGUGUCUCGGAUCUUCCAAAACUAAUGCAUUUUUGGAGGAUCUGACAUGGGCGCGGAAAUAUUUUGGAGAGUCUGAGCAACAUAGAUUCUUGUCAAGGUUUUGUUGGAGGAAUAUCGUGACGCCCUUCCACUAAGAAUUCCUCUUUUUCUUCUAGCUUUAUAUGAUAUGACCUAUUUAGUAGAUUGUUUUGUUAGAGAUCGCUACAGCAAGUAUAACCUAUUUACUGAUAUAGCCGCCUAGAAAUUGCAAUCACAAUUGUCUUUCCAUAUGUUUAUACACUUCUAUAUCUGUGAAAUGCUGUGGAGUGUGGACCUAUGUUUAAGUUUUGGUCUAUCUGGCUUCUAUUGCAGGAGAUCCAGCAAGGGAGGUAUUGAACGAUUCAUGUCAGGAUCUAAUGCUUAUCUGCGAGAACGUUAGAGACACAUUUGACAAGGCUAUUUUAAAGUUUAAAACUGAAGAAGGUCUGAGCUCUAUGGAUAUGAAGAAAUAAUCGACAAGAAAUUCAUAUAACCUUCUAUCCAAGUGAAAUCUUGCAACCUUAUUUGCACAAAACUUGCAUUUGUUAGAACCAUUUUCCCCCAUAGGCCAUAUAUAUGUUACAUCAGAUUUUUAGCUAUAAUGCUUAUGUUUUAGUUGUGCACUGUCAUGGUGAUCUCCGUGACGAUAGCAGUGCAAAUUUUGGCAAGUCGGUUCACAUAUACAAAAAGUUUACUUUGGGUUGUGCAAAAAUGUUGAUCUGCAUGUCAUAAUGCACUGUGCUUCCCUUUACAUUGGUUAGGAUGGAUUACUAAUACAAUCCUAUGCAAAUUGUUGUGAAUUAUAACUCUAUGUUCUACUUUAUAUGGUACUGAAUCAUGGUUUUUUUUAUCAGCUUGCCUUCGCGUAAAAGUUGUCUAUUCGUACUUUCUUUUUAUUGGCUCUCUCUCAUAUUGUCUUAGCUUGCACGUUAUGAACUCCAGCCAUAGUAACCAUACAAAUGAAAUGAGCCUACUAAUCGAUUUUUCUCUUGGUUUACAUCCCUUUGUUUUAGAUUUGAUUUUACUUUAGUUCUUGUCGUAGAACGACCUUCUGUUCUUUCAAUUGUGUAAGUCUUUCAUUUGGGACUGAUGCAUAAUUACUUUCCACUUGAAUAGUUUUUAACAAUAUUGCUAAACCAAGAAAACAAACUACAAGAUUCUGGUCAAUAUCUUAUUAUUUCAUUGAAAAUGAACAAACCGCUCACAUUGCUAUUGCUAUUGCUAUUGUAGUAUAUAUGUACAACUGAGAUUUAUAAGUAUACACCAACAGAAUUUCAAAUCACGCCUGUACGAAGGGAAAAAUCUGGUUCUUGCACUCAUUGAGCUGACGCUUCUUACAUAUACUCGAGCAAUAUCAGAACUUCAAAUCAUUCCAAACUCGUGUUUGUCUCAUUGCUAAGAUCUGGAAGAUGUUCAGCCGAAGUACAUUACAUUGUUUUUCCUAUAAAGUUUGUCUUCUCGAGGAAGAUGAAUGAAUAAAAAACAUUUCAUAUUUAAGAUGCAUUAGCCAAACAAGGAUUCUUCUGAUUGAGUUUUUUUGUGUGUGAGGCCUUGAGAAGAUAUGUUGAGUAGCCUGCAAGAUUGUUCUACCAUCAGUUUAUAAGUAGAGGGAUGCUUCCAAGCUAUAAACGAGAACUGAUCACCGUAUUGUUCCAUUCCUUCCACCAAUAGCUGCCAAACUAAGGCUCCUGCACCACCUUUCCUCUUCUUUGCUAACUCAUAAAUCUUGUCAUAAACUAUUUUUAGAAAAAUAUUUCUAACGUAUAAUCCAUUCUUUUGUAUACUCGAAGGAAAACCAACUUUUGUGAAGAGAACAGGUUUCUUAAGAAUCUUUUCAGCUUCACUAAUGUGAGAAUCAACCCAAUGAGAUAGAAAAUCUACUCGCGCGUCUGAAUUUAUUCCACCUUUGAUCCUGCAAGAGAACAUCUUUUAACAGAAUCGAAGAAGGCAGUUAAAAACACAUAUGAGCUUAAACUUCUACAUAUGCUACUAUAAAAAUGUAUCUGAUUUGGAAUAAAUUUACUCUGCUUGACUAACCAACUGUGGGGGUAUGUGAAUGGAAGUAAAAUCAAAGUUUUCUAUAUCCGAGUUCUCAAUGAAGUCCACUCCAAGUGAUGCAGCCCAUUUCCCUGGGUUCAAUCCAACGUUUCCAGCUUUCUCCACACCAUAAAAGCCCUCAAGUCCAAUGGUCACGAGAUGCUUCUGAUCCAAGCUUUUGACAAAUUCAGCCAUCUCUGCUAUCCACGCCAAUAAUUCCUAUAAAAGUCGCCGCUAAAAGCAAGUAUUAGUGGCAACUAAAACCACCACUAAUUCCUACAAAAAUUGCCGCUAAAAUCAAGUAUUAGUGGCAACUAUAGUCGCCACUAAAACAAAUAAAAGUCGCCACUAACAGUAUGUAUUAGUGGCAACUAUAAUCUCCACUAAAACAAAUAAAAGUUGCCGCUAAAAGUAAGUAUUAGUGGCAACUAAAACCGCCACUAAAACAAAUAAUAGUCGCCGCUACAAGUAAAUAUUAGUGGCAACUAAAACCGCCACUACAACAAAUAAAAGUCGCCGCUAAAAGUAAGUAUUAGUGGCAACCAUAACCGCUACUAAAACAAUUAACAGUCGCCACAAUCCCUGGAUUAGCUAAUACCUUAAAUCAUGGGAUAUCGUUAUCCCGCCUUCUAUAUGGGAUAGUAAUCAUAUUGUUUACAAAUAUCGAGAUAAAACAAUCCCAGGAUUAGCUAAUACCUUAAAUCAAAUAUGGGAUAAAGUUAAUUCCAAAUUUUAUCCUGAGAUGCCUUAUCCCAGGUACCAAACGACCCUUAAGAGUUUCACAUCGGCAUCUGGGGCUUUGCUUUAGUGAUAAGAGCGCAUCACGUAAUGUGUCAGAAAUUGGGCACGUCAUGGAUUCAAACCUUAUUGUAAAUAAAAAUGUAUGGUAUUUAAGCGAAAAAGAGGACGGAUGGAUCCAUUAUCCUCCGAGGAUUGCACUUUGUUUAGGCAAAACACUUUUGGGGAAACCAAAUGAAAACAAAAAGCCUUGUAUAGUGAAGAAGGGUAGAAGAGCCCAACACGUGAUGUAUGAGUUAGGCGUAUGCCAUAGACUCGAACACUAAUAAUGAUAAAAUCCUAAUUCUUAAGUGGAAAAAGGUAAACGAAUGGGCCAUUAUCCACCAAAUUUCUAAUUGUGUGCCAACUGACCUUCAAAAAUUUCUCAAUUAUAAAAGAUAAAUUUUAAAUGUUCAAAAUUUAAAACACUCUAACAAAAUAUUUUAGAGGAGACCAAAAGAAAAGAUUUGGCAGAAAAAAAUGGUCCCAAAGAAAGGAUUGAAGUUGAUAGUUCACCACCAACUAAAAUAGAGGAUAAGGAGGAAUGAGGAAUUAACUUAAAUAGUCGUUUAAUUAAAAAUAGUCCGCCAGUAGAAAUUAUAUAUAUAUAUAUAUAUAUAUAUAUAUAUGUAAAAAAAAGAAGUAAAUAAUGAUUCUGACCGAUUAUUUGGGUGAAGAUCCCUUUAAAAUAUGUAAGAAUCUUGGAAAAUCUCCAAAAAUAUUGGUGGUGGGCGUUGACAAAUUCUUUGCUGGAAUAUCAAGCAAUUUGAUGAUUUUAUAUUUUGUAAUACAGAAAUUUUGACUUGUUGUGACAUGUGAGAGUUGUGGAUCAAUAGAGGGUGGAAUUUAUUUUGAGAUCCAACUCAUCUAAAUUUUAAUUGAGAAGUCUCAUUUUGAAGAUUUGUAAAUAAAGUUUGAACCCAAAAGCUCUUGAUAAAAAUAAAAAAUACUACCCACAAACUUCAAAAUACUAGUCAACUUAUCUAUUUCCAUUUUACAAUUCUUAUUUGGUGCAGAUAAUAUUACUUAUAUUAGUUUAAUUAAAAUGAUCUAAACAAUUCCUUUACAAAGAAGCAUUCCAUGUUUGAAUGUUGACUUGAAGAUAUUAACAUAUUCAAAACUGGCUGGUUAUUUUAAAAUAAUAAGACAUGAAAACAGUUGCAAUUUUUAAAUUAUUAAUCCACUGCCCAAUUGUCAUGAAUUCAUUAUCAAAUUUCAACUAAUUAUUCUUUAAUUACAACUAGAAUAUUUAUUGAUCAAUAACUAUGAAAAAUAAAACUUCAACUAUUAAUGGUAUGUUAGAGUGAAUUGGAUGAUCGAGAUGUAGAUUGCUCCGUCUUCUCCUCAAAUUCAUUUUCUAAUAUGAAUCUUGAGUUAUUAAAAUGUAUUUGAUUUGAGCUUCCUAAAUUUGUUUUUUAUACGUAAGAGAUCUUCAUUUUUAUCGAUAAGAGAUUUUUAUUUUUAUAUACUAAGAUGUUUACUUAAUUUCUAAGAUGACGUGUCAAAUAUCAAUUGGUUUUCCUGUAUAGUAUAAUUUUGUGGACUUGAUUAAAAUAAGUUGGAGUAGAUCCAGAAUUUUGUCACCUGUCUUCUUCAUAGCACAACUUUUUGUGUUCUCCAUCUUUUUAACUUCUUCACAAUUGUUCAUCCCAAACCAAAAUCAAUAAAAAGAAAUAAUUUUUUUUAUUAUACAAAUAAAUAACAAAGUUAUAUUAUGGAGGGAAAUAUCAAGGAUGUUAUCAAAUAUUGGAUAGAAGGAGAAAUUGAAAGUUUUGUUAAGGUAUGGUUAUUAAUUUAUGUAUCACUUUGUUAUUGCUAUUUAUCAUCUAAAAUUCUUCCAAAAGGUUCAUUUAGGCUCUUUUCUUUUUUACCUGUGAUAUUUUUUUUCCUUUAUGUUCCACUUAAAAUUAAUUCUGUUCAUCUUUGUGGUAACACUGGUUUUUUCAUUUCUUGGCUUUGUAAUUUUAAACUUAUUUUACUUGCUUUUGACCAAGGUCCACUUUCUGAUUCUUCACUUUCUAUUAUUAAAUUUGUAUUUCUUGCUUGUUUACCUAUCAAGAUUCAACAAAAAUCUCAACUUUAUGUGGAAAAUGAGGUUAAUAGAGAUAAAUUUCAUCAAAAUAGUCAUUUUCAAGAAACCCCUUCUCUAAAUUCAUCUGAAAAAAAGAAUUUUGCAAAAAAUGACCAUUUUCAAGAAACUCAAUUUCCAAACUCAGAUGAUAAAAUUGAAAACAACCCUUAUCAAGAUGGAUAUUUUUAUGAAACCCCAUCUAAAAAGUUAGUUGAAAAUGGUUCUAUUGUGCAAAAUGGAAAGGAGUUUGCACAAAAUGGCCAUUUUCAAGAAACUCCAUUUCCCUCUUUUGCAAUCUCCAACAAAGGCCAAAUGUUAAAUUAUGGCAUAAAGACACUUCUUUUUGCUUUAAUUAUUAGAGUUUAUGACUAUAGUGAUUAUAUACAUCCCUAUAUCAUUAUGGUCAUCUAUUGCUUCCACAUUUACCUUAGCUUAGAUAUUAUUCUAGCUAUUGUUUCGGGCUUGGCCCGCGGGAUUCUCGGGCUUCAGCUCGAACCACAGUUCAACGAACCGUAUUUAUCAACUUCACUACAAGAUUUUUGGGGCCAGCGUUGGAAUCUCAUCGUCACUCGUAUCCUUAGGCCCACUAUAUACAAGCCCGUUCUAAGCCUAUCCGCGAACAUUUUGGGCCGGAAGUGGGCCCCAAUUCCCGCGGUGAUGGCUACAUUCGCUGUUUCGGGCCUAAUGCAUGAGCUAAUAUUUUACUAUUUGGGCCGGGUUAAGCCCACUUGGGAGAUCACUUGGUUCUUUUUGCUUCAUGGGGUGUGUUUAAACGUCGAGAUUUAUGCUAAGAAGGUGAUUAACGGUAGAUUUAAGCUACCACGGAUUAUCGGGACAAUCUUGACCAUUGGAUUCGUUAUGAUCACGGGUUUCUGGCUGUUUUUUCCACAAUUGUUAAGGUGUAAUUCUGAUGUUAGAGCAUUUGCAGAGUAUGAAGCAAUUGGUGCAUUCUUUAAGGAUGUCACUAGGGCUGUGAAUUCAACAUUUUCGAGAUAAUUCAUCAAGUAGGCGUGUCAAAUGGGCGUGCUGAAUUACAUUUGAACGGGCCAAAACGGGCUGAGGAACGACUUGGAUAUAGGUCAUGUACUGGCUGAUUUAGCCACCCUGUGGGUUCUUAUUCAUGUACCAUAGAGUACAUUGUAAAACAUUCAUCUAAUUGAAGUAUUAUUAAUUAAUCUCGCAUUAUACUAAUCAAUUCUAGCAUAACUUGUAUCUAAACUAAAUGACCCCGCUUAAAGGAUCAUUUGAUUGAUUUUUAUCAAUCUCAACACAUACAAUUAACAUAAGACAAUAUUCCCCUAUUCUUAUUUAUAUGACACCUUUUGAAUUUGGAGAUUCAAACAUGUCGUAUGGAGUAGGCCGGUUAUCAUGAGGUUCCCUACUCUUUACCCUAGACAUCUUGAAGCGAGCUAGUCUUGUAAGUUGUAAGGUUUAUCAAAGGGCGGCUUAAAAAGAGAUUAACUAUUUGGAUUCAAAUGGGUUUUAUAGUUAAACACUCUUAUCAAAAUGGUUAGGAGUGCAAUCUUGGUAACAAGAUUUAGAGUUGAUGAUUUUGUACUCUUUUGAAUGGUUUUAGUUGAUGAUAUUUGAAACUUUUUAGGCAAACAAACCAAGGGACUGUGUUAAAAAGAAAACAAAGCAUAAAACGCAUCAGGUGGAUUUAAGUUCAUUUUAGUUUAUAAGCUACUAAGCGGGUUAAUAGUGGCAUUGGGCCUACAUACGGAGCUAGGUAGGGUCAAUAGGGUUCGAAAAAAAACUUUGAAUGAAAAAUUGCACUUUUUAUAUAUCGUUAAAAUGAUUUUUUAUGUGUAUAUAGGACAUUGUUUAGGGAUACAGAGAAAACCCCUUCUACUUCUUUGUACAUUUAUUUCUUCAUAUUUUGAACCUUCUUAGUGCAAAUUCUGGCUCUAUUUGCCUAGAUAUCAAAUGAGAGUAACAUUUGAUUGUUUUUUUUAAAGUCAAAUGACAAUAAUAACAUAUUCAGUGAAAUUCUACCAGGUCUGAAAGAAUUAAGUGUAUGCACACCUUACUACUACCUUAUUAAGAUAAAGAGACAUGUAUUUUUAUUCAAGCAUGACUAGUAGUAGUCUUAUAGACUAUAUUACUAGUGGACAUGUGAUAUUGGUAGGACUAACUAGGUUACCAUACUUGGCAAAUUCUAAGAAAGCAAUAAAUUCAGUACAUGCUUUAAUUUCUGCUUUACCCCUCAAAAAAGGUGGAAAAAACAACCAAAAACUUGUCAAAAUUAUAAAUCCUAUUGCUAAUGGUCCUGAGAUAAUUUUAGGAACCAAAACUUUGCCAUUCAACAAUUUCUUGAUCACAAUUUCUAUUGUCAAAGCCACCCCAUUAAUGAUAAAGAAGCAUGUGACUUCUCCACUAGGCUUUAGUCUUCCAAUGUUGUAGAAAAUCAGCUCAUGCAUUAUCCCCGAGACGAAGAACGUCGCGAUCACCGCAGGAAGUGGGGCCCACUUCCUCGAGAUCCUGUCCGUCAUCAUCGACCGGACAGGAACGUAAACGGUCAUAUGGAGAAGUUUAGUUACCAUGAGGUUCCACCUUUUACCCCAGAAAUCUUGAAGCGAGCUAGUUUUGUAAGGCUCAUCAAAGGGUGGCUCGAGCUCGACUUGACUUACGACUCGUACCAUGGUGCUAACCAUGGUCAAGAUUAUUUCUAGGGAGAAAUAAAUGUGGAAACAAUAUAAAAGGAGAAUAAUAUUUGGAUGUAAAUGGGCUUUAAAGGUAUACACCCAUAUCAAAAUGGCUAGAAGUGCAAUGUUGAUAACAACAUUUAAAGUUGAUUUUGUACCCCUUUGAGUGGUAUUAGUUGAUGGUGUUUGAAACUUUAUAGGCAAACAAGCCAAUGGAAUAAAUGUUAAAAGUGAAAGAGGUGGGAUUGAUGACAAAGGGCCUUUACCAAAAGAAAAAAGAAUUAGCUUGAAAGUGGCUAGCCAUGCAAUGAAAAAAGAAGUAAUGGCACCAAGAUUGAUAGAAGUAAGAUAAAGAGGAAGAAUGAAAAAUAGACAAACAAUUGGAAUUAUAGCCACAAAUCUUGAUUUUCCAUUUGGAAAGAAUUUGACAAUUGUGUGAGAAUAACAUAAACUUGUUAAGACAAUAGUCCAUAUUACAAUGAAAUUGUGGAUUUCCCCUUCCAUUUCUUUGUUAAUUUCUUCUACUUCUUGAAAGAUGGCUUGAAUUUAAAGAUAACCUUUUUUGUUUCUAAUUAGAAAAAAAUAAUAUGUUAUGAUUGUCAACAUAGGGAGGCAAGGAAUAUUUUGAUGUCACAUAAGAUUAGUCAUCAUAUGAUUAUUAAUUAAGAAAUAUAUACAAUGAAACUUCUCUAUAAUCACAUCAUUUAUUCAAAUAUUUUUAUAGUUAAUUAUAGAAAACAUAUAAUAUAACAUAAUAUGAAAGUUGAUUCUAAAGAAAUCGUCAUUGUUAUUAUAAAGAAUGACACUUAUAGAGAAGUCUGAUUGUAUUGCACAAGAUCAAGAUGAUCAAUGAUGACGCCAAAUUUUUUGACGGAUAGUGUUCAAGACUUAAAUUAUUAUAUAAAAAGUAAUUUUAACCUAUAUAAGCAAUAAAAUUUUCUAUAUACCUUCGAUAAAGAAUAUUCAACUAAUUACCAUUUAAUCUAUGUGACUUCGUCGCAAACAAGCAUGUCAUUAUUGAGAUUAUUAAAAUAUCCAACUAUACAUAUAUAAUCUCUUAUAUAUCAAACAAGUAAUGGAUGUAACAUAUGUUAUUAGUUUAAAUGUCAAACAUUUGAAUCUAAAAAGUCCAUGCUCUAUAGAUAACAUCAGAUCCCAGUUUUAAAGACUUGGAAAAUAAAAUAUAAAGAAUAAUUGUUCAAUUUGUUGUAAAAAAUAAAUAAGUUAUGCUUUCAAUAUUAAAUUGGAAUACUUGAAAAUGAAAGGAAUGACACGAGAUAGUCGUGGAUAGCACUAGCACCCCUCUUAUAUAUUCGAUUUUUAAAAUUAUUUAAAAUUUGGUCAAUUUUGACAAACUUCAGACUAAACUUGUUGGCGUUGUUGCUUUUUUAUACUUUCGUGUCUAAGAGUUGCGCUAUGCCAAAGCCUAAUUUUAGACUUCGGUAAAACCCAACUUCUAAAUAGGGGCGGAGUUAGCUUAAGCCUAAGGGAAUAAACAUUGGAAUUUACAUAUGGCUAGAUUAUUGCUUUAUGCCCGAACACAAUUUUGAUAUUUCAAUAAAAUGACUAGUUUGAUAGAGAUUUCUUUUGUUUAGUAAGGCAAUGAAAAACUAUUUCAUUAGAGUUGCUUAAAAAAAUUCUCUUUUUCUCAUUCACUCAAAAGGAUGCGGACACACUAACACGAAUUAGAGGUGAACCUUCUCUCCGGCCCCACUUCCAUAUGUCUUCUAUAUUCACCACACAACAAAAUAUGUUGUAUCAUAAAUAGCAAAAAUGCUCUAUUAAUGUUUUUUUUAUUGGAAUCAUCUUGCAAGAAGAAAGAAAUUGAAAGGAAGAUUCACAAUUUCGUUGUUGUAUGGACUAUUAUAUUGUAUUAAAUCGAGAUCUUUCGAUGCAAAUUUAACUUUAAUAACAUCUAGAUGGAAAAUUCUAUUAAUUUCAACUAUCAAAGGAAAUAUUGGUACAAAUUUAUUAGUUCAAGACUAUAAAAUUCAAUUUCUUUUCAUUUUUUUUUUAAUUUUAUGUUUAUUAAAAUGAGACAAACAAAAACAAAAUGUUAUAAGCUUUGAUGAACGUGACACUUGGGGCCAAUAUUCAAGAAAAGAGAGAGGAUUCCAAAUGUAGGUGAAGAACAGACUUCCAAAUUUGACUAACAUUGCUUUUAUUGCACACUGCUAUUUGGACCCAACAAAAAAGUUCAAAAAAAUUAAUGGCAAGAAAAAAAUACUCCGUUUUUUAAUUUGUUUGUCUGAUUAUCACAAAAUACUUGUGAUAAAGAUUUCACAAGAUUUCCAUGAUUAAAAAGAAGUUGGGAUGAAACAAAAACGAAUUCAAAAUUUAAAAUAUAUAAUUCAACUUAGCCACUUUUAUAAUAGCGUGUUUAAUCAAAUAUUUUUUUACAACAUGUUAAAUAAAAAUAUACUAAUAAUGUAAAAAUUCUUUACACCAUUAUAAUGAUAAAAGUUAAUUCCAUAGAAGAUAUUACCUAUAUGUAUAAUUGGAUUUUUAAAUAAUUUGAUUUCAUUAAAUUAUUAUUAGUAUAAAAAGAAUAGAUUAUUUUAUAUUAUACAAGAUCUCUUUCAUCAAGUGCAAUAAAAUAUCCCCACCCACCCCACUUCCAUAUGUCCCCUAGGUCCAUCAUCACUACAUUUUUUAUUUCUAAAAUUAUCUCUUAGUUAAAGCCAUAUUUUUCCAAGAAGAAGAAGGAGAAGAAAUGGAAGGGGAGAUCCACAAUUUCAUAGUGGUAUGGACUAUUGUUUUAAUAAGUUUAUGUUAUUCUCACACAAUUGUCAAAUUCUUUCCAAAUGGCAAAUCAAGAUUUGUGGCCAUAGUUCCAAUUGUUUGUCUAUUUUUCAUUCUUCCUCUUUAUCUUACCUCUAUCAAUCUUGGUGGCACUACUUCUUUCUUCAUUGCAUGGCUAGCCAAUUUCAAGAUUCUUCUUUUUGCCUUUGGUAAAGGACCGUUGUCAUCAAUCCCACCUCUACCACUUUCAACAUUCAUUCCCUUAGCUUGUUUGCCUAUAAAAUAUCAAAAAUAUUCAACUAGUGAUAAUGUUGAAACCACAAAAAAGACCACAAAUUCAACUCUGAUCAAUCUUGUUACCAAGAUUACACUUCUAGCCACUUUGAUUAGGGUGUAUAAUUAUAAACACAAUUUACAUCCAAAACUCCUUCUCUUUUGUUAUUGCCUCCACAUUUACUUUUUCCUAGAAAUCUUAUUAACCAUGGUUAGUACUAUGGUUCGAGUUGCGAGCCGAGUCGAACUCGAACCACCUUUCGAUGAACCUUACAAGACUCGCUCACUUCAGGAUUUCUGGGGCAAGAGAUGGAACCUCAUGGUAACCAAUAUACUUCGUCCAACCGUCUACGACCCUGUUCGGUCAUUGAUGUUGGACCGAAUCCCGAGGAAGUGGGCCCCACUUCCCGCGGUGCUCGCGACGUUUUUCAUCUCGGGGUUAAUGCAUGAGCUGAUUUUUUACUACAUUUCAAGAGAGAAGCCUAGUUGGGAAGUCACAUAUUUUUUUAUUAUUCAUGGUGUAGCUUUGAGUAUUGAAAUUAUGGUCAAGAAAUUGUUAAAUGACAAAUUUUUGGUCCCUAGGUUUAUUUCAGGUCCAUUAGCAUUAGGAUUUAUAAUUUUGACAAGUUUUUGGUUGUUUUUUCCACCAUUAUUGAGGGGUAAGCCAGAUGUCAAAGGAUGUAAUGAAGCAAUUGCUUUAUUAGAAUUUGUUAGGUAUGGUAAACUAGUUAGUCCUGAGAAUAUCACUUGUCCAUUCAUGUAAGAUUAGUUAUAAAUUGUUCACAUUGAAAUAGAACAACCUCAAAUUAUAGAACUUUUAAUUUCAAAAUUUUCUUUUCAAGAAAAAGCUUUUUUUUAUUGUGUACAAUAAUUAUUUGAUAUUCGGAACUUAUAACUAGUUCGAUUAAUUCAGAUUUCUCGUGUAUAGCCUAAUUAAAAUAAAACUGCUCUCCACAAGGAGUUUAUUCAUUUUUCAAACUCAUAUUUGAAACCUUCGAUUAAAGAUAGAGCGAUGGAGUGACUCUACUAAGGGGUCACUAGCUAGAUCGGGAAAUGCGCGCUCUCAAGACUAUGAAUGAAGUUUCUUCUCUCUUCACACUUAAGUGCAAUUGCUUUAAAAAUAUUGUAAGCUAUGUACCAUUUUAAUCUUUUCAAAAGUACCAAAAAAAUAGGAAAUCUCACAUGCCAUUCAAAUUAAUUAACUCCAUCAUAACUCAUACAAUCAUAAUUCGUCCACCAUAAAAUAAAUAUUUUCUUAUAGAAGUGGACAAGUUAUAUUGGUAGGAUUAAUUAAUUUGCCAUACCUAAUAAACUCUAAGAAAGCAAUAAAUUCAGUACAUGCUUUAAGCUCUGUAUUACUCCUCAAAAAAGGUGGAAAAAACAACCAAAAACUUGUGAAAAUUAUAAAACUAAGUGCUAAUGGACCUGAAAUAAUCCUAGGAACCAAAAACUUUCCAUUGAAAAUUUUCUUGAUAACAAUUUCAAGACUCAAAGCGACUCCAUGAAUGAGAAAGAACAUCAUGACUUCACCAUUAGGUUUCAAUCUUCCAUUGUAGUAGAAAAUCAGCUCAUGCAUUACCCCCGAUACGAAAAACGUCGCGAUCACAGCUGGAAGUGGGGCCCACUUCCUCGAGAUCCGGUCUGCCACCAUUGAAUGUAUAGGGUCAUAUAUGGUUGGACGGAGUAUAUUGGUUACCAUAAGGUUCCACCUCUUGCCCCAGAAAUCCUGAAGUGAGCUAGCUAGGUAAGGCUCAUUGAAGGGUGGCUCGAGCUCGACUCGACUCACCCUUCGAACUGUGGCGCUAACCAUGAUCAAUAUGAUCUCUAGCAUAAAGUAAAUGUGGAGGCAAUAACAAAAUAGAAUGAUUUUUGGAUGCAAAUUGUCUUUAUAAUUAUACACCCUUAUCAAAGUGGCUAAAAGUGCAAUCUUGGUAACAAGAUUGAAAGUUGAAUUUGUAGCCUUUUUUGUGGUUUCAACAUUGUCACUAGUUGAAUUUUUUUGAAACUUUAUAGGCAAACAAGCCAAAGGAAUGAAUGUUGAUAGUGGUAGAGGUGGGGUUGAUGACAAAGGGCCUUUACCAAAGACAAAAAGAAGAAUCUUGAAAUUGGCUAGCCAUGCAAUGAAGAAAGAAGUAGUGCAACCAAGAUUAAUGGAGGUGAGAUAAAGAGGAAGAAUGAAAAAUAGACAAAUUAUUGGAAAUAUAGCCACAAAUCUUGAUUUGCCUUUGGGGACGAAUUUGGCUAUGGUGUGAGAAUAACAUAAACUUGCUAUGACAAUAGUCCAUACAACAAUGAAAUUGUGAAUUUCCCCUUCCAUUUUUCUCUUUCUUCUUCUUCUUCUUCUUGAAAGAUAAAUGGAAUUUAAAGAUGUCUAUAUUAUUAUUUCUAAUAAGAAAAAGUCAUAUUAUAUGAGUCAUUAUACAAUAUGAUUGUUGACUUAGGGAACAUGUGGAAGUGGGGUUGGGGAGAAAUAAAUUAUUAAGAAGUUGUCAUCUAAGAUAUGUUUGGUAAUUAAGGGAAGAUAUUUAAUUUGCACAUGAUCUAUGGGAUCUUUUCUUUUUUGGAAAGAGUUUUAAUUUUUUUAUAUUUAUCUGUUAUGAUUUAGCUAAUUAUGUUACUAGUCUAAUUAGUUAGUUAGUUAGUCUAUUCAAUUAAUUAGUUAGAAUAGUAAGUCAGCUGAAUUCUGUUAUUCUGUUAUUGUUAGUACAGCUCAUUAGUUAGUUAGAUAUUUUGAUUCCUUUUUGUAUAAAUACGUUGUUUCCUCAUAAUGAAAAUUAGUUGGUUGAUUCUCUCCACACUCUCUUCUUCACUGAUUUCUCUCUACUGCAUUCAUGGAUAAUCAGCCAUGGUUGUGAGCUGAUUUUGACAACAUGGUCAACAGGUCAAGGCAGUCUAGUGUUUUGUGAAGAGUUAAGUAACUUUUGACAGUAUAAUAACGGUAAUAUCUACUCGCAUUGAACAUUUAUAUCAAAUAAAUAGAUAUACGGUCACACAUAGUUGUAAUAAUACUGUUUGUCAGGAAAAUUUCAUGACUGACAUUUGAUGUUUAGAUCUUAUUUAUUUGUUAUACUAGAUAUUGGAGUCUGUAUUAGCACGGACUCAAUAUGUAUCAUUUUUUAUUUCAAUUUAUGUGACAAAGACAAAAUUAAAGAGUUAAUCAAAUUUUAAUAUUAAUUUAAAAUAGUUUCUUUUUUUAAUUAUUGUUAACUAUGGUAAAAGAAAAUUUAUGUCUUUUAACAUUCUAAAUUGCUAAUUAUUGUUGUAUGAUUUGUAAUAUCUUUUACGCAAUUUUGAAAUAAUAAAGGUUAUUUCUUCUUUCUCAAUUUAUGUGGUACUAAUAAAAUUUAGAGAUUCAAUCAANNNNNNNNNNNNNNNNNNNNNNNNNNNNNNNNNNNNNNNNNNNNNNNNNNNNNNNNNNNNNNNNNNNNNNNNNNNNNNNNNNNNNNNNNNNNNNNNNNNNNNNNNNNNNNNNNNNNNNNNNNNNNNNNNNNNNNNNNNNNNNNNNNNNNNNNNNNNNNNNNNNNNNNNNNNNNNNNNNNNNNNNNNNNNNNNNNNNNNNNNNNNNNNNNNNNNNNNNNNNNNNNNNNNNNNNNNNNNNNNNNNNNNNNNNNNNNNNNNNNNNNNNNNNNNNNNNNNNNNNNNNNNNNNNNNNNNNNNNNNNNNNNNNNNNNNNNNNNNNNNNNNNNNNNNNNNNNNNNNNNNNNNNNNNNNNNNNNNNNNNNNNNNNNNNNNNNNNNNNNNNNNNNNNNNNNNNNNNNNNNNNNNNNNNNNNNNNNNNNNNNNNNNNNNNNNNNNNNNNNNNNNNNNNNNNNNNNNNNNNNNNNNNNNNNNNNNNNNNNNNNNNNNNNNNNNNNNNNNNNNNNNNNNNNNNNNNNNNNNNNNNNNNNNNNNNNNNNNNNNNNNNNNNNNNNNNNNNNNNNNNNNNNNNNNNNNNNNNNNNNNNNNNNNNNNNNNNNNNNNNNNNNNNNNNNNNNNNNNNNNNNNNNNNNNNNNNNNNNNNNNNNNNNNNNNNNNNNNNNNNNNNNNNNNNNNNNNNNNNNNNNNNNNNNNNNNNNNNNNNNNNNNNAAAUAUUGUGUAAAAAAUGUGUAUUUAUUGUGAUUUUGAAUGUUUUGUGGGGUAAUAUGACGCACGCAAAGUUAAGAUGUUUUUUUAAAAAUCCGGGACAACUUCAAGUAUCACUUAAUGUUUUUUCUCAAAAUCUAAUUUACUUUCGUAAACUAUGUGUCAAAUCAAAAUCAAAUUAACAAAUUCAAAAGGAAUGAGUAAUAAAUAGCUCAUACAACUAAAUAAUAAAUAUGUAACUAAAAAUCUUGUUAGCUUUUAGUUGAAAGCUAACAAGAUAGUUACAAUCAUAGUUGCAUUGUGGCUUAUUAACAAAAAGUACACAAAAAGAUUAGUUUAAUAAUUUUGUGUACUAAGAAAGAAGAAAGAACGUACUCCAUCCAUUUUAAUUUAUGUGGCACUUUUCAAAUUUUAAAAUUUAAAUAAAUCUAUUUUUGACGCUCGAUCGGAAAAUGCUCUCAAGGAUAUGAAAAUUCUUCUUCCGACAGAUUUAAGCGACGUUGUUUUUGAUUAAAGACGGUAACCAAAGCUACCUUUAAAAUCUUUUCCAAAAUACAAAAAAAAAAACAUUAAAAUUAAUUGUAUCAUAAAUCAUACAAACCUUAGUACACCAUGAAAAAAAUAGUCUUACAGAAAUGAACAUGUGAUAUUGGUAGGACUAAUUAAUUGACCAUACCUAAUAAAUUUAAAGAAAGCAAUAUAUUCCGUACAUAAUUUAAACUCUGUAUUACUCCUCAAAAAAGGAGGAAAAAAGAACCAAAAACUUGUGAAAAUAAUAAAUGCUAGUGCUAAUGGACCUGAAAUAAUCCUAGGAACCAAAAUUUUGCCAUUCAACAUUUUCUUCAUAACAAUUUCAACACUCAAAGCGACUCCAUGAAUUAGAAAGAAUAUCAUGGCUUCACCGCUAAGCUUCAAUCUUUCAAUAAUGUAGUACAAAAGUAGCUCAUGCACUAGCCCCGAGGCAAAAAACGUGGCGAGCACAGCUGGAAUUGGGGCCCACUUCCUUGGGAUCCGGUCCGCCACAAACAAACGGACGGGGUCAUAGACAGUCAAACGGAGAAUAUUAGAUACCAUGAGGUUCCACCUCUUGCCCCAGAAAUCCUGGAGCGAGCUAGUCAGGUAAGGCUCAUUGAAGGGUGGGUCGAGGUCGAGGUCGACUCGACUCACCCCUCGAACCACGGCGCUAACCAUAUUCAAUAUGAUCUCUAACAUGAUGUAAAUGUUUAUACAAUAACAAAAGAGAAUGAAUUUUGGAUGUAAAUUGUCUUUAUAAUUAUACACCCUUACCAAAAUGGCUAGAAGUGUAAUCUUGGUAACAAGAUUGAAAGUUGAAUUUGUAGCCUUUUUGAUGGUUUCAACAUCUUUAGUUUUUGAUGAUUUUUUAAACUUAAUAGGCAAACAAGCCAAGGGAAUGAAUGUUGAAAGUGGUAGAGGUGGGGUUGAUGACAAAGGGCCUUUACCAAAAGUAAAAAGUAUGAGCUUGAAAGUGGCUAGUCCUGUAAUGAAGAAGAAAGUAGUAGCACCAAGAUUAAUUGAGGUGAGAUAAAGAGGAAGAAUGAAAAAUAGACAAACUAUUGGAAAUAUAGCCACAAAUCUUGAUUUGCCUUUGGGAAUGAACUUGGCUAUGGUGUGAGAAUAACAUAAACUAGCUAAGACAAUAGUCCAUACAACAAUGAAAUUGUGAAUUUCCCCUUCCAUUUCUCUCUUUCUUCUUCUUCUUCUUGAAAGAUAAAUGGAAUUUAAAGAUAUGAUUAUUGACUUAGGGAACAUGUCACAUGUGGAAGUGGGGUCGGGUAGAAGUAGAGUAUUUCAAAUAUAAUACGUAAUUAUUAGCAUGGAUGACCGUGCAAGCACGGGUCCGAUAUAAGCAGGUUAAAUGUGCACAUGAAAUAUAUAUAUAUAUAUAUGAUGUUUAAAUCUUAUUUAGUGGUUAUAAGAAAAAGUACGGAAAAAGCAGUGUAAUGCUUUUUUGCAACAACUAGAACAAAUAUAUUUGCAAACCAAUUUUAAAAAGAAAAAAAAAUAUAAAGAGUAUGAACGUCAAAAAGGCAAACAUCAAUAGCUUUAUUUAAACCUAAUAACAACGUCAUGUUGUGAUUAUCGAACAAUGUUUUUAGAAAAUUUCAUGGUCGACCAUUAUUAAGAAUGAGGACAUCCAAUGUCAUCAUCUUAGUACUAUUAUUGAAGAUUUUCUAUAAUUAAUUUGUUGAAUGUCAUAAAGACUUUUAUUGAACCAAUUUGGGGAAUGGUAUGCAAAUGUCUCAUCUUAUUAGCAAACGAAAUGCACAAACAUGAUGAAGAUUUAAUAAUCUCGAUCAAGAAAUGUUCUCAAUUUUUCUUUCAACUAAUUUAAGUGAACGUUUCUUUUGAAAAACGAUAAGCCAAAAUAACCUUUUUAGUCUUUUCUAAAAAGAAAACAAAAAAGUAGAAAAUUUCACGUUGCACUCGAAGUAAUUUAUUUUUAUCAUAACACAUAUGAUACAAACCUUAGUCCACCAUGAAUAAAUAUUCUUACAAGAGUGGACAUGUGAUAUUGGUAGGACUAAUUAAUUGACCAUACCUAAUAAAUUUAAAGAAAGCAAUAGAUUCACUACAUGCUUUAAACUCUGUGUUACCCCUCAAAAAUGAAGGAAAAAACAUCCAACAACUUGUGAAAAAUAUAAAUGCAAGUGCUAAUGGGCAUGAAAUAAUCCUAGGAACAAAAAAUUUGCCAUUGGAAAUUUUCUUGAUAACAAUUUCAACACUCAAAGCCACUCCAUGAAUUAGAAAGAAUAAGAUGUAUUCACCAUUAGGCAUCAAUCUUCCAUUGUAGUUGAAAAUCAGCUCAUGCAUUAGCCCCGAGACGAAAAACGUCGCAAGCACGGCCGGAAGUGGGGCCCACUUCCUCGAGAUCCGGUCCGCCACUAUCGAACGGACGGGAUCGUAUACAGUCGGACGGAGUAUAUUAGUUACCAUGAGGUUCCACCUCUUGCCCCAGAAAUCCUGGAGCGAGCUAGCUAGGUAAGGCUCAUCGAAGGGUGGCUCGAGCUCAACUCGACUCACCCCUCGGACCACGGCACUAAUCAUAUUAAAUAUGAUCUCUAACAUGAAGUAAAUGUGAAAGCAAUAGAAGGAGAGAAUAAUUUUUGGAUGCAAAUAAUCCUUAUAGCUAUACACCCUAAUGAAAAUGGCUAGGAGUGCAAUCUUGGUAACAUGAUUUAAAGUUGACUUUGUGGUCUUUUUUUUGGUUUCAACAUUAUCAUUAAUUGAAUAUUUUUUAAACUUUAUAGGCAAACAAGCCAAGGGAAUGAAUGUUGAAAGUGGUAGAGGUGGGGUUGAUGAUAAAGGGCCUUUACCAAAAGCAAAAAGAAUGAGCUUAAAAGUGGCUAGCCAUGCAAUGAAAAAAGAAGUAGUGCCACCAAGAUGAAUAGAUGUGAGAUAAAGAGGAAGAAACAAAAAUAGACAAACUAUUGGAAAUAUAGCCACAAAUCUUGAUUUGCCAAUGGGAAUGAAUUUGGCUAUGGUGUGAGAAUAGCAUAAACUAACUAUGACAAUAGCCCAUACAACAAUGAAAUUGUGAAUUUCCCCUUCCAUUUCUAUGUUUCUUUUUCUUCUUCUUGAAAAAUGGACGGAACUUAUAGAUGUCUUUAUUAUCUCUAUCAGGGGGGAAAAAACCAUAUUAUAUGAAUCAUCAUACAAUUAUAUGAUUGUUGACUUAGACCUUACUCACCUUAGGGAACAUGUGAAAGUGGGGUUAGGUAGAAAUGGAUUAAACUACCUUUAUAUAUAUAUAUAUAUAUAUAUGUUACACAAUAAACAUGCAUGUGUCACAUUUUCUUCAUACUGGAAUUUGUUGUAAUUGUGCCGAGGGUCUUACAGAAAUAUUUUUUUUACCUUCACGAGAUAAUGAUAAGGUUUGUAUACCUUCUACCCUUCCCAAACCUCACUUAUAAGAUUUCACUAUUAUUUUAUUGUUAUUGUUGUUCGACCAAUGAUGGAUUAAACUACCUAUAUAUAUAUAUAUAUAUAUAUGUUACACAAUAAACAUGCAUGUGUCACAUUUUCUUCAUACUGGAAUUUGUUGUAAUUGUGCCGAGGGUCUUACAGAAAUAUUUUUUUUACCUUCACGAGAUAAUGAUAAGGUUUGUAUACCUUCUACCCUUCCCAAACCUCACUUAUAAGAUUUCACUAUUAUUUUAUUGUUAUUGUUGUUCGACCAAUGUGUAUCACAUAAAAGAAAAAACAAUAAAAAUCUUAACUUAGCAUUUGGAAAACAUCCAAAACUCUGUUUUCUCUUUUUCAUUUACACUAAAAAAAAAUUCAAACGUUACUCUAACUGUUAUUUCUAUAGAAGUGACACCGAUUUAAAUUAUAAUUUAUGUUUUUAGGAAAGGUAUAUCCAAAUAAUCAAAUAUUAUUUUCAAAAAUUAUAACCAAACAUAAUUUAGCUUACAAAAUUCCAAGAGAAACAAAGAAAAUAUGACGUGAAUUUGCUUUAUAAUUUUUUUUCCAUGUGCCAUCAUUAAUUGAAUAAAUUAGUUAAAACACAUAAUAUAUAUAAAUUAUCUUUAUAAUAAAUAAAUGUAUUAUUGUCACUAUUGGUCGAUGGUUCAAGAAGUCUUCUCUUUUUGUAUAAUAUCUUGUAGAUCUUGAUAAUGUGUCUUAGAUCCUAUUAAUUAAUUAUGUAACAUUUUGCAGCUAAUAACCAGUAGCACACAUAUUAUCAUUAUCAUUAUUAUUAUUAUUAUUAUUAUUAUUAUUAUUAUUAUUUGAACUUUAAUUUCAAGGAAUAUUUACUUCAUUAUACUUUUAUUUUACAAGAAUAUAUAUACCGCAAUGUCAUCAAAAGAUAGGGUGAUAUGAAUGACAUCAUUUUACACUUAUAAUUUAGCUCUACGCAUGUGAAUUUUCAUUAGUUAGACCACUGGGGUGAUUUGAAUUUUGGAGAGAGAACUAAGAGAAACAUCGUUAAUAUAUUGCUAUUAAGGAUGGCGAUAUUCAACAUCAUCCUCUUAAAAAUUAUUAUUGGAGAAAGGCAUAUCAAUUUGUUGUUUUUCUAGAAAACAAAAGCCACAAGCAUAGUGAUGAUUUAAUAAUAUCGGGAAAUGCUCUAAAGAAUAUGAAACUUCUUCUCUAGACAAAUUUAAGUGACGAUAAUUUUGAACUUUUAAAGGUAAGAAAAAAAUAGCAAGUUACACAAAGAAAUCAAAUUAACUCUAUCAUAAGUACUCAUACAAACCUUAGUCCAUCAUGAAUAAAUAUUAUAACAGGAGUGGACAUGUGAUAUUGGUAGGACUAAUUAAUUGACCAUACCUAAUAAAUUUAAAGAAAGCAAUAUAUUCAUUACAUAAUUUAAGCUCUGUAUUACCCCUCAAAAAAGGAGGAAAAAAUAACCAAAAACUUGUGAAAAUAAUAAAUGCUAGUGCUAAUGGACCUGAAAUAAUCCUAGGAACCAAAAAUUUGCCAUUGAACAUUUUCUUAAUAGCAAUUUCAACACUCAAAGCGACUCCAUGAAUUAGAAAGAACAUCAUGGCUUCACCACUAGGCUUCAAUCUUCCAAUGUAGUAGAAAAAUAGCUCAUGCAUUAACCCCGAGACGAAAAACGUGGCCAGCACAGCUGGAAUUGGGGCCCACUUCCUCGGGAUCCUGUCCACAAUAACCAAACGAACAUGAUCAUAGACGGCCAGACGGAGUAUAUUAGUUACCAUGAGGUUCCACCUCUUACCCCAGAAAUCCUGAAGCGAGCUAGCCAGGUGAGGAUUGUUGAUGGCUGGCUCGAGCUCAACUCGUCUCACCACUCGAACCGCGAUGCUAACUAUAUUCAACAUGAUCUCUAACAUGAAGUAAAUGUGGAGGCAAUAACAAAAGAGAAUGAAUUUUGGAUGUAAAUUUUCUUUAUAAUUAUACACCCUAAUCAAAAUGGCUAAAAGUGCAAUCUUUGUAACAAGAUUGAAAGUUGAACUUGUGGUCUUUUUUUUGGUUUCAACAUUAUCACUAGUUGAAUAUUUUUUCAACUUUAUAGGCAAACAAGCCAAGGGAAUGAAUGUUGAAAGUGGUAGAGAUGGGGUUGAUGACAAAGGGCCUUUACCAAAAGCAAAAAGAAUGAGCUUGAAAGUGGCUAGUCCUGUAAUGAAGAAAGAAGUAGUAGCACCAAGAUUAAUGGAGGUGAGAUAAAGAGGAAGAAUGUAAAAUAGACAAACUAUUGGAAUUAUAGCCACAAAUCUUGAUUUGCCUUUUGGAAUGAAUUUGGCUAUGGUGUGAGAAUAACAUAAACUUGCUAAGACAAUAACCCAUACAACAAUAAAAUUGUGGAUCUCCCCUUCCAUUUCUAUGUUUCUUCUUGAUCUUCUUCUUCUUCUUGGUUUUUUAAUUCAUUUCAUAAAAAGCAUAAACAAUGAUGGAAGUAAGGUUGUGUAGAAAUGGAAUAUUUCACAUAAAACAAUUAAGUAGUUGUCAUGAUGCCAUCUAAGACAUGUUUAUAAUAAUUAUAAAAGAGAAGAUCUUUUGCUCAUCAUCAAGGAGAUCUAGUUUUUUUGGAGUUCUACGCCUUUUUUGUAUUUUAGCAUGCCCUUGUAAUAUUGGAAAACUACCUAAUUAUACAAAUAUUUCUAUCAUAUUUUUUCAAUUUUUCCCUAUAGUUUAAAAUAAUAUAUUAUCUCACUAAUUAAUAAUUACAUACCAUAUUUCAAAUCAAACAUAUUUAGAUAUAUGUAUUUUUUCCACCAUAUACACUAAACUAGGGAGAGUGGCGAGCGAGAAAAGGAAAGAGGUGAGCGAGAUAGGAGGGAGGAGAGUGAGAUCCCCAUAUACAUGUGAAUCAUCCCAGAUACAUGUGAAUUACACCAAAUAGAUGUAUUUGGGUAUAUCAGAUUCAGGGAGAAAGGAGAGUGGAAAGUGGGAUAGGAGAGAGAGGCGAGCGAGAAAGUCAGAACAUGCGAGUCCACUUGAAUAUAAUGUAUAUAUAACAAAUUACACCUAAUUUUAAUCACGUACAUGUAUCUUGAUGUAUCUGAACGCGCCAAAUACAUAUAUCCGAAGUCCAAAAUCUGAUAAGGAACGUAAUAUUACAAACUAGGCGAAUCUAAAUAAUUAGCUCUUAAAGUAAUGAAAUUUAUGUUGUUUACCCAUUACAUAUCAGUUCUACAAUUAGCCCCUUUAGCCUUAGCCCAUAUAUCACAUCCGGCCCAAAACAAAAUACCCCACAGCCCACAUAAGGAGCCCAAUUGUCGCCCAAAAACCAAUUCUCAUUGCUCUCCUGCUGCUCCGCCGCCGCCGCCCGCCGUCGUUCGAUUUUCCUAGCUCAAGGUAUUUGAAACCUAACUGAUGUAUAAUAUAUGUAUAUAAUUCAUGUAUAAUCUAUGAAUACCGGCUAGAAAAAAUAGAUAGUAAGUUAUUUUGGCUGUUAUAGUUAAGAGGUUCUUGUGUGCUUUAGCAUGAAUAAGCUGAGAUUCUUGUAAUUGCUUCCUGUUGGUGAAAAUACAAUUAUUGUUGAAAAAAUAGAAAUAGAAAUAAAAAUAACAAUUUCUAUAGGCUGAAGAGCAGAUAACUCGUUUUUUUAUAUUCAAGCCACUAAGAUAGAAUAUUCACUGGUUCAACAGUAAUACUCUUGACUUGUUUCCUGCAGCAUAAAACAUCUCGACAAUGUUGUAUAUGUAGAAUAAACUCUAGACUAGUUGUUGAGUCUACUGUUCCAUCAAUAAGAACACAUUCCUUUUUAGAUGGCUCUUGCACUUAUAUUUCAUUGGAUUAGCCUUAGCGUUGAUCAUGAUUAAAUUCGGCUUUAGUUUUCACUAUUUUUGUAUAGCUAAGGUGCUUCAGUAGUCUUCUAAGAUAAAAAGUAAGCUCCUUUUUUUUAGAGUGUAAUUUAAGCGAAUGCACCUUGAAUUUCAAGAUUUGGAAUACUUUCUAUGAAAACUCUGGUCAUCAUCUGGUGCUCCCAGUAGUCUGUUGAAGCAUUUUUUAUAUAUGAACCAAAGCUCGAAAAGCAUUGCCUCUGACCUGUGCUGCUCGGACUCUUCAAAAAUGUUGUCCAGUGCGUCUCGGAUCCUCCAACAGUAGUACAUUUUUGAAGGAUCCGACAGAGGUCCGAGCAAUAUAGCCUUUGACUAGUUGAACAUUCAUAGUUAUUCAUCAUUUGGUCGUUUGUAUAAUUAAGAUUCUUCAUGAUAUGACUGCUUUCUUAUAGUAAUACAGUAUUUUUUGUUCUUAAGAGAAGCACUUAUCAGGAGAAACUUGUAUAAGGUUAAAGAAGUGUGCUUUCUUACUCAUUUGAUAGCUCUUACCUCACUUCUUAUGAUAGUUCCUCUUUUUUCUCCUUCUUUCAUCUGAUAUCCAUAAAUUUCUUCUUCUUUUUCCGAGUUCCGAAGAUUUGGUAAUUGUUUUUCAAAUGAUAUCCUUUCUGUGAACAGUCAAUGGAACAUGGUUCAUUUGAAGAUCAAUCUAAAGCAACAUUCUCGUUGACAGAUGAGGACCAUACGCUGGCAAAUGCUGUCAGAUUCACUCUAAAUCAAGAGUUAGUAGUUCACCUCUUCAUUGCUUUUUUCAUUAUGCAGUAAUCACUGCUAAUACUUUCAGUGUUCGCUUUAUUUCCUCAUACAAAUUACAGUACAUAUUACAGAAUUUUGUUUGAAGUUUAGUGUCUGGUAAAAUAGGGGGCCUGGGUAUCUCAUUUUGUAACAUUCCUCUGAUCUCAUGUUAAUCUUGUUUUUGCAUGUUCAGUCUUCAAGCCCCCCAUCUCACCCCGUUUUUUUAAGCAGAGUUUUUGUGCAACAAGCUUAAGAUGAUAUGAUUAACUGAUAUCCACUUUCUUGCAGUCCACGAGUAACAUUUUGUGGAUACAGCAUUCCACAUCCCUCCGAUGCACGAGUGAACAUAAGAGUUCAGACUACUGGUAAAGCUAAAAACUUUCACCAACUUAUCUUUAUCAAUGAUUUCUCCAACUUAUAAAAGAAAAGCUUAAACGUUUCUCUAGCAAUAGCAAUGCAGGGGUGAUUCGUGUACUGGAUUUUCUGUUCUUUUAUAAACUUUUUUUAAAAUCUGAUGUUCAAAUUGGUAUCCUGCUUCCACAUGUUUUAUCCUUGCUACCUAAUUGCAAGAUUUCUCCUCUAUCUAUAAUUUUUUCCAACUUGUAUGAUACAAAGAUUGUAGUCCUCUUUAUUUAUUAUUCCGCCCAAGUGGACUAUUCUCUCCUUAUGGAGUCUAAGAAAACUGAGAUAUCUUUGCGCGGUAUUUCCAGUUAAGAAGAUUAUCUCAUUUAUAUUUUUUUUUGUUCUGAUGUACACAAACGACCAAACAUAAUUCCUAGAAGCCCAUUCCACUAGGGAGUUAAUGUGUAGCAAUGUUUCUCCAUAUGAAGUUUUCCUUGUUGAUAUUUUCGAUUAGAAGGAAUAAUAUAAAGCUAUUUUAUUUUUCAAUUAGAGAUUGCAACAGCAUGCAUAACCUGUGUACUGAUACGACCGCCUGGAAAUAGCAAUUCGCAAUUGUCUUUUUUUUUUAAUGCUUCCAUAUGUUUAUACAGUUCUUCUGUGAAAUGUUGUGGACCUCUGUUUGAGUUUUGGUAUAUCUGGCUUCUAUUGCAGGAGAUCCAGCUAGGGAGGUAUUGAACGAUUCAUGUCAGGAUCUAAUGCUUAUCUGCGAGAACGUUAGAGACACAUUUGACAAGGCUAUUUUAAAGUUUAAAACUGAAGGAGGUCUGAGCUCUAUGGAUAUCAAGAAAUAAUCGACAAGAAGUACAUAUAACCUCAUAUCCAAGUGAAAUCUUGUAACCUUAUUUGCACAAAAGUUGCUUUCGUUAUAACCAUUUUCCCCCAUAGGCCAUAUAUAUGUUCAUCAGAUUAUUAGCUAUAAUGCUUAUGCUUUAGUUGCACACUGUCAUCUGCCGAUUUGGUGAUCUCCAUGACGAUGAUAGUGCAAAUUUUGGCUAGUUGGCUCACAUAUACGAAGAAUGUACCUUGGGCUGUGCAGAAAUAUUGAUCUGCAUGUUUUAAUGCACUGUGCUUCCUUUUACAUUGGGUUAGGAUGGAUGAAUCAUUGGAUUUUUUAUCAGCUUGCUUUCGCGUAAAAGUUGUCUAUUCGUACUUUCUUUUUAUUGGCUCUCUCUCAUAUUGUCUUAGCUCGCGCGUUAUGAACUCCAGCCAUAGUAACCAUACAAAUGAAAUGAGCCAACUAAUCGAUCUUUCUCUUGGUAUACAUCCCUUUGUUUUGGAUUUGCUUUUGCUUUAGUUCUUGUCGUAGAACGACCUUUUCUGUUCUACUUUGCAUCUUUUCCAUUUGGGACUGAUGCAUAAUUAUUUUCCACUUGAGUAGUUUUUAACAAUAUUGCUAAACCAAGAAAACAAACCACAAGAUUCUGGUCAAUAUCUUAUUAUUUCAUUGAAAAUGAACAAACCACUCACAUUGCUAUUGCUCUUGUUAUUGUAGUAUAUAUGUACAACUGAGAUUAUAAUUAUACACCAACAGAAUUUCGAAUUCACGCCUGUACUAAAGAAAAAAAUCUGGUUCUUGCACUCAUCCAGUUCUUACAUAUCCUCGAGCAAUAUCAGAACUUCAAAUCAUUCCAACCUCGUGUUUGGCUCGUUGCUAAGAUCUGGAAGAUGUUCAGCCGAAGCACAUUACAUAGUUUCUCCUAUAUUGUCCGUCUCCUCGAGGAAGAUGAAUGAAUAAAAAACAUUUCAUAUUUAAGAUGCAUUACCCAAACAAGAUAUGUUGAGAAGCCUGCAAGAUUGUUCUACCAUCAGUUUAUAGGUAGAAGGAUGCUUCCAGGCUAUAAACGAGAACUGGUCUCCAUAUCGUUCCAUUCCUUCCACUAAUAGCUGCCAUACUAAGGCUCCUGCACCAGCUUUCUUCUUCUUUGCUGACUCGUAAAUCUUGUCAUAAACUAUUUUCAGAAAAAUAUUUCUGUCGUAUAAUCCGUUCUUCUGUAUACUCGAAGGAAAACCAACUUCUGUGAAGAGAACAGGCUUCUUAAGGAUUUUUUCAGCUUCACUAAUGUGAGAAUCAACCCAAUGAGAUAGAAAAUCUACUCUCGCGUCUGAAUUUAUACCACCUUUGAUCCUGCAAGAAAACAUAUUUUAACAUAAUCGAUGAAGGCAGUUAUAAACACAUAUGAGCUUAUAUUUCUACAUAUGCUACUAUAAAAAUGUAUCUGAUUUGGAACAAAUUUAAUCUGCUUGACUAACCAACUGUGGGGGUAUGCAUGAACUGAAGUAAAAUCAAUGUUUUCAAUAGCCGAGUUCUCAAUGAAGUCCACUCCAAGUGAUGCAGCCCAUUUCCCUGGGUUCAAUCCAACGUUUCCAGUUUUCUCCACACCAUAAAAGCCCUCUAGUCCAAUGGUCACGAGAUGCUUCUGAUCCAAACUUUUGACAAAUCCAGCCAUCUCUGCUAUCCACGCCUGUUCACGAAAUUACCAUUGAAGCUAAAGAAAGAAGGUACUACAAUCAGACCUCUCUAUAACAGUCACCCUCUAUAACAACACUUCACUAUAACAGCCAAAUUUUUCUUUAGAACCGAUUUUUUCAUGUUCUCUAUAACAACAUUUCAUUACAACAGCCAAAAAAAUGCCUGCACAAACAAUGCAGUUAUAGAGAGGUUUGGCCAUAAUAGGUGCAAUGGGACGAGUAAAAUCUUGCUUUAUGUACUAGAACUAUUGAUAUGCAAACUAAUUAACACAAACAAAGAAAAAAGUAAUCUCUGCCAGAUGCUUUAUUUUCCUUGCUUCAAAAUCGCCAUUUUUCUAGUGUCAUUGAGAGGCCAAAACUCUCUCUAGUAAGCAGUAUAAUUCAAAAAACUAACCUGGAGAGCAGCAGCUGAUGAACUGGAUUCACAACGAGGCUCAUUUAUGAGUUCCCACGCAAAUAUGGCCGGUUCUUCUGAAUAUUUAACUCCACUUAUAGAGUUUUUUCUUGUCACAAUAGCCUGCCAUGCGCAACAAGUAAAAAAAAAUUAUAAUGUGUUUAUAGUUCAUCACGUGAAAGUAAAUAGAAAGAAAUUGCUUAACGGGAAAAGCUUCUUCAAAGUGUAUUCAGUUAGCAUUGUCAAGUGUCUUAAGUUUGCUUAAUUUGAACAUACCUUGACAAAAGACUUGUAGUAUGCUUUAACCGUUGGAUUGGUAAAGAAUGCAUCUCUUGAUGAUGACACAUUGGUACCUGCUUCUCGCGCCCACCUCAUAUAUUGAGCAGUGCCACCAUAUGCUUUUAAAUUGUUUACAAGACUAAGGAUUAAUCGAAUGUUAUGCUUCCUUGCUUCAACAAUGACAAAAUCUAAUCCCUGAAAAUGAUAGGAUGAUAAGAUUAUAUCAAAAUGUGGGGAGAAGGUAAAAAUUUAUACCAUGUGGCAUAAAAUUGCAUCACUAAGCAAGGCCCUGAACAAUAGUUCGUAAUAGUCUAGUAAGAUGAACAGACUUGUGUGAAUGUAUGCUUGCAGAUACAUCGGCAAGAUAAUCGUUAGGAAUUGCAUAUGUGCACUAUAAUAUCUAGUUUUAUCUACUGGUGGUCUACUAGUCUGUGGUUUCUAUUGCUACUUUCUGCCGAGCUCUUAUGGUGUUAGAUCGAUUAUAUAAUCAAGACUGAAUAUAAUCAAUUUUUGAACAAAUACUACUUAAAAUUUGUAUCUUCGGCCAUCUAGGCGCAAUCCACUAUCCACACAAAACUAAAUUGUUUGGAUCUUCAGUAUAGCAGUAGGUACUAUGUAUAGUAGUAGGUACUCAGAACUCAUGAAUGCUUGAUAUCGUAGUAAAUUCUGCAUUGCAACUAUAAUUGCAGAAUACUAUAUGCUACCCAUUUGUAUUGCUAGACUAGAUGUAGCAGAGUUAAACUAUCAGAAGUGUUUCUAGUAAUCUUUAGCUGAUGUUCAUUAUGAUAAACACCAAAAAGUUCUGUCCUUUCAAAGUACUUUUGCACAAAACCUUUUCGGUUUGGACUACUAUUUCAUAAUAUGCCAAUGAUAUGACCGAAAGCAGGUCUAUCCGUAAUGACGUCUUGCUAGCUUUUAGAUGUUUAACUGAAUAUUCAAAGUUUCAAACCUACUAUUCCACCAUCCCCAACACCUCACCAGUGAGAACAAGAUACAUGUAAGCUGGUUAGUUGUUCUUUUUUACGGUUGUGUUCAGGGCAAUUUGUACGUAUCUCGACUAUUCUAUGGGUACCUUGAAAAUGGUAGUGAGUUAUUCCAUCUACCAGGUUUUGGUAGACAUGAAAAAAUCACCUAGCAUUUUUUGUAAAUUCUCUGCUCUCCUGUGAUUUCAUCCCACUUCAUUGGCCGCCACCUUGAUUACUAGUUGAUUUAUGCACUUAACAUACAAAUUAAGGUAUACUACCAAUUGUAAAGCACAAUAUUUAAGUUUAAUACGCCUAAGAAUUAUACAAAGACUCAAACUUUACCUUCUAUUUUCACUAAACUUCUAUUAACAAAUAAAAUCAUCUCUGUUUCAAGAGAAAUAAAUCAACAUCACACCCUAAAACACCAUAAACACAGCGAUCUUAGAAACUGGCAAAUGAUUCUCAUUUUUUUGAAUUAAGAAACAACUUCUCAAAGUGUUCAAUAAGUUACUACUCCCUCCCAUUCAAAUUAUUUGUCUUACCAUCCUUUUUAGUUGAUUUCAAGAAAAAAAAAACGUCUCUUUCCCAUUUUUCAGCAACUCUUUUAUUCUACCUUUCCACCUUGACAUGUUUAAGACCACAAGAUUAAAGUACAUUUUAGUGCAUUCUAUAUAUCUUUAGUUUAAGACUACAAGAUUCAAAACUCUUUCUUUUACUUUCUCAAAACUCCACGUCAAAUAAAAAUACCAGAUAAUCAAAUUGAAAUAGAGUUGAGUACAAGUUAUGUUGCUCAGACUCUUUAAAAAUGUUGAUGGACACAUGUUGGAUCCUCUAAAAGUAAGUGCAGUUUGGAGUAUCCAACAUGAGUACAAACACCAUUUUUGAAAACUCCGAGCAACAUAGGCAAUAAGUACUUCAGUAAUCCCAAUAAUUGCUACAAAAAAACAACAACAUCAUACCCAAUGAAACUCUUUUAUUACUUUCUUAAACUCCAUGUCAAUUUAAAACCAAACAAUCAAACUGAAACGAAGGGAGCAUAAGUUAUGUUGCUCAGACUCUUCAAAAUUGUUGAUGGAUGCGUGUCGGAUCCUCUAAAAGUAAGUGCAUUUUUGAAGUAUCCAACACAAAUGCAAACAACAUUUUUGAAAAAUCCGAGCAACAUAGAGUCUAUAAGUACUUCAAUGAUCCUAACAAGUGCUACAAAAAACAACAUAUACAGUAAAAUUCCACAAAGUGAGGUCGGGGAGGGUAAAGUAUACGCAAACCUUACACCUAUCUCGGAGGUAUAGAGGUUGUUACCCUCAGCUCAACUAUGCUACAAAAAUCAAACAAAAACCCAAAUAACAGAAAAAUUAGCAAUUUUGAAAUAGAAGUACCACCUUAAAGACUCUUUCAUUGAAGACUCCAGGAAGUAGCUGAAGAUCAUUAGGUCCACCACCAUCACUAAAAGCCCAAGUCCUACAAACACUCAACCCCAUUUCAGCUCCUCUUUUCAACAUCUUAGAAACCCUAAAUCUUGAAGAUACCCAAACACUUUCCUCCAUUAACCAAUAAGAAUUCCAACCAUUAAUGUAAAAUUCUUGAAAUGUUAAAGAUUGAGUCUUUGGAUUUUCAUUCUUGAUGAAAAAUCUAGUUUCAUUAACCCCAACAAAACCCAUAUAAGGUUGUCUUAGAAAGAUUUGUGGGAAAGUGAAAUUAAAAUUGUCAUUGAAACUCAAAUACAAAAGAAAAAAAAUGGUGAAAAUGCCUAAGGCUGGAUAUAGUUUUUUGUCUCUCCAUUGUGUGUCCAUUUGGGAAAUUUUGUUGGUUUGUUUUGUGUCAAAUGUUAGUUAUAUAUAUAAAGGGCUUUAUUUUAAUCUCCCACCGACUAAAAUUUUGGAGUAAUUUUCUUUUCGAAACCAAACUUAUACACUAUAUAUUUAUCAAACAUAUCGAGAGUUCUUUUGAAAUUCGCUUUGUAUAUUAUAGAGAUCAAUUCGCUUGGUAUAUUAUAGUGAAUUUUAGAGAGUGGUUUGUUAUAUCGCUAUAUGAGUGUGUUGUUGUAUUGCUAAUAUAAAUUUUAGAAAUUGUUAUUACAUUUGAUAAUUACCCAAACUAUCGUUAUGGUUAAUAAUUAUGCCUCAAACUAUUGGUUUUAUGAAAAAAUUCCGUCUUUUAUUCCAUGAGGAGAAAGUACUCUCUCUUGUUCUUUUUUAUUUCUCGUAUGAUAUAUGAUAUUUACUUUGAGGCUUGAUCAAUUUAAAUUCAUGUCAGAAAGUUCAAGUUUAGUUGUUAAGCUUUUGCUACCAUAAACAAUCAUCAUUAAUGCUCAAAAUUAAAAUCUUGAAUUAAGAAUAGAAUACAUUUUUUGCUUACCGUCUCAACUCUUAAUCAUUUUGAUUUAGGGUAAAAGUUUAUAUAUGUAUUGUGUAAAAAUAAUUUAUCCCUUUAGUAUGUGAAAGAGAUUUAGAUCCUUUUUUUCCUCCCUUAUUUAUUUUUGUCACAAAAUAAAAUCUUAUGUAAUAAGGUUUGGCAACUUUUUCCAAAAUAGAGAAGAUUACAAAUUAUAUGAAACGUGUGAUUUAGUGUCUUAUUCAGACUUUGGUUUACAGAUGUGUUUGUCUUAACCUCAUUUUCCUUCCACCUACACAACACACUUUAUGUCUAAAUUUGCUAGCAGGUUUGAUUAGAUCAUUUUACAAGAUUAAAUCAUUAUUGCUCGGUGACAGUUCAGAAUCCAUAAACUUCAAAUCUCGACUUCACCUUUAAUAUUUAUGUUGUAUUGCCAUACGUUACUAUAAUUCUAUAUUUAAUUCUUUCUCUUGAUUCAAGAAAUAUCAGUUUAUAUAUAAUGGAGAAAUUUAUUUUUGCUCUAUAUAUAUUAUAUACAAUAUAAUUUUCGAUUGAACAUAUUCAAUACGACUCAUCCGGUAGCAUUAUAUACUUCGCAUUAAUGUGUUAUGAGGUCAUAUGUAUAAAUCAUAGUCUGAAGAAGAAAGAAAGAACAAAAUGCAAGUGGUCGAAUAGCGGCGGAGUCAAAGAUUAUCACGAAUGAAAUUCAAAAUAUAAAAUAAUAAACACAUAAAUAAGUUGGAGAAUUCAACACUUUCCAUAAAAAAAAAUCAUGUCAUUUUUGUCUUUAUUAGUAUUAUUAAUUAGUAAUCACAUAGUUUCAUUUUUCUUCAAUGUUUUUUGCUAUGUAUUGUUCUAAUUUUCUUGAUAUUUUUUGAGUCGAAUGUCUAUUAAAAAUAAUUUAUUUAUUCCACAAAAAUAAAUUUAAGAUAUGUGUAUACCUAAAUUAACUGAUACAUGAGACUCCGUCCAAAUAUAUUAUUGUUAUUAUAUAUAAAAAUAAUACAAUUUUAUCAACCAAAAAAGUUAGUGAUACUCUAGCUCUGCGGCUUCAUAUAGCUAAGGGACAAAGAAGAGAGCAAAAUGGCAACUAAUUUUAGAAUUAUUAGUGUUGAUAUCACUUUUUGGCAGGUAUUCCCUAUCAGUGUACGUUAAUUUUUUUUAAAAUGUUUAUUACGAUUUACAUCUAUAAUUGAUAGGUAUUUAAUUUAUAUACACAAAUAAUAUAUCAUAUAUAUUUUUAUAUUAGAGUAACUUUCACAUAUAGCAAACACAAAAUUCAUAUUUGUAUACUAUAACAAAGUUUGCAUAAUUGCACUCCAUAGCAAACAUAAAUAUGUAUAUUUCGCUAACAUUUACAAAAGAAAUCAGUUGUAUAAUCUGCUUUGGUAUACAUAUACAAAAAGAUCAAUUGUAUAAAGUGAGAGAGGUGAGUGAGCGAGCGAGAUCUGGGAGAGUGGCGAGCGAGAUCUGGGAGAGGGGAACGAAAAUAUAUGUAUAUAUACAAUUUUCNNNNNNNNNNNNNNNNNNNNNNNNNNNNNNNNNNNNNNNNNNNNNNNNNNNNNNNNNNNNNNNNNNNNNNNNNNNNNNNNNNNNNNNNNNNNNNNNNNNNNNNNNNNNNNNNNNNNNNNNNNNNNNNNNNNNNNNNNNNNNNNNNNNNNNNNNNNNNNNNNNNNNNNNNNNNNNNNNNNNNNNNNNNNNNNNNNNNNNNNNNNNNNNNNNNNNNNNNNNNNNNNNNNNNNNNNNNNNNNNNNNNNNNNNNNNNNNNNNNNNNNNNNNNNNNNNNNNNNNNNNNNNNNNNNNNNNNNNNNNNNNNNNNNNNNNNNNNNNNNNNNNNNNNNNNNNNNNNNNNNNNNNNNNNNNNNNNNNNNNNNNNNNNNNNNNNNNNNNNNNNNNNNNNNNNNNNNNNNNNNNNNNNNNNNNNNNNNNNNNNNNNNNNNNNNNNNNNNNNNNNNNNNNNNNNNNNNNNNNNNNNNNNNNNNNNNNNNNNNNNNNNNNNNNNNNNNNNNNNNNNNNNNNNNNNNNNNNNNNNNNNNNNNNNNNNNNNNNNNNNNNNNNNNNNNNNNNNNNNNNNNNNNNNNNNNNNNNNNNNNNNNNNNNNNNNNNNNNNNNNNNNNNNNNNNNNNNNNNNNNNNNNNNNNNNNNNNNNNNNNNNNNNNNNNNNNNNNNNNNNNNNNNNNNNNNNNNNNNNNNNNNNNNNNNNNNNNNNNNNNNNNNNNNNNNNNNNNNNNNNNNNNNNNNNNNNNNNNNNNNNNNNNNNNNNNNNNNNNNNNNNNNNNNNNNNNNNNNNNNNNNNNNNNNNNNNNNNNNNNNNNNNNNNNNNNNNNNNNNNNNNNNNNNNNNNNNNNNNNNNNNNNNNNNNNNNNNNNNNNNNNNNNNNNNNNNNNNNNNNNNNNNNNNNNNNNNNNNNNNNNNNNNNNNNNNNNNNNNNNNNNNNNNNNNNNNNNNNNNNNNNNNNNNNNNNNNNNNNNNNNNNNNNNNNNNNNNNNNNNNNNNNNNNNNNNNNNNNNNNNNNNNNNNNNNNNNNNNNNNNNNNNNNNNNNNNNNNNNNNNNNNNNNNNNNNNNNNNNNNNNNNNNNNNNNNNNNNNNNNNNNNNNNNNNNNNNNNNNNNNNNNNNNAGAGAACGAGAGUGGCAAGCGAGAUUCACCAGGAGAGAGGUGAAAUAGCAACAGUUUGCUAUGAGGUACAAUUAAAUCAAACUAUAUUUAUAGCAUUUAAUUUGAAUUAAUAGUAGAUGUAUAUAUACAAUUUUCUCUCGCUUUAUACAAACACAAACGCACUUUAUACACUUGCGUUUGUAUAAAAAACGAGAGAGGCGAGGGAGAGAACGAGAGUGGCGAGCGAGAUUCACCAAGAGAGAGGUGAAAUAGAAACAGUUUGCUAUGAGGUACAAUUAAAUCAAACUAUAUUUAUAGCAUUUAAUUUGAAUUAAUAGUUUGUUAUUAUAUACAAUUUUCCCUUUAUAUUAUUUGCUAUUAUUUUGAUGGACGGUUAUACUCCGUGAUAGCCCAACUAUGUACCAUCCCAAUUGGAUUUGGCCCAAGUUAUGUACCUGAGGCCCAUAUUUUUCCAUUAUCCAGGCCUAGAACUAUCACUGCUAAUUUCAGUUCUUUGAGGCAAUUCAUCAAACAGAUAGUAAUCUCAAGCAAACAGUUCAUAAAGAAUCUGAGAAAACAAAGUAAAAUUGGUAAGUUUCUUGCUAUUUCUCAGCUAUUUUGUUUCUUGUUAGUCUCCAUAUAUUUAUCUAUAUAUCAUUUAUCAUUCUGCCUAACAAGUUAAAAGAAAAGGUGCAUCAUUACUUCAAGUUAUAAUAUUUAAUGGGUGUUGUAGAAAUAAACAUAUGGAGUUUGGUGCUUUGGGAUAUAAUGGGUGUUAUAAAGUUAAGAUUUUUGAGUUUUUUUGUUAAUGGGUGGUAUAAAGUUAACAUUUUUGAGUAUUUUUGUUAAUGGGUGUAAUAAAGUUAACAUUUUUGAGUAUUUUUAUUAAUGGGUGUGAAGGGGAGUCUUGGAGUAACAAUAAAGUUGUCUACAUGUGACCUAUAGUCACGGGUUCGAGCUGUGAAAGCAGUUACUAAUGCUACCGUUAGUAGACCGUGUACCUCACACCCCUUGGGGUGCGGGGCCCUUCCACGGACCUUGCUAAUGUGGAAUGCUUUGUGCCAAUGGGUGUUUUGGUUCUUUGGUUUUUGAUGCUCCCUUGUUCCCAAUUUAUGUGAUGGGGUUUGACUGUGCAUGGAAUUUAAGAAAGGAACACUUAUCAAACUUAUAUAGAUAUAUUGUAUAACAAUUCAUAGGUAUUUGUGUGAAUCAGUACUUCAAGUUGUGAUCUUUAAUGGGUGUUAUUCAAAUAAACAUUUAGAGUUUGGUACUUUGGUAUGUAAUAGGUGUUAUAAAGUUAACAUUUUGAGUUGUUUUUUUUUUUCAAUGGGUUUUAUGACUUAUGAAAGUUAUCAUUUUUUAUGCUCCCUCCGUUCCCAUUUUAUGUGUCGGUGUUUGACUGUGUAUGGAGCUUAAGAAAGAAACACUUCUAAAACUUAUGCUCUAUAACAAUUCAUAGACAUUUGUAUGGCUAUCAUUUUAAGUUAAAUUGUUUCUAAAUAUAGGAAGUUGUCAUUUUGACGUUGGUUCUUUUAUAUGGAUUUUGAAAGCAUCACAAGAUGAUUUUGAUACCCUAUUAAAAUUGGAGCUUGGCAGUUGAUGUAUAAUCUGAUAAAUAAUCCUCAUAACUUAUGUAGUGGUUAUGGACUGAGUAGCAGUUUCACUUGUUUUCCUUAGCAUUAUGCUGCUUUUCUUUUAGGCAAUUAGUUUCGGUAUAUAUAAAUAGACCACGAAUGGCUUUGUAAAGCUCCUCGCAAUAUAUAGUUAGGAGGAUGGGACGAUGGGACGGAUUGGAAAGCACUUUUACCAUAGCCACUUCUACCAUGACCACUGGCUAGGCUUAUACGGUCUCGUUUAUAGUUCUGAAUUUUUCAUCUGAUUCAUAGGCAAGUUUGAGAUUAGUUUAAUGGGUUGUGGGAUGUGGGAUGUGAAAGUUGGAAUAUUAAGGGGUUAGGACAUUCAUUGUCAGCAAAAGCGGAUCUAUGAUUCAAAUUUUAUGGGUUCCCACAAUGUGAAGUAAAUAUACAAUAAUAAUAAUAAUAACUAGGUUCAUAGUCAAUCAUUUAUAGAUAAUUGGUGGAUUUCUUAAUACAUACAGUAUAUAGGGUCUGUGGAGUGGAAGAAGCUACUGGUUCUCGUGAGCCCGUAUAGUACACGUUGCUUUUACCACUGAAGGCAAGAACGACAUCAUUUCCUGGAGCAAGUAAGGGAAUUACAUUUUCAGCAGUAAAAAUCUCAUUAGGCAUUCAAGUUUGAAACAAGUAGCAAGACUUUUGCUCAUAUGAUAGAUAAUAUAUUUGUGGAAAAAAAGCCUGUUAAGUGUUACAAUACAGUAGACACGUGAGCAUUGGCUGUGGAAAUUAAGCAUGCUCGCUUUAAUAUAAAUUAGAAUACUACAUGUGAUUAUAGGCUGUAUGUCAAGGGUGCUAAUUUAGGUUGCUUCUCCUGUUCAGAAAUUUGAUUCAAGUACGUACCUGUUAAACAAACUUGCUGACAGUUUUGCAUGUCAUAGAAUUACUGCCUCUAUUUUUUCACUUAUAAUUAUGUAAUGGCUAUUAAGAUUUAGCAGAUUCUCUAUUCACUUGACCAACUUAUCUUGGUGAAUCUUCCAAUACAUAGAUAUGAAACAGGAAAUGUGGGACAAAAAUGGCUUAUCUUGCUUUUAGUACAUGAUUGCCUUAUCUUUAGGACCUUCUACUUCUCUUUGCCUUGUUUUCUCUGCAUCUUCUACCUCUUUAAACUGCUUUUGCACAUGCUAAUACAUCGACGACUUAUUGUAGGUUCAAAAUGCAAAGCUUGAGAUCAUCUAUUCUGAAGUAUGUGCGGGUUAGGGUCCCAUUGCAAGUAUCAUUAUCUCAAGCUGAAGGCCGGAGUGCGUUAAAUAUACUCAAUUUGCAAAUACGCACCUGUAGCAAUUCUGGUUCCACUGAUCAGGAUCAGAUAAAGGAACAAGUGCUUAACUUGGUGAAGAAAUUUGACAAGAUUGAUGCAACCAAGGUAUGAUUCAUCCAUUUUUUGUACUUCCAACACGGAGCAUAAGUUUAUGUGUAAAGAUUACUAAAACUGCAACAAAAUAAGUACUCCCUCUGUUCAAUUUGUUUGUCUUACAAAUGCCUUUUUCCCUAUUUUGGCAACUCGUUAAUUCCAGUUUUCCACAUGGCAUGUUUAAGACCACAAGAUUAAAAGACAUUUUGGUACAUACAACGUAUCUUUAGUUUAAGACCACGAGAUUCAAAAGUCUUCUUUACUUUCUUAAACUCCAUGCCAAGUCAAAACUAGACAAACAAAUUGAAAUGGAGGGAGUAAUGAUUCAAUGCUAAGAACCUUAAAUGUUGAACCGGUUAAAUUCUGGAUUUGUCUCUGCUGAUGGUCUAUAUCAAUUUAACACAUAUUGUGGCAAAAGACCAGUCAAAUAGUGGAUAUUACAGCUGAAUCCUAAAUCUUUUUAUAGGUCACUGAGAGUGCUGAUUUCCAGAAGGACUUGAGCCUAGACAGCUUAGAUAGAGUGGAACUUGUCAUGGCAUUUGAACAAGAAUUCUCGAUUGAGAUACCUGACGAAGAGGCAGACAAGCUUAAAUGUUGUGCCGAUGUUGCUCAGUAUAUCAUUUCUGGAGCUGAGAAGAAAGCUCAGGAGAGUUCAUAGAGUAACUUAUUAGUUAUCCCUAGGAGAGGAUAUCAUGUCAUCGGAAUAGACAAAGGUUUCUUUUGGAACAUUCUCCUAGAUAGUUUUUCUUUUGUCUGAUAAGCUGUUGAAUCCCAGGAUCACAUUGUCCUUAACUUCUUUUAGCGCGUCUUUUAGUUUUUUGUGGAUUGUGUGAAUGAUUGCUACAUUUAUGCACCCCAGAUUUUAGUUAUUGAUUCUGUAGUGAAUACAAUUUUUGCUGUUACUUUAAUAUAUUCAAAGUUUGUGCAUCUGGUGUGGCUAUGAAAGGCUACUUUUAAUAUUCUCAGUGGAAAUACAUGUGCCUGUUACACAUCAUUCAUACAAGAAUGAAGAAACCUUAUAUUUACAUCUCUCUCUCUCUCUCUCUCUCUCACACACACACACACACACACACACACAUAAACUCGUCGUGGGAGGAAGCAAACAACAAAUUGUGGGCUAAUACCAGCAGGUUAUGUUUCAAGAUUCAUCCAACGACUCAAUGUUUGUGACUGAUCAAAGCGCCAACAGAUUUGAGUCGUUGGACGUGCUGAAUUUUUGGCCUCCUGAUCACAUAACAGCAACUUUCUUUCUGCACCUUUGUGUAACUUUAGGGGUCAGAUGAAUUGUUUGUGUGGUGUAAGUACGGAUUCCUCCACCGAUAGAAAUUAGCUCGAGUCCUUUGUGUUUUCCUCUAAAAGCAUGUUCACAAAUGGUGUUUCUUGGCAGAUGAAGGACUUUAACAAGACAUGUUUUUUCCAAGUUUGGAAUAGCAUGAAGAUGAGAAGGAAGAUCAAUAAGAAAAUCUCCAUCUUCAUCUGUAGUGUUUCUUGCCCAUGACCUUCUUGUUUUUCCACUUGAUCCACAGAAUACACCUACUGAUGCACCUGAAAUAUGUUUGUCAUAUGUAAGAUUAGUAGUGAAGAAGAGCCUUAGCGUAAAUAGUAAAGUUGUUGUGUUUUGACCAGGAGGUCACGGGUUUGAGCUGCGGAAACAGUCUCUUGGCAUAACUAGUAAAGUUGUUGAAAUGUGAUCAGGAGGUGAGGGGUUCAAAUUUGGAAACAACCUCUUGCAAAAAUGCAGGAUAAGACUGCUUACAAUAGACUCUUGUGGUCCAGUUGUUUUUUGAAUCACAUGCAUAGCUGAAGCGUUGUGCAUCAGUUGUGUUUUACUAUAUGAAUCAAUCAACUAGACCUCAAUUUCAAAUUACUUGGGAUUUUACUGUAUGAGUCAAUUAACUAUAUCUCAAUUUUAAAUUACUCAAAUGUUACUAUAUGAAUCAAUCAACUAUACCUCAAUUCCAAAUUACUCGGACUUAAUUAUAUUAAAUUUAGACCCAUAUUUUCAAAUAAAUGCAACGAAUUUAGUGAGCUUUUAAUUUUAUGUUAAUUUACCAACUUUUGGUUCCAAUAACACUAUCAUUUUGGUAGAACAGAAAUUUGGUGGUGUUCAAUGAAAGCAAACAUAUCUUUAUUAAUAUACAAACAGGUCCAUCAAGUUUUCAUAAUUUAAUAUUCAACCCCACUUUUUCUUAAAAAUACUUUUUUUUUUCUGUUUUCUCUUUUCUCUUUUCUGUAACUUUUUUCUUUUUGAAUAAAUAAAUGAUCUAUAUCAUAUAGUAACUGUUACAAGAAUUAGAAACGAUUCUAAAUUUAAUGGAUCCUAAUUUCCAUUUAAGGAUCAAGUUUAACAUUAAACUUAAGUUAAUAUUAAUUAACUUUAGGCUUAACAACACAAAUUAACUUCCCUAUAUCUUAGGAUGUUUAAUUUCAUCUUAUUAUUCAUUUGCAAUUUAACUGGUCAAAACUACAUAAACUAGCUCAUGCUAUAAAAUCCACGUAAAACUGGAUUUUCAUUUUUAAAAAAUAAUGGUUUGGCUUCAAACAAUUAGAGAGAACCUAUAAUUGUGUUUACAUGACACAAAUUUGAAUUAAUUGAUCGGACCAAUGAGUUCCGAAUAUCGAAUUGUUAAAAAUAAAGGAUCUACACUAUAAGACAUGCUUAAGUUAUCUUUAAUUAUAGACAUCUCUUAACACAUCUUCAAAACUAAAAAAGAAAGAAAAACAAUAUAACAUAUUCCGUAAAAUUUCAUCAAGUGGGAAUCUAAAGAGGAUGGUGUGUACGCAAUCUUACCCUUAUCUUGUGAGGAUAUAAAGAUUUUUUUCAAGAGACAGAAUAAUUAUAUAGCUGAAUAAUGCAACAAAUUAUCAAAAACAUUCAGAUAUAUCUUAAACAAAUAUAAAAGAUGUGUUUUCUCUGUGAGUUAUUUAGCAACAGAUUAACGACGAAUAAGAACAUACAUACCUUGGAUAGGUGUUGAACCAAGUUCAAAAUUAUCAUCCUUGAUAAUAUUAUUGUUACAACCAUGAUCAUCAUACUCAUGACAAACAAUUUUUCCAUGAAUAAAAACAGUGGAAAGCUUUUCUUCUCCAUAACCAGCCAUUUUUAUCACAUCAUCUCUCAUAGAAAUUGAUUCAACUAUAGAAACUUCUCUCUCAAUACCCAAAGUUUUAAAAACAAGAAAUGAAAAGAAAAAAAGUACAAACAUCAUUUUUUUCUUCACAAUUUUAUUCAUGAUGAAAAAAUCCAUGAUAAUUGUGUUGUUGUUGUUGUUAAAAUGAUAAAAUAAAUAAAGAAAACUUUGUAUCAAAGAAAGAUUUUAUAAUUUUUUUAUUUUAUAUAAGAUGGAAUGAAUAGAAAAUGAAACGUUACCAUAUCUUUGGUUUUAUAUAUAAGCAAUAAAUAUAUGCAUGGUUCAUAUGAACUAUUAAUUAAUGUUAUUACAUUUAUAACCUUGAGGCUUCCUUAAUUAAACAAAAUAAGAAACCGAUAUUUUAAUAUAGGCUUUACAAUUAAUUAAAGAUGGUUCAAUGCAUUGCUCUAUUAAAAUUAACUCAUGACAAUUAAUAUUUUUUUGCUCAUUAAUCUGAUUUUUAUUUUUUGUGUUAGUGUUUCUCAUGUUAAAGUAUAGUUUGAAACUUCAUUCUUAUUACGAUUUAAGUUAUAUAUAGUGAUAGAGUAAAUACAUUUUAUAUAGUCAGUGUAUUUAAUCUGUUAUUGUGGCAGAUUAUUGUUAUUGAAUCUUCGAGGCGCUGAAACCAAAUUUAAUAGUGUAAAUCUUCUAUAUACCGUCAAUUUUUAUUAAAUUUAUAAAUAAAAAUUUGUUUCCAAUUUUUUCCUUAAUUCCACGAUUCAAAUUAAUUUUGUUUUUCAGAUUUUCUUAAUGGGAAAAUUAAUCAGAGUAAUAUAAACUUAAUUCCGAAGAUUGAAAAUUAAAUAUAUUGAACUAAUAUUAGAUAGAAAAGAGGCAAGGGCAUUGCAGACCUUUCAAGGAAAAAAUAGUAGUUGACAUAUCAUAAGGUAGGGGUAAAAUAGUCAAAUCUUAUUUUGACAAGAUGAAAAUAUUGGAAGGUUAACUAUCAAGUUGGUAGCCUAAUUCUAUCACUUACAUACAUUCAUAUAUUUCUUUAUUAUUCACAAAAUAUAAAAAAUUAAGGUGUAGAAACUUUAAAGCCCCACCAAGUGUUAAUAUGUCUUCAACUAUGUCUAUAUUGAGCUCUUUGCAUGCAAGCAAAGCAAAAUCUUAUAGUAUUACUUAAGAAUUCUUGAGUCAAGCCUACCUCAACCAUAUUCUUUAUCUACAUAUUUUGAACACUAAAAUGUAACCAAAAAAUUCCAUUAAAAACUUUAGGUUACCUUGCAUCAUAAAUCAUCUUUAAAUUAUGAGUCCACUUAUUGUUGAACAAAUUCCAUAAAUUUGAGAUACAUCAUAAAGUAUUCAACUUCUUUAAGCUAUUAAGUUUUACCAACAUGGAUUGUAAUAGGAUGGGUGAGAUUCCUCCACCUU